This 152909-nucleotide long non-coding RNA is filed under the name Gossypium raimondii (Peruvian cotton). Its description in RNAcentral is "long non-coding RNA (GRAI_LNC006005)". The stretch from base 112669 to 113115 matches the Rfam family "Bacterial small subunit ribosomal RNA", at positions 39 to 536 of the family's 1533-position model. The record is from RNAcentral. Lineage: Eukaryota; Viridiplantae; Streptophyta; Magnoliopsida; Malvales; Malvaceae.
ACUUUGACAAGAUUGUUGGUCGCCGAUUUCUCUUCUGCGUCAAGAAGCACAGCUUUGAUUGUGGAGACGGUGCGUUCGAGGUCGUGAAGGUCAUCUUUGAGAUUCCACCAGAGUCCAAUUUGAGAGAGAGCAAGAGAGCUCAACUUAAUAAUGAGCUCUGUGGCAAUGUCGAAAGCAAUUGCUUCGGCCAUUGUUGUUUCAAACUGGAAUCAAGGCUAAAAGUGUUUGAUUACUGCAAGAGGAGGACUAAAAAGAAAAUGAUUUGAACAAGAUGAAACACAGAUGUGGAUCCAUACAUGCAGAGACUAAGUAAUUUUAUAGAUACUACCGUCCACCCACCAAGUAGUAUAAUUAAAUGAAAAUAAUGUUGAUUAGUGGGAAAUGGUCCCACCAUGUUUAAUAUUUGACGCAAAUUUCUCAAUGGUGCCAAAGCUGGAAUGAUGAUAAAUCCAAGGAGUUCAGAUAUUAUGAAAAAUUAAUGAAAAAUCUACGAAAGAAAAGAGGAGGAGGAGCCAAACCUAUGGAAUCCAAGGUGUUUAGAUAUAUUAUGACUUUAUGUCUUUUGCUAACAAUUAUAUCUGUUUAGAUAUUAUGAAUCCAAGGACCCAAACUCUAAUUUUCUCUCAUAAAAGGGUCUCUCGAAUUUUCUCUUUCAUCUUAUUUUUUUCUUCAUUAUUAAUUACUGACUUAAACAUAAAAGAAUAUCUCAAAAUACAAGCUCUAGUGUCCUCCUAUCUCACUUUGCAAGAACCUAACACUCUCUUAAUGUCAACAACACUUUUCAAUAGAAAAAGAAUGUAACUUUUUUUACUUUGUAAACCUCAAAAUUGAAAGCCACCCCGCUCAUAUUGUAAAAUGGAUUAGGCAAACAAAAGAAAAUAACAAAUUCAAAUAGGUUAAUAGGUUAACACACCAUUUGGGGUCUAAAUUUUGUAAUUAUUUUUAUAUUAGGGUUUAAUUUUUUUUUCAAGUUAGUCUUUGAACUUCGCACUUGUUCCCACAUUAAGGUCUAGCCUAGGCAAAUGUUCCCGUACCUUAGACUUUUUUUUUGUCUAAGUUAGUUCCUAAACUUGGUAAUUGUUUCCAUAUCGGAAUUUGAACCUUUUUUAAAAGAAAUAUUAGAGACUAGCUUGAACAAAAAAAAGGCCCCAAUUUGAGAACAAUUGUCAAGUUAAGAAACUAACUUGUAACAAAAAAAAUUCAGGCUCUAAAAUGGGAACAAUUGUCAAAUUCAAGCUCAGAUAGUGCAUUAACCCUAAAAAAUUACUUAAAAUAAGAUUAACAUUUAAUGUAUUAUCAAUGAAACUUUUUAAUUUCACAAAUAGGUUUUAAAUUCUAUCACAUGUUUCAUUAAAAAAAUAUUAUUUUACUUCACCUUAAAGAGUUAUGUGCCAAAACCUUGUAUGUUGGCUUGAUAAUCAAGAGUGUUCGUUGCCCUAAGUGUGACUUAGGUUAGAGUUGUGCCAGUUGCGUUGUUGUAGAAAAAAAGAGGAAUGUGCCAUCCAUUUAACUCUAUCUUGAGAUAUCAUAAUCAUAUCAAUUUGAUUUUUUAGGGAUAAAUCUCAAAGUUAUAUAUGGACUUUGAUUUGGUGCAAUUAUACACAUAUAAAAUUUUAUUUUUGAUUCAAUCAUACACGUUCAAAGAAAUUAAUACAUCAAUUUAUUUUUGUAGUGGAUAAGUAUAAUUAUUUGUUUAUGUAAUAUAUAAACAUAAAAUGAUGUUUUAUCAAUAAUUGUGUUAAUAAUUUGUGAGAAUUGAAUAAAGUUAAAAUUCCUUGUAUAAAAUUAUACAUUACGGUAAAGUUCAUGUGUAAUUUUAAAAUUUAACCCAUUUUUCUAUUAACUUAGCCAUUUGUUUGAGCAUUAAAUGUUCGCUCAAAUAUAAUAGGGAACAUACUUAAAACACAUGUGUACCUAUUUGUUAAAAAAAGAAAAGAAAUAGUCCUCUUAAAUUUUAUAAUAUUGUGUUUUUAAUAUGUUAGAACAAGUUAUCAAUGCGACGAGUACGCAAGUAUGUACAAUUUAAUUCAUGUCAGAUUUGAAUUGAAAUUUAAAGCCUAAAUUUACAUUAAAAAAAUGAAACUAUUUUUUUAAUAAAAUACUAAAAUUUCAUUAAAACAUUUUAAAAUUUAAAUAAUAAUUUGAAAAUGUUGUGGGGGUUGUGUCUCUUUGGGUUAGUUUUCAAUAUAUGUGUGUUGAUGAUGCAAUGAAUAAAGAAAUCAAAAGUUAUGCAGAAAUUUCAAUUUUGGAUGGCGCUGCAAUUAUAUUAUUAAGAGUAGUAGCAAUUUAUUUAUUAUUAACAUAUAUUUGUUUACUGUAAGUGGGGUUCAUCAUUUUUAUUUAUAUAUUGCUAACAAUCUCAUUUAAUAAUAGUACCAUUUCAUGUAUCUUUCAAAUAUAUAUUUAGUCCACUAAGUUUUAGCUCAAUUGGUAUAAGUAUUAUUGUUAAUAUAGGACGACAUGGAUUCGACUGUUGAAACGCAUUAUCCUCCUAUUUAUGAGUUGGAGAAGGGCUAUAGGUAAUUCUAGUCAUUGUAUAAAAAAAAUGAUAUGAUUAGAACCUGUAAUAAGAUUAUUCAAUAUAUAUAUACAUAUAUUUAUUAGGAAACGGUUGAAGCUUUUUAUUUGUUUAUUAUUAGGGUUAAAUAUAAAAUUUAUACAUGAACUUCGAUUUAAUGUACAAUUUGAUAUAUGAAUUUUGAUUUGGUGCAAUUAUCUACAUGCACGAAACUUUGAUUUUGAUUCAAUUAUACACAUUAAAGAAAUGAAUACAUAUAUUUAUUUUCACAUUGGAUUAAUAUAAUUUUUUGUAUAUGCAAAAUAUCAAAGUAAAAUGGCGCUAUUUCAAUAAUAUUAUUAAUGAUUUGAAAAAAUUGAAUUAAUGAAAUUAAAAAUUACACAAAAUCGAAGUUCAUUUAUAAUAUUGCAUUAACAUAUAAUUGAUUAAAAUUGAGAAUUAAAAUUAAUGAACAUAAAAAUUGGAAUUUUAAUUUUUGUAUUUUAAAAAAAUUGAACUUAUAAUUUUAUCAAUAAUUACCUUUAAAAAUUAUCAUUACAAGUAUUAAUUUAAAUAAAAAAAACUUAAAAAUUAACUUGUCUCCACACAAUUAUAUAUAUUUAUAUUUUUAAUUUUUUUAAUUUCUUGAAUUUUUGAGGAUUUUUGUCCCAUUAUUGUAUAAUUUUAAAUUAAUUCCCAAAAUAUAUAAUGUUUGUGAUUAUUUUUGAAAUAUGUGAGUUUUUAAGGUCGGAUGUUGAGAUUAUUGUAAAAUCUAAAACACAAUCAUUUUUGAACCCUUUUGAGAUUAGGGAGGGAAAAGAAAAGAGAUCGAUUGACAAAUAUGACUUCCAACGACAACAUCAAUGGUGGUGAAGUAUGUUUUAUUAUUUUUACUUUUUAGAGAUAAAUAUUAAAAUUAUUCAUGAAUACUAUGAACUUUAAUUUGGUGUAAUUAUAUAAAUAAAAUUUUAAUUAUAAUUUAAAUGUAUACAAGAAAUUUUUAUUUUAAUUAAAUUGUAUACAUUUAUAGAAAUAACAUUAAUCAUCUUUUAUAAUUAUUUAUGUAUAAAUGAAAACGCAAAUGUUGGUAUAUACAUAUACAUUAUCCGUAGAGUCUAAAUAGUAUUUUAAAGAUGUCACCAUCACUGAGUAAUAAUUAAAUAAAAAAGUUACUAAUUUUAUAUUAAAUACUUAGUUAAGGGACAGUCUUCCUUUAUAAAUUUUCUGCAGUUUCCAAUGUUUUUUUUUCUGGAUGAUGAUGAAUAGCAGCACAAUGAUGCUAUGAAUAAAGAACAACAAGGUGGGCAGAAUUUUGAUUUGAUUUAUUAUAUUAUAUUUAAUUACAAUUUUUUAUACAAAUACUUAUAAUUAUCCAUAGUUCCUUUCUAACUCUUAAAUAGAAAGAUAAAUAGUGUAUUUUAAUACGCUCAAAUCUACAUCUUACUGCAUAAACAAUAAUAUCAAUAUCAAUCAAAUUAGGACUCAAUCGAUUUUAAUCACAAUUUUUUCUCUCUCCAUAAAUAAGUUUUUUUUUUGCUCAAUUGAGUUAUUACACUUUUAAGCAUUUGCAAAGAAUGUAACAAUCUACAAGAUGCAACACUCCCCCACAAAAAUAUCCCUCACCCAAGUACAAAAAUACCAAUAUCUCAAACCGAUAACAUCAUAAUUUCAAACCACUAGACCCCCAAAAACCCCGUCUGUUAUUCUGCCCUCUAAAAGAAAAAAUAUGCAAACAACCAACACAUAAACCACAUAUAACCAAGAGUCCUUAAGGCCCAAACAGCAAACCAACUCUUCAGAAGAAACACAACAACAUUACUCAAAUUAAAAUCACCACCAUGCCUCAAACAUAACAUGCCUUUUUAUUCUUGCAAUCGCCAAAGCAUAAGCCAUCUCGUUUCUGUGCUUUUCGGCUUUCGAGAAGGAAACAUUACCUACUUGAACCAUCCUAUUUUCAAUUUCCUUGAAGAUAGGAUGCAGCAACCACAGUCUCAAUCAUUUGUUCUCAAACCAACAAAACACCUCAUUUGAUCCAAUCUCAAUGAGUAGAUCCAAUCUCAUUUGAUCCAAUCUCAAUGAUUAGAGAGCUUUUACCAUUCCACCCUGAUAUGAUCUCGUUUCGUGAUUGAUUCGAGUCGUAUGUGUUGCCCGAUCAUGAAUUGAGUAAGAUAGAUUCGUUUCGGUUUAAAGUAAACAAAAUAGAGAUAAUGGCUUCAAACAAAUGCUGUAGACAAAAUAGAUAAGAAGCAAUAGCAAAUUAAUUGGCUAAGACCGAGAGUGAACCAACAAUAAUGGAUUGUUGACCCGAAUCUCAAAAUGGUUCUUAGGUGUUUAUCGGUUUAAGGAAACAGCAAGGAACCUUGACCUACUAUCAACUAUGAUAGGAACCAAAGGUAUAUUGAACGCCACACCAAAGGUGAUAAGUUCGGCAAACAAAGAAAAGAUAGACGCCACAAGCUAUGCUUGAUAAGUCAAAUCAAUUCCGUAAGAACAAAAAGAAUUGGAUAACUCACAAUUCAAAGAUUUCAUGUAUAUUCAGCAAAAGUCUAUUAUCUAAGGCUGAUUACAUCUAUUUAUAAUGCUAGAACAAAGGUAAUUGAAUGGUCAAAAACUUCCAACUUAAUGUGCCAUAAAAACUCAUGUCUUUUCUUAUGCUUGAACUAAAUAACUCCUUCCAUAAAAUCACUUCAAUUCAGCUGAUUUGAAUGUCUUUAAUGGCUUAAAAACGACUCUUGAGUUGUCCUUGGCCAGCUAAAUAGACACCAUCUUUUAACCAGCUCCUUAAUGACAUUUAAAAGGCUUGAUUAAAUUCUCUUGAAAGCUCCAAAAAAAUGGCUGGAAGAAGAAGGGUUGUUGCUGAAUUUUAAAGGGCAUAAAAUGCUCUUUAAAAACUCCUUUAAUGAUUUUUAAGCUUCCUUUAUAACAACCCCUUUAAUUGUAACUGAAAAUAACUUGAACAGCCACUUAAUUCAAUGUAUAAUAGCCUUGAAUUGUAACCACUAUGAGCUGAAAAGUCACAUGCAAUAAACACAAUAAAAUGAGUUUAUUAAACACAUGAAAACACUUAUUAAUCAUAACACACAUUAAACUUACUUAAAUAAAUGAACUAAAACAUAUAUGCAAUAAUUAUUCCAGCAACUUGUUUAAUUAAAGAAGCAUAAAAAAAACUUAAUUUAUGCAUCAAUAAAUAAUCCUAGGAACUAGAUCAAUUAAGAAGCAUCUUAUUUAAUAAAAUUCAAUAACUAACUCAUUUAUUAAAACUUAAGAUGAGUUGAAUUAAUUGAUCAGCAACUCAUUUAUUAAACUAAGAUAAGUUUAAUUAAAAGAAACAAAUUCAGUUUGCAAUAAAUUGCAAGUGAUGCCUAUUGAACGGUUCAAAGUACGAUUACCGAAUUUGGCUACUUGCUCUCUCCAAGCUCGUUCCACAUAGCUUGCUAUUGCAUUUCGAAAUCUCUUAACUCGUGAUCGAUUUACUGGCCCUCAUGGCAGCUCAAUGGAUUAGGUAGUAAUUUCUCGGGCUAAGGUCGCAUCACACCCCAUUGCUAAAAACGCAUCCAAAGCAAUGAUAAUCGCUCCCACCUCGGCUGUAAUGGAGUCUUUUGCUGCAAUUGGACCCGAAAAUAAUGCCUUUGCCACCCCAUAACACCCUUCCAUGCCCGACUUCAUCCUCGUUCGCCACACCACUUACAUUAAAUUUGACCCAACCAUGUCUCGGAGGACACAAAAACUGCCACCCGUCGCAGAUUUUUUUAAAUCACACCAGCUUCUAAAUGGACUGUUGGGAUCGACCUGACUAAGCAACAAGUAAAAAUUUAACAGAAUAAAUUGAGAAAUUGAACACAUUAAUUUAACGUGAAAAAACCCUCCAAAGAGGAUAAAAAACCACGGGCAAAGAUAAUUUUACUAUAAUGGCAAAAGAGCGAAGAGUACAAAAGAUGAUAAAAACUAAACCUCAAAAACCCGAAAACAAAGAACCCACAAAACGUAAACACAAAAUUCUCUAAAUGUGUUAUGAGUUCUAAUCUCUAAUAGGUGUAUUUUCUAAUGUUGUAAAAGAGCCUAUUUAUAGGCUAAAUUCAUAGGUCAAAUAAUAAUAAAAUAAUCUAGACUGAUCAGAGUUUGAUUAAAACAAAUAAAUAGAGCUUAACUAAAAGAUUAUUUCUCAAAUUUGAUUGAAAUAGGAGUCAUACUCAACAAAUCUCUACCUUGACUCAUAUUUUCACAAUACCAUCUUUGCCAAAGCCUGCCACGGGCCUAUCUUGGACUAUGCAGGGAAUUAAUUGAAUCGAAUCUGUACGUAAAAAUUGGAAGACUUUUGGCCUUCGACUUGUACACUGCCAAAUAAAAACUGACCCAAGUCUGAUUUUCACGAACACAGUGCCUUAACUUUUCAAAACCUGUAUCCAAAAGAGAACCUCUCUUCAACAAAACGAUCAUAACUUUUUCCCUCCUAUAACCAAGUUGUCUCCACUCCAAACGAGUUGACUUCGACUCCGUAACGGACAAGGGGUGUCUGAUUUCACUGAUCACUGUAGAACCUUCUAGAAUAUAAAGACUUCGGGUUUUUUCACCUUUUAAUAAAAUGAGAGCUCCUUAAGAUACUUUAAUUUCGCUCGACUCGAUGUUGAUUCUACAUCUUUUCAAGUUUAAAUUACUCAAGGAGAUGAAAUUCUUUCGUAAAUCAGGUGCAUACCUGACAUUCAAAAGUGUCCUAAUCAUCCCAUUGUGUAUCCUAAUUUUAACAGUACCAAUACCAAUUACCUUACUAGAUGAAUCAUUUCUCAUGCGUACAACUCCACCUUCAACCGAACCGUAUGUGGAGAACCAUUCUUUAUUAGGACACAUGUGGAAUGAACAUCCUAAAUCUAGGACCCACUCGAAUGUGAACUUGGAGUUAUCGCUUGUUGACACUAACAAGAAAUAAUCACUGCUUUCAUCAGCCAAAUUAACACUAGCUACUUCUUUCUCAUUACUCUCAACAGCUCUUUUAUUUCACAAUUUAUAACAAUCUGCUUUGACAUGACCUAACUUUUUACAAUAGCAACACAUUUUGUCUCGUUUCUUUGAUGCUACCAAAACGGAAGCUUGCCUAUCUGCCUUGCUAUCCAAACCAAACUCAUUGUCGAGUUUAUCACUACUCAACAAAUGACCUUUCACAUCUUCAAACGAGAGUUUGUCUCUAACAUAAAUUAGGGUCUCCUGAAAGACUUGUAUGAAUGGGGUAAAUAGCACAAUAAUAGCAUAGCCUGAUCUUCAUCGCCAAUAUGAACUUCAACGUUCUUUAAAUCAUUUAAAAGAGUAAUGAAUUGACUGAUGUGAUCUCCAUCAAUACCUCCUGCUAUACCGUAUUCGCGAGACACAACUAGAUUGCAGACAAGGCAUUUUCAUCAAGCUCUUCCCAUUCUAUUUGAUUUAGAUUCUCAGGCUUUUUCCCUGUAACAACCGUUUUCAAGCCGGUUUGAACUAGAAUUGCCAUCAUUCGAACUUGCCACAGAUUGAAAUUUAUCUCACCAUCGAACUUCUCAAUUUCAAACAUUGUUGCUGUCAUCUCUGAAUGGGCUGAUCUAUGAAAAUUAAAACCACUUGUUGAGAUUGACCCGAUUAAGCAACAAGUAAAAAAAUAGUAGAAUAAAUUGAGAAAUUGAGCACACAAAAUUAACGUGGAAAAACCCCUCCAAAGAGGAUAAAAAACCACGGGCAAAGAUAAUUUUACUAUAAUGGAAAAAGAACGAAGAGUACAAAAGAUGGAGAUAAAAGCUAAAUCCCGAAAACCCGAAAACAAAGAACCCUCAAAACGUAAACACAAAAUUCUCUAAAUGUGUUAUGAGUUCUAAUCUCUAAUAGGUGUAUUUUCUAAAGUUGUAAAAGAGCCUAUUUAUAAGCUAAAUUCAUAGGUCAAAUAAUAAUAAUAUAAUCUAGACUAAUUAGAGUUUGAUUGAAUCAAAUAAAAAAAAGUUUAACUAAAAGAUUAUUUCUCAAAUUUGACUAAAAUAAGAGUCAUACUCAACAUGGACAAAUCCACCAUGAUCUCUCAUCUACUCUUAAUAUAUAUAGUUAAAAAAAAAAAGAAGAAAACUUACUGUUUUAUACUAUACUCUUAUUAUUAAUUAUUGGUAUCGUUGAUGUAUCUGAACGUGUUAAUAUUUGUUGUUAGUGGUAGUAACAUUUUAAUUAUUUUAUUAUACAUUUAUUUGUUUAUUGUAAGUGGGCUGAUGAUUUUUAUUUGUUUAUUUUUUGAAAUUUUGUCUCAUUCUUUUGUUCCAUGUCAUGUUGGAAAAAGAGUUUGAAUAAACAUGUUUGGAGUAUCUAAAAAUAGCAUGUGUUAGGGUUAUAUGAUCCAAAUUUUAAGAGAUUAUUUGCAAGUCAAGUAAAAUAUAUAUUUUUAGAAAAUUUAGUAUUUAUUAAUAUAAUAUAUUUAGCAUUUAUUAGCAUAAUAUAUUUGACAUGGAUUAGAAUUAGGUUUUUUUUAACCUAUGAAUAGAUGUAGUUGAAACUCCUAUUGUAUCAUUUGAAUUCGACAUUACUUAGUGAAUUUUUUCUUCUUCUCUGUCUGUUAUUUUUUUCGAAAUGUUUUCACGUAAAAUUUGUAUGUUCUAUUUUUCUUUCUUUUUCUUUGCAAUCUUUCUACGUUAUAAUUAUCGAUGUUUAGUUUUUUACUGCACGUACGUGUUGUUGAUUUAAUCUAGUUGAACACUAAAUAAAGAGGAAUUUUUGUACCAAAAUUAUGAAGUGAUUAUCAUCAUCUUUAUGAAUGACAUGGUGAAGAAGUAGAGAAAUUUGAGAUGAUUAAAAAUUCUUUUUCUUAUCCAAUCAUUAUCUUUUAGGUGUAUUCGGAGCUGUUUUCAAAAUUAGAUAAGAUUAUUUACAUUAUUGUUAUCUUCUUUCUCUCAAGCCCUUUUUAUAGGAUUUCUUUUCCAUAUACUUUUUACUAAUAAAUCUUUUUAAUAUUUUAAGAUUUUGUUAGGAUUUUUUAUGGUUUGAAGUAGAAGAUUUUUUUUUUGGUACUAAGUAGAAAAUAAAAUGUUUGUGAGUUUGUGUCCACUCACUGAGCACAUCCAUUUACAUUAUAUGAGCUAUAUCCUAAGAAGUGGGAGUAAAAUAGGUAUGCCUUUAUGAUGUCCCUUCCAGUAAACAUAAGAAAAUACAUUCGCUCGAAUUAAACAUGUUUCCUAGUAUCCUACAAUGGGUGAUGAUUUGGGGUUUACUAAAGCAGAUAUAAUAAACCCUAAGAACAAACAAUUAAUGCAAUAACCAUAUAAAAUGGCGUUGGUUUGGAUACCCUUUGAUGUUUUGUCUUCGUUUUGGUGUUUGUUUUGGGGGUUGUGUCUCUUUGGGUUAGUUUUCAAUAUAUGUGUGUUGAUGAUGCAAUGAAUAAAGAAAUCAAAAGUUGUGCAGAAUUUUCAAUUUUGGAUGGCGCUGCAAUUAUAUUAUUAAGAGUAGUAGCUUUUUAUGUUUCUUUUAGAUGUACAUAUAUUUAUUAGGAAAGGGUUGAAGUUUUUUAUUUGUUUAUUAUUAGGGUUAAAUAUCAAAUUUAUACCUUAGUUUUGGUUUAAUUGUUCAAUUUGAUACAUAAAUUUUGAUUUUGUGCAAUUAUCUACAUGAAACUUGAAUUUUGGUUCAUAUAUAUAUAAAUCUUUGAUUUUUAUACAAUUGUACACAUUAAAGAAAUGAAUACAUAUAUUUACUUUCACAUUGGAUUAAUAUAAUUUUUUGUGUAUGAAAAAUAUCAAAGUAAAAUUAUGGUACUAAUUCAAUAAUAUUGUUUGUAAUUUGAAAAAAAUUGAAUUAAUAAAAUUAAAAUUUGCACAAAAUUAAAAUUCAUGUAUAAUAUUACAUAUUGGACCAAAGUUUAUGUCAUCUCUUAUUAUCAUAGGUGAUACAUGGAUUUAAUGGAGCUCAUAUGCUCAUAUAUAAAAUUGCGAAUUAAAAUUAAUGAACAUAAAAAAUGGGAUUUUAAUUUUUUUGUUUUUUUAAAUUAAAUUUAUAAUUAUAUCAAUAGUUACCAUUAAAAUUUAUUAUUAAAAAUAUCAAAUUAAAUAAAUAACUUAAAAUUGAACUUUUUAAAACUUUUUGAAUUUUUAAAUAAAUAACACACAUUUAUAUUUUUAAAACUUUUUGAAUUUUUGAGGAUUUUUGUCCCCAUUAUUGUAAAAUUUUAAAUUAAUUCCCAAAAUAUGUAUUAUGUAUUUAUGAUUGUGAACUUGAAACAUGGAUGCGGUUCAGAUCGCCUACCCGCAACCCGAUUGGGCCCUACCAGUGGGAUGCAUGCAUGUCUCGUGGUGGGAAUUAGCCAUAAGAGCUUGCAAGGAUGGUUCACAGUCCCAGUUUGCAUAUACCAUAGAGUUCGCGUGUGGAGGCUAUAAAAUGCAACGAGCAUUCCAGAAUAGUACACAUGUCCAACAUGCAUGAAUUUUACUAGAAACCUCAAUUCCAUUAACAUUAACAUGUAUAAAUACUCGAUUGACCCCUUCAAUGAGACACAAGGGAAAGUACCUAGAUAAUAUGCAAUGCUUAUGAUUAUUUUUGAAAUAUGUGUCCGAUGUUGAGAUUAAUGUAAAAUUUUAAACACAAUAAUUUUCGUGCCCUUUUGAGAUUAUGGAGGGAAAAGAAAAGAGAUCAACAAAUAUGAUACCUCAACACCAAUGAUGUUGAAGUUUGUUUUAUUAUUUUUGCUUUUUAGGGAUAAAUGUCAAAAUUAUUCAUGAAUAUUGAUGUAACCUGUUAUUUGAUACAUGAACUUUGAUUGGGUGUAAUUAUAUAAAUGAAACUUUAAUUAUUAUUCAAAUGUAUAUAUAAAACUAUAAUUUAACGCAAUCGCACAAAUUAUAGAGGAAAAUAUUCAUUGUAUCUUUCAUACAAGUUAAACUAUGAAAUUGAAGUUCCUUUGUUGCUCCUACUAAUACAAUUUCUUUGUUUAUCAUCUUUCCUAAUAUAUGACAAAUUUUUGCAGUAACCCAUCAAGAAAGUAUAUGCAGAAAAUCAAUCAUAAUAAUCUCACAAUUUUUGUAUUGUACUUUGAUGAAAUCCUCUUGAAAUUGCAGCUUAUACCAAAUACUAAAAUAGUUAUCCAUAUCACUCUUUUCUUUUCUUCUAUUUUUCUGAUAAAAGGAGAUUGCAUGAAGUAUAUUAUUUAUCACCCAAAAUAUUCCAACAAAACAAAAAAAUGGUAAUAUAUGUCGUAAGUUUACAUCUAAUUUCCAAUUGAUCUGAUAUAAAGGGAAGGGUGUAUUUCAAGAGUGAUGAUAUAUGUACAAACUGAGUAGUAGCUUAUACGGUACCUAUGCUAUUAACAGAUUCUUGGAGGCAUAAUAAUUAAUCGAGCGUGCAAUGUCCUCGCCAAGUUAUAAGUAAAUUCAAUAGAGGUUGGAGGCUAAAGGUUGAUACAUAAAAGAAGGGGAGGGGCAUAGUUCUGCUUCAAACAAAGCCCCAAAUUUAAUUAGCAUUUUGAGUUGUUAAAAUAAGUAAAUUCACCAUACUUUUUUGUUAGAUUUUGGCUCUCUUCUUCAGCAGAAUGUAGCGUACAGUACAAGAAGCAGGGACCGUCCUUUCUACCAUGAUUUGUUUUUCUGCCCACAUAUUCCAACAAAACGAAUAUGGUAAUAAAUGUCAUCAAUUUCCUUCUAAUUUCCAAUUGAUCUGAUAUAAAUGGUGUAAUUCAAGAGUACUUGUAUAAUAUAUAUGCCCAACUGAGUACUAGCUUAGAUGGAAUCUAUGCUGUUGACGGACUCUUGUAGGCAUGUUCGAGAGAGCUUAAACACAUUUGUAUUUUUCAGUGCUCCAUAGAAUAUUCUAAUGAGUGUCAAGUUCAUUAAAAAUGAUGUAAAAAGUAGUAUAAAAAUAAGCAAAAAGGAAAUUAAAUUAAAUAAACUAAUAUGAUGGAUUUCAAGCUUUAAGCUCGAUUUUGUUCCAAUUUCAAACCAAUGCACGAUAACAAGUCUUCUCCUUCAACCGAUAAGUCAGCUAUAGUGAUAGAGGAUGCCUCAGACCACCAAUCCUUCCACAUGUAAAUUAAUUACGAGAACGGCCAACAAUUAAUCCUUAUCGAACGAAAAACCACAAAACACACAUCCACGAUUUAGCUCUCCGGUAGCCUUGUGAGCUAAAAGGGUCCAUCUCGAACCAACAGCGUCAAUUACGCGAGCUGUUUAGAUCCGAUUGCUAACUUUUUAGUUGGACAUGCCAAUAUGUUCUUUGGAAGAUCAAAUACGACAAAUGAUCAAUCCGGUACUUCCAAUUGUACGUCUAUCAACACCAAAUUAACGAGCUCUUUUUAACAUGGUGUCAACACAACUUUGUGAGAUACCAGCGUCUAUCUCCUAAAUCAAAGAAACAACAAAUACCGAAAUAAAAGUUUUUAUGUAUAAAUUUGGAUCUCACAUCUCUCUACCGGAUUAUUUAUUUAGCUACUAAUGAAAAUAUAUGAAAUAAAAGUAUAAAUAAAAUUUUAAAAAUAUGGAAAUAGGAUUGCGGAUGGAAGAGAGAAGUAAUAAACAAGUAUGAAUAAAAGAGUGGGGCAAAUUUUCCAAUAAUAAAGAAAUAAAAAUCAUCACCCUUUAAAAAAGAGUGGGCCAAUCUCACUUUUACCCUUUAUAAAAUAGAUACCGUAAUGUUGCAAUUGAUAAUUCUGCCCAACUUGUUGUUCUCUAUUCAUAGCAUCAUGUGGUGCUAUUCAAGAAAAAUACAUUGAAAGCUGCAGGAAAUUUAUAAAGAAAGGCCGUCCGUUAACUAAGUUUUUAAUAUAAAAUUAGUAACUUUUUAUUUAAUUAUUACUUAGUGGGUGGGCGGUGACAUCUUUAAAAUACAAUAUUGACUCUACGGCUAAUGUAUGUACGUAUGUAUUAACGCUUGAAUUUCAUCUUGUUCGAAUCAUUUCACUCUUCCUCCUCCAAUAAUCAAACACUUCUUGCUUGCCAUCAAUGGCUGAAGCAAUUGCUUUCGAUAUUGCUGGAGAGCUCAUUACUAAGUUGAUCUCUAGAGCUCCCUCUCAGAUUGGAGUAUGGUGGAAUUCCAAAGAUGACCUCGAUGACUUCAAACGCACCCUCUCUACAAUCAAAGCUGUGCUUCUUGACGCCGAACAACGAUAUGUGGAACGCACCCCCUAAUUUUUUUUUAAGCUCAUAAGAGUUCUUUUUAUUGAAGAAAUAUCAUGAGAGAGCUUAUAAUUAAAAUUAUGUUAUAUAAUAAAUAUAUAUAAGUAAAAGAAAGGAAAGAAAUAAAAAUGGAAAUCAAAUUGAAACUAUCCAUAAAUUUUGGUCUAAUAUGUAAUGUUAUAUUUAAAUUUUGAGUUUAAGCAAUUUUAUAAAUGAAAUGUUAAUUUGAAUCAAUUUUCACAAACGAUUAACAUCGUUAUUUAUAUACUUUCAUUUUAUAUGUACGUAUUAUAUACAUAAAUAAUUAUAUUUAUCUAAUAUAAAAAUAGAUUAAUGCAUUCAUUUCGGUAAAUGUAUAUAAUUGAGUCAACAUCAAAACUUUAUGUAUAUAUUUAAACCACAAUUAAAGUUUUAUUUGUAUUAUUAUACCAAAAUUAAAAUUCAUGUAUCAAAUCACACAUUUCACCAAUGCCUAUAAAUAAUUUUGAUAUUUUUCUAAAAAAAAGUAAAAAAUAAAAAAAAUAGACUUCGACACCAUUGGUGUCGUGGUUGGAAGUAAUAUUUGUCCAUCUCUUUUUUUUUCCUCCCUAAUCUUUUGGAACUUGCUAAAAAAUGACGUCAGCAUUAUUCCUUGUGUUGGAAUAUUGUCUAAAACACUAAAAUCCAUAAAUGUUUUAAUAAUUUUUGAGUUCGCAUGUAAUAUGCAACAAGUAAAAUAAAAAGUACAACUAAGAUGAUUACAUAGUUUGAAAUUCAAUUGUCAGGCCUUAAUCAGAGAGAUCAAUCCAUUAUAAAUUUUACAAUACAAAUAAAUUGUUCAAACCUAACUUGGUGCAACCUUACCAUUCUACAAUUAUGUAAGCUCUUCCAACUCUCUUUACCUAUUGUAAGUGAAAAUCAACACUCAAUAAUAGUUCCUCAAUUAUGUAUCAGAUGUAGUUUGAGUUCAAGUCGCUCUAGUCACGUUAUUGUUAAGGCUUUCACCUCCUAUUGUAAUUAAAAAUAAUAAUAUUAAUAAUAAGAGUAUAGUUAAUUGUUACCAAAAGUGAAGUUAAAUUACCAAAGCUCGAUGCAUGGGUUCGUGUUUAAGCACUUCAAUAUUACAUAGCUCUUCUCUCUAUCUAAUUUUAACAAAAACGAUGAGCCUUUUGAGAAAUUUGUGCCAAAUUUUUUGACUUUUGUCUGCCAUGUGGUGAUUCCAUGUGGCCAUGUCCGACCAAUUAACAUUACUUUUAUGAAGAAUUAUAUUUUUAUGAUAAAAAGUUUUAUCAAGAUUUAUUAAUGUUUAUUAACAACGUUUUAUCAUUAGUGAUUUCUCUUAAUAAAAUUUAAUUUUUGAAUUAUUUAUAAUCAAUAUUAAAUUGAAAGAGUGUGUCAAGUUAAUAGUUAAAAUGUUAAAUAUUUUUUUUUAUAAUUAAGACCAAAUUGAUAGAAUUCAUAAAUACUGAAAGGCUAAAUUUAUUAUUAUGCCAAUAAAAAAGAUAAUGUCAAUAUACAAAAUGAUAUUUUAAUGAUUUCCCAAUUGAUGAUGUUUAAUUAACUCAUAACCCCAACUCUUUCAAAUGUUUGAUAUAAAUAGAAAUAGAUGCCUUGUAGAAACAGAAUGCAUAAACAAAUCGCUUAAUGAUUAAUUUAGUUCUCAAUGAUUAUAUUUUUUUUACCAAGUUAACCCUUAUUCCUAUGUUGAACUAUGGCCUCAACCAUUUAAAGAGAUUCAAAUUACUUUUUUUUUAAUGAAUAUGUUGACUAAAACAUAAAUUUUUUAACAAUGUUGAUGUGACAAUCUACAUGGUAGACUAUGUGUACUUCAUGUUAACAUGACAUUAUUUUUAUUAUAUGUCAUAUCAAUAAAUAAUUUAAAAAUUAUAAAAUAUUUUUAAAAAAUAAAAAUAAAAAUAAAAAAAUAUAAAUAGUGUAAAGCCCAAAAUCUGCCCGGGCCCAUACCAGCCAAAGAAACCCAAAUAAAAACAAAAACAGUCCAUUAACAGCAAGUUUAAACCUAAAAAAAUUACAAAUCCCAACCCAAGCCCACAGCAUUAACAUUUUCAGCAGAAAGGCAUAGCAAACCCUAGCCUCAAGCUAGCCGCCGCUUUUGCCCAAUGCCUCCUCGCGCAUGCCUUCUGCCACCACCGUCGACCUCGUCUCACACCUGCAGAAAAGAAUGAAUGCAAAACAACAGGGGAAUACAAAGAAAUAAAGAGCAAAAAAAACAAAAAAGAUGGAAAUGAACAGUUGUAAUAUGGCUAUAAAAGUCAAAAAAUGCUCGUUGUACAUUUUUUACGCACACAAAAGAAUCGAAAGCAGAAAACCGAAAUUCAAAAGGUUGUUUUUUAAUUGUUCUCUUAGUUUUUUAUAUAUUUAUUUUUUAUUUUAUAUACCUAUAUAUAUUUAAAAAAAACAUUUUAAAGUAAUCGGCAAAGAAAAUAGAAGGAAGAAAACUUACCUGAAUCUGGCCCGCCGCCCCACCGUCGGCGGUCCUUCGCCGUCGCCGGAUUCGGAUUCAAAGGGAGAGAUCGGGCCAUUUCCUUUCGGACCCUCGAAUCAAGAAGGCCCCGACCCUUGAAUACGCUGAAGCGGGGGCUGACGAGGCCAUCUACUCGUCGCUGGCCUUGGGUCACGGAGGAUGCGGCCGCUGCGGCGGCGACCAUGGCCGGCCGAGGGUGGGGUUGAGAGAAACCGAGAGAGAGACCAAAGGGGUUCUCUCUGUUUUUUUUUUUGAAAAUGUGAUUAAAGUGUUUUUUUUGUUUUGUUUUUUUGCAAUUUAUAUAUGGCAUUAAACGGCGCCGUUUGAAGGCUUGGAGGGCUGCCCAUCAUUGCCCUAAUAGGUAUUUUACGCAAUUAGUCCCUCAAGUUCUGUGGCACAUUCGAUGCACUCUUUUAUUUUACUCAAUUUCGGCCACAGAAUUUUGCGCCUGAUUCAAUCUGGUCCUGUGCAGACCAACGCGCAUAAGGGACGGGGAAUAUUCACAAUCAGUCCCCCAUAUCCUCAGCGCAAUUUAUUUCGGUCCCCCUAGCCACCUGUUUCAUGUAUUUGCAGUUUAAGACCCGUUUUUUUAAUUCUGUUUCAACCACAUCCUUAAUAUGUUUAAUUUUUUUUUUAUAUAUGCUAUUUUAUCAUUAUUUGUUUUAAGCCUUUAUAUUUAUUAUUUAUCUGAAAUUGUUUUGCAUUAAAAUUUUUUAUAUAUUUUUCUAAAAAAACUGUUCCUUUUAUUGUUUAAGAUUUUCUUUUGUAUAUUGUUUUAUUUUAAACUAUUUUAGAUUGACUAGUACUUAUUUUAUUUAUUUAUUUGGUUUAAAUUUAUAUAUUAUCAUCUUAUAUAUUAUUAUCUAUAUUAAAAUAUUUUAUAUUAAUAAUUUCAAAUUGUUCAUACAUUUUUAUAAUAUAUAUUUACGUACAUACUUUUCAUUCAUUAUAAAUAUAUACUUUUUAUAUUUUAUAUUUCAUAUUUUUAUAUACAUAGAUAUACGUAUAAAUAUUUUAAUUCAUAUAUAUAUAUAUAUAUGUACUUGUACAUGCUUAAAUAUAUUUUUCAUAUUUCAUAAUUCUUAUAUACUUACUUAUAUGUAUACAUAUUUUACUUCAUAUACAUAUAUUUUUAUAUUAUUACACAUACACAUGCAUACAUACAUAUAUUCUAUUCUUAGUUUUAUUUAUUUGUUUCAUUGUUUUGGUGUUUUGCGUGAUGUUUACCUUUUCUUAUUACGUGUCUCCUAUUUUCAUCUUAUUUUAUUUUGUGUUGCUUCAUUUAUUGCUGCUGCAAUUUAAUUAUCAAUAUCACAUCAUUAUUAUUGUUGUAUCCCAUUAUUUAUCUUUUAAAUAUUUCGUCCACACGGUUACUUUACAUUAUUUCACUAUUAUUGUAUCUUACAUUAUGUUUUAGAAAAAACAUAUUUGUUUGCUUCCAUGUUUAAUAAACUAAGCAUAUAUCAUGUUAAAUAUCACGUUAGUUCUUACUCAAAAUUCAUCAAAAGGAAAAUUUAUCUAAAUAAGGAAAUAUUUUGUUUUUAGAAAAUCGAGAAAAUGUACCCUAACGUACUGGGUUUCGAUUUCUUGUUCGACCAAAUAGCCAAAUAUCCUUUCAAUAAUUUCAAAACAAGGUAAUAUUUUGUGUUUGGAAAAUCGAAAAAACGUGCCCUAACUUGUUGGGUUUCGAUUACUCGUUUGACCAAAUAGUCGAAUAUCCUUUCGAAAUUUCAAAACGAGGCAAUGUUUUGCGUUUGGAAAUUCAAGAAAACGUGCCCUAACGUGCUGAGUUUCGAUUUCUCAUUCGACUAAAUAGCCAAAUAUCCUCUUAAAUCUCAAUCCACGUCGUUCAAAUUUUUAAGGAUCGUACUUUAAAUCUCUUUAAAAGUUUUCAAUAUUUGACAUCAAGACAUCAACUAAUCAACUAGGUACCAAUUUUUGGGCGUUACGAGGGUGCUAAUCCUUCCUCGUACAUAACCGACUACCGAACUCGUUUUUCUGAAUUUCGUGGACCAUAAUCGUUGUUUUAAUAAAAUUAAAUUUUAAGGUGAUUCGAUCACACCUUAUCAAAAAAGAUUGAUGGCGACUUCCCAUUUUUUGUUUUUUUUUAAAUUUAAAUUGACCCCGUUUUAUAAAAAAAAUAGUGUCAACAAAUAGUUCAUGAAAUUCUAAAAAAUUAACAUGAAACACAUGUGGAUUGCUAGGGUCACCAUAAAUAAAAAUUUAGCAUUUUAAGCUAUUUUUCAUUAAAAAAUAAUAGUUUAACUCUUUUUAAAAAGUUGAAGCAAAACUUUACUCAAUAAAAUGGAAGGAAAUGUUAAUGCAAAAUUUAUCAUUGUUCCUAAACAAAUAGGAGGCUAACAUAUAGCAUAAAAAAAUAGUGACUAAGAUUUUAUUUGAUAAAUAAAAACUGAUGUCGUAUAUAAUUGAUAGAAAAUAAAUAUGUUAAAUUAAUAAAUUUUGAAAGAAACUAUCAAAGAGGAUAAUGAUUGGACUUAAACUUUUAAAUUGAAAAAGUUGGGAUAAUUGAAUUUUUAAUUUUUGAAAAGUUUGGGAUCACCAUUUCCCACCAAUCAACAUUAUUUGUAAAUUACUUGGUCUCUACGUGUAUGUAUUCAAAUCUGUGUUUCAUCUUGUUCCAAUAAUUUCAGUUCUCCUCUUGCAGUAAUCAAACACUAUUUUCCCUUGAUUUCAGUUCUUCAAGCCAAACUUUGACGAGAUUGUCGGUCACCGAUUUCUCUUCUGCGUCAAGAAGCACAGCUUUGAUUUGGCAGACAGUGCGUUUGAGGUCGUGGAUGUCAUGUUUUAGAUUCCACCACAGCCCAACUUGAGAGAGAGCACGAGAGCUCAACUUAAUAAUGAGCUCUGCCGCAAUGUCGAAAGCAAUUGCUUCGGCCAUUGUUGGUUCAAACUGAAAUCGAGGCAAAAAGUGUUUGAUUAGUGAAAGAGGACUAAAAUGAGAAUGAUUCCAACAAGAUGAAACACAGAUGUGGAUCCAUCCACCCAGCAAGUAGUAUAAUUAAAUAAAAAGUAAUGUUGAUUGGUGGGAAGUGGUCCCUCCAUGUUUACUGAUUGACACAAAUUUCUGAAUGGAGACAAAGUUGGGAUGAUGACACUUGGGGUGCUCUGCACAAUGUGGAGCCGUACAAAUAAUUGAAAUUAAUGAAAAAGCUACGAAAGAAAAGAGAAAAAGGAGACAAAUCCCAUGGAAUCCAAGGUGUUUUGAUUGAGGCCCAUGCAUUCAAUUCUUUCUAAAACUUCUUCCCACUUUGUGUAAUUAGUGAGUCUGAAUACUUGGCUCUAACUUAAAUUUAAUAUUUUUAUUUUUGAGUUUAACUUCGGUUGAAUAUAUAAAAUAAAAAUUCAAUAAAAUUCAUUCGCCAUUAAAAUUAAAUAUUAUUAAAUUUAAAUCCGAUUAAAUCAAUAAUUUAAACAUAAUUUAAUGAUUAUUGAAUUAAAUUUAAAUUUUUUCGAAUCAAAUUUAAUUAACUUACGAAUAAUUAUCAUGUACACUUUUCUCACCCACUUACUUAGCUUUAAUUUUGUCUUUUAAGGUAACUUGGUGUCUACAGUUAUAUAUUACAACAAUGGUUACCAUCCAUUACUACUUUAGUAUACUCUUAUUAUUAAUGUUUUUUAUAUUAAUGGGUGUGUUAAUUGUAUUUGCUAUUAAUUUUUUUAUAUAAUAUUAAGAGUGGGGAUGGAGGUAAUAUUGUUUGAAUCUAUGUCAAACAGGUAUUAACAAGAGUUUUAACUACCGUUCCUUGCAAGUCAAGACAUAUUUGUUAUUAAUAGUAGUAGCAUUUUGUUUUUUUUUAAAUAUACAUAUAUUUAUUAAGAAAGGAUCAAAGCUUUUGAUUUGUUUAUUAUUAGGGAAAAAUUUAAAUUUAUACAUGAAUUUUAGUUCAAUGAGUAAUUUGAUACAUGAAUUUUGAUGUGGUAUAAUUUCCACAUGAAACUUGUAUUGUGGGUCAUAUAUAUAUGCAUGAAAUUUCAAUUCUGAUUCAACUGUAUACAUGUAAAAAAAUACAUACAUAUAUAUUUUUUACAUUAGAUUAAUAUAAUUGUUUGUCUAUACAAUAUAUCAAAGUAAAAUGUAAGAGGUUGAUUUGGCAUAUCCCAAAACAUUUUGUUAUAGCUUGGAUGGUCAUUCUUGACAAGUUGCCUAUCACCGGCGAAGCCUAAUAGAGACUCCUAAAAUGGUAAAUUUUUAAUUUAGUCCUUUUAUAAUUUAUAAAAUUUUAAAUUAAUAAUGAUAAAAUUAUAAUUUAGUCCUCUAAAAAAUUAUAAAAGUUUAAUUUAACUCUUAAAAAAUUAUAAAGAUAUACCACUAUAACAAUAUAUAAUUUAAUUUCGAGUAAAAAUUGUUUUAGCUCGGCUAUGGGAAUGUAUUUUAUUGGAAUUGAAGAAAAAUUAUUACUUAUACCAUCAUGAAGAUUGCUUCCACUGCUCAUAUCUAUUUAAUUAUUUUAAUACACAUAAAUUUAUUUAUUGUGAGUUGGAUGAUUUUGUUUUGUUUAUUUAAGAUAUUUUAUUUUUAAAUAUAUUCUUAAUUAUUUAUUUUACAUAUACAUGUAUUUUAACUUAAUAUAUUUAAUAGUGAUUUUUUUUAAUAAAAAAAUGACUCAAAGGUCACUACUUUAUUUUAAGUUGCAUUAUAAAUUAUAAUGUUAUGGAUAUCGCUAAGAUAAUAUAUCUCACAAGACAAAUUACAACACUUAGAAAGAGCCCAAUUACAAAGAGAAUCGACUAAUUUGUUACAACCAUGUUUCACCCAUUUGACCUUGGUGGAAACAAAAGAAUCAAGCAUCUUGUGAGUUCUUUGAUGCAGUGACCAAGGAUCGUUAUGUCCUCCUUGUGAAAACUAAAGCAAUAGACAAUGCUAGCACAAUUUGUUUCAUAAAAGACAUUAUCGGCUUCAAGAAUUUGAGCAAGCCGAAAACCAUUGAUGAGGGCAUCUAAUUCCGCUUUAAUAGUAAUUUUUUAUUCUCAUUUUAUCAAUAUAUUUACAUUUGAAUUCAAAUACAUAUUCUACAAUUAACUUUAAUCUCACUGUUAUAAUACUUAACCUCACUAAAUUACUUGUUUAACAUGAUUAUGAUGAAUUUAUAGAAAGAACAAUCACGAAGCAAAUGCGGAUGCACUUAUGUUUAAAGUGUUAGUAAUGGAAAUUUUAUUAUUUUGAAAAAUAAAAGUAUAAUAACUUUUUUGGCAUUCCAACUUUAUAAAAGAAUUAUUUUAGCUCUUUGUUGAUUUUCCUUAUCUUUUAGUCUUUGAACUUACAUUUUUUUUUGUCAAACCAUCCAAAAUGGGUGAAAAAGUUAGCGUUUGUUAACUUUGUUGACUUGACAUAUAGGUUAAUUACCACGUGUAUGUCACAUUAACAAUUAAUUAUUUUAAAAAAAUUAAAAAGUAUUUUCUUAUAAUUUUUUAAUUUUUAAAAUAUAUUUUUGAUUUUUUAAAAUUUUAAAAAAUUAAUUAAUUACUUAUGUGUCAUAUACGUGACAAUCUGCAUGUAUAUCACAUCAGUAAAAUCAACAGACGUUAAUUUUUCACUCAUUUGGCGGUGAUUUAACCAAAAUUACAAGUUUAAAAACUAAAAAAACGAAAAAUUCAAUGAAAAGUUGAGAUAAAUUUUUCUGUAAAGUUGGAGACCAAAAGAAUCAUUAUGGCAAAAAAUAGUUGUUUUUCUUCUCUCUCUCUCUCUCUUUUGGCAUCUUUUAGUGCUAAAAUUCAAGAUGGUGUGGAAUAGUUUCUAAUCUUUUUAUUGCUAUAUAUGUUUUCAAUUUCAUUAGAGCAAAUCUCACUAUUUAUAUAAAGAGAGCCUAAAUUUAAUUUGUUCAGCUUCUAUUAAACAUGUUAGUGCUCCUUUGUAUGAUUAUUUACCUCCUGUGAGUAGGGUUGAGUAAAAAUAAAAUAAAAUAAUUGAAAAUCGAUCCAAAUCAAGGUGUUUAGAUAGUUUAUGGAAUACAAAUUAAAAAAUCACAAUUAUCCGAAAUGAACUAAAUUCUAUUCUUCAUUUAAUUUAUAAAUAUUUUUUAUAAUAUAAAAAUAAAUCUUUUAUAUUUAAAAAUGGUGAAAAUAAAUAAAUAAAUUUUAAAAAUAUUAUAAAAAAUUAUUUGAUUAUUUUUAUUUACUUUUAUCAAGAAUUAUAUUUUUAUGAUAAAAAGUUUUAUCAAAAUUAUUAAAGUUUAUUAACACAGUUUUAUCAUUAUUGAUUUCUCUUAAUAAAAUUUAAUCUUUGAAUUAUUAAUAAUCAAUAUUAAAUUGAAAAGAGUGUGUAAAGUUAAUAGUUAAUAUGUUAAAUUUUUUAUAAUUAGGACUAAAUUGUUAGAAUUUAUAAAUAUUGAAAGGCUAAAUUUAUUAUUAUGCCAAUAAAAAAGAUCAUGUCAAUAUACAAAAUGAUAUUUUAAUGAUUUCUCAAUUGAUGAUGUUUGAUUAACUCAUGACACCAACUUUUUCAAUAUACAAAAUGAUAUUUUAAUGAUUUCUCAAUUGAUGGUGUUUGAUUAACUCAUGACACCAACUUUUUCAAGUGUUUGAUAUAAAUAGAAAUAAAUGCCUUGUAGAAUCAUAAUGCAUAAACAAAUCGCUUAAUGAUUAAUUCAGUUCUCAAUGAUUAUAUUUUUUUGCCAGUUUAACCCUUAUUCCUUUGUUGAACUAUGGCCUCCGCCAUUUAAAAAGAUUCAAUUACUUCUUUUAAAUGAAUAUGUUGACUAAAACCUAAAUUCUUGAACGAUGUUGAUGUGGCAAUCUGCAUGGUAGACUAUGUGUACUUCAUGCUAAUAUGACAUUAUUUGUCUUAUAUGUCACAUCAAUAAAUAAUUUAAAAAUUAUAAAAUAUUUUUAAAAAAUAAAAAAUAUAUAAGUAGUUAAUGAAAUUCUAAAAAAUUAACAUAAAAUACAUGUGGAUUGCUAUGGGGGUCACCAUAAUUAAAAAUUUAGCAUUUGAAAUAAUAUUUUUAUUAAAAAUAAUAGUUUGAUUAUUUUUAAAAGGUUGAAGCUAAAUUUUACUCAAUAAAGUGGAAGGAAAUGUUAAUGCUAAAUUUAUCAUUGUUCCUAAACAAAUAGGAGGCUAACAUUUAGCAUCAAAAAAUAGCUACUAAGAUUUUUUUGAUAAACUAAAAACUGAUGUCGCAUAUGAUUGAUAGAAAAUAAACAUGUUAAAUUGAUAAAUUUUAAAAAAACUAUCGAAGAGUAUAAUGAUUGGACUAAAACUUUUUAAAUUGAAAAAGUUGGGAUAAUUGAAUUUUUAAUUUUUGAAAAGUUUGGGACCACUUCCCAUCAAUCAACAUUAUUUGUAAAUUACUUGGUCUCGACAUGUAUGUAUUUGUUGAAGUUGGUCAGCAUGAAGCCAACACUCGAUUUCAUACAGGCCAUGAAGACCAAGCAAAGCUGGAACAGAUGCAAGGGCUGCUGAUGCAAGCUCAUUUUGUUCAUUUUGUUAUAUUUAGUUGAUGAAAUGAGUGUUAGUUCAUUUCUAACUAAGUUAGCUUUCUGAUUGAUGUAAUUAGCUUAUGUAUGAGCUGUAAACACACUUUUGUAUAAGUUUACAAGCUAAGAUUUCAAGUUUCUAUGUAAUUAGUGGAGGUAGGUAAUUACUUGUUGAUUUUGACAAGCCUUAUGCUUGAGUUAUGUACUGGCUUCAAGCCAUUGUUUUUAUGUAUGAAUCAAAUCAGUUUUGUUCAUCAUUAUUCUCUCAAAUUUCCCUAGCUUAUUUUCUUCUUUCUUUAACUCGAAAUUGUUUGUUUGCUCAGCAAGUUUCGAGGCUUGCUCGACAAGAUACUUGCUGAGUCUGCUUGAUUCUAUUGUUGCACCAACAGUAUUCAAAUCUGUGUUUCAUCUUGUUCCAAUAAUUUCAGUUCUCCUCUUGCAGUAAUCAAACGCUAUUUUCCCUUGAUUUCAGCUUGAACCAUCAAUGGCCGAUGCAAUUGCUUCCAAUCUCGCCACAGAGCUCAUUAAGUUGCGCUCUCGUGCUCUCUCUCAAAUUGGACUCUGGUGGAAUCUCGAACAUGACAUCUUCGACCUCGAACUCACUGUCUAUACAAUCAAAGAUGUGCUUCUUGACGCAGUAGAGAAAUCGGUGACCAGCGAUCUCGUCAAAGUUUGGGUUGAACAGGUGACCGAUGCACUUUAUGAUGCUGAUGACUUGCUCGAUGAUUUCUCUACUGAAGCUUUGCGGAAAGAUCUGAUGAGUGGGAACAAGCUGACAAAAGAGGUACGCCUUUUCUUCUCAAGCUCAAACCAGUUUGCUUACAGCCUCAAAAUGGGGCGGAAAAUUAAGGCUAUUAAGGCCAGAUUAGCUUCGAUUGGAAGCAAGGCCAAGAUGUUCGGCUUGGUAAACCGUGAUUGUCCUGUGGAAACUUCUUUCAUGACCAAAAAGAGGCAGCAAAUGCACUCUUUUGUGCGUGAAGAUGAAAUAAUAGGGAGGGAUAAUGAUAAAGCAGCUCUUCUAGAACUCGUGUUAGGGUUUCAAAGUGAAGAGAAUCUUUAUAUCAUUCCAAUUGUGGGAUUUGGAGGGUUAGGGAAAACUACAUUGGCAGGACUUGUUUAUAACGAUGAAAUGGUUAAACAAUGUUUUGAGUUGAUGAUGUGGGUGUGUGUUUCAGAUGUUUUUGACGUGAAAGCAAUUGUAAAAACCAUUAUUGAGUGUGUGACUUACAAAGCACUAGAUCAAAAUCUCGGUAUGGACCAAUUGCAAAAACAACUUCGAGAUGAAAUUGAUGGGAGAAAAUAUUUGCUUGUUUUGGAUGACGUUUGGAAUGAGGAUGUGCAACAAUGGUUAAGCUUAAAGAAUUUACUGAUGGGUGGGGCUAGAGGAAGUAAGAUAAUACUAACUACUCGCUCUAUGAAGGUAGCAAAAAUUACUAGUAAUUGUCCACCCUAUGUUUUGAAAGGUUUGUCUGACGAUGAUGCUUGGUCUUUGUUCAAAAAGAUAGCAUUUAAGGAAGGAUAUGCAGACUCAACAAAUUCAGUCUUUGUGGAAAUGGGGAAGCAAAUAUCGGAAAACUGUGCUGGAGUUCCUUUAGCCAUAAAUACAAUAGGUGGUAUGUUAUCUUUUAAGGGAACUCUAAUUGAGUGGCAGUCUUUCCUAGACAGACAACUUAGUAGAAUAUCCCUAAGAGAAAAUGAAAUUUUAGAUUCACUUGGGCUAAGUUACAGUCAUCUCCCAUCCCAUUUAAAGCUUUGCUUUGCUUAUUGUGGAUUGUAUCCAAGAGGCCAUGCGAUUGAUGUACAAACACUUGUUCAAUUUUGGAUUGCACAAGGUUUUGUAAAGCAAUCAAAUCCGAGUCAAUCUCUUUAUGAGAUUGGAUUUGGGUAUUUUAAAGAUUUAGUUGAAAGAAGCUUCUUUCAAGAAGUAGGGGAAAGAUAUUCGGGGGAAGGACUAACAUGUAAAAUGCAUGAUUUAAUGCACGAUCUAGCUAUAUUUGUAGCAAAGACAAAUAGCAUUGUUGUAGAUUCAAAUUUUAGUGCAGGGGAGGUUGGUGGCAAAUGUCGUCACAUAUCUGUUAAUCCUUCAUUAAUUCCUUUGAUUAAAGGAAAGAGGUUGCGAACCUUGUUACAUUUUCCAAACAAGAGAGAGGAAAGCCAACAUAUGAGUGAUGAAACUUGGGAUUCAAUCAUUUCAAAUUGUAUACACUUGCGUGUAUUAAAAUUAGAUAAUUUAGAUAUUAAUAAAGUUCCACGGUCCAUUCAUAAAUUGAAACAUUUGAGAUAUCUUGAUCUUUCUAACAAUCCUAAGCUUAAGAUCUUGCCUAAGGGUAUUUGCAAGAUACAAAAUUUACAGGCGCUAAAACUUGAUUGGUGUAGUCAACUUAAAGAAUUGCCAAAGAAGAUUGAAAAUUUGGUGAAUCUUACCCAUAUUACGUGUGAACAAUGUCAUAGUUUAACUCAUAUGCCACGUGGAAUAGGGGUGUUGACUUCCCUUCAGACAUUAAGUGGAUUUGUAGUGGAUAAAGAUGGUUCUCAUGGUGGUGCAGAUCUAAGUGAAUUGAGUGGGCUUAACAACCUAAGGGGACAACUAAGAAUUAAAAAUUUGGGAUUUGUGAAAAAUGCAAAAGAGAUAUUUAGGGCUGCUAAUUUGAAAGAGAAGCAACAUUUGCGAUCGUUGGUUUUAGUAUGGAGUGGUGAUAGUGAUGAUGACGACAAGUCACUUGAAGACCUACAACCCCAUCCAAAUCUGGAGUCGUUGCUUGUGAUAGGGUGGAGAGGAGAUGCCAAGUUUCCAAGUUGGAUUUCUUUGCUCACAAAUCUUGUAAAUAUUUCCAUAUGGGGUCCUAGUAAAUUCAAACAUCUCCCUUCCUUUGCUCAAUUGCCUUGUCUUCAACACCUAUUCGUUUUGGAUUUGGUUGAGCUCGAGUACAUGGACAAUAACAACCCCAAUGGAAGACAAGGGGACCUGGAAUCAUUUUUCCCAUUGCUCAAGCGUCUUCACAUCCAAAAUUGUCCAAAUAUGAAGGUUUGGUGGAGGAGAAGGCCGAUAGAUGAUGAUAACGAGGAUGACACAACAGUUAUAGGAACAUCAACCAUUGCAUUUCCUUGUCUUUCCCAUUUACAUAUUGAAGAUUGCCCUUUGACUUCAAUGCCGUUGUAUCCAUCACUUGAUGAACUAAUAUUGGUCAAUACCAGUUCAAGGCCAUUAAAGCAGACCCUUAAGAUGAACACCACCAGUAUAUCACCAUCAACUUCAACCCCUUCUCUUCCUCUCUCCAAAUUGAGCUCUUUCCACGUACAGAAUAUCGAGGAACUGGACACGAGCAUGCUAGAUGAGUGGCUUCAACAUCUAACAAAUCUGCAACAGCUUUAUCUCAUUGAUUUGCCCAAUUUAACAUCGCUUCCGGACGAGAUGGUUCGCCUAACUAAUUUGCAACAGUUAAAUAUAGAUGGAGUUCCUCGGUUGGAGCAAAGGUGUGAGAAGCACAUUGGUGCCGAUUGGUAUAAGAUUGCUCACAUCCCUGAAGGUUGGACUUUUCAUUAAUUUCCUUAUUGAAAUACUGCUCCUACUAGUACUAAUUCUUUAAUUAUCAUUUUUCAUAAUAUUUUUGCUAAUUUGUGCAGUAACCAACGGCCUGGGUAUUUAUUCUGAAAGGCAUUUGACAACUUGAAGAAAUUAGAUGCAGAAAAAAGAGGAGGUAAUUACUUAAUUGCUUUACAUUUUGAAAUCAUAACAUUCUCACAAUUUCAAAUGAUCUAAUAUAACCCCCUAACUAAGCUUCUUCUUUUUCAGCAUGAGUUCAAUGGAAGAGCCAAAAAACAGGACAUGCAUUCUUCAUCAGCUGAUCUGUCCAUGGCAUUGUACUCCCAUGAAAUCGUCAUCUGUAAGCACGUUUGUUCUUUCUUUUUCUUUUUUUUCUUUGUUGAGGAGUCCCUCUGAUGAUUUAAUCCUAUUUUUUGUUAGAUUUUGGCUCUCUUCUUAUGCAGAGCAUAGCAUAUAUUACAAGAAGCGGAGGCCAUACUUUCAACUACGAUUUGUUUAUCUGCCAAAAUAUUCCAACAAAACAAAAAUGGUAAGAUAUGUCAUCAGGUUCCAUAUAAUUUUUCCAAUUGAUUUGAUAUAAAGUAUAUAUAUGGAGUAUUUCAAGAGUAGUAAUAUAUAUGCUAACAGAUUACUAGCUUAUAUGGUACCUAUGCUAUUGACAGAUUGAGUCGUGUUGGAGAGAGCUUAAACACGAAAUGUCAUUGUCAAGUAAGUAAAUUGAAUAGGGGAUAGAGGUUAAGGGUUGAUGAAAAUGGAGGGGGAAGAGGGGAACUUUGAUGCAGGGCACCCCUUUUAGCUGUUUGAAUUUUGAAGGUUGAAUCAGGAAAGAAUCUUGCUUCAGAAUAUUCGGUGGUGAGGUUGAGGUUGAUAAAAUGUUUCCAUUAUUUAUAGAUGAACAACAAUAUAUUAAACUUACAUAUUAACACUAACGGGGAUGUGAAUUUGUUACCAUUACAGAUGAUGAUGAUGAUGAUGAUGAUGCCCAAUGUUUGCCCUUUCGUAAAACUUGCACUGGAAAAUCAUAGAGAAUGCCUUUGUGGUUAGCCACCAUUCAUGCACAUAAUAUAAAGUUCUAUUUAGUAACAGUAAGUGUUUCUUCUACAUUAGGACACUGCUCAGUCUAAAUGACAUAAAUUUUAACAUAAUAUGUAUUGGCAUUUAUAAUUUGCAGGUUCAUUGUUGCUAUAUAGAGAAAAUUAAUGGGCUAGAAUCCACCUUAAAGACAUUGAUAUCCUUAGCUCUCAAAGAAACACCCUGCCAUUACCUACGUUCUUCCUUUCUUUCUUUCGAGAAUUGCAAUGUCUCAUCGCAUUGAGAUUCCAGAAGAAAUGCUUAUGUAAAGCUUGGUUGAUCCUGGAGCUUAUAUAUAUAGAUGAUUUGUUUCGUGGGUGAUGUAUGGAUUUAAAGGAACACUUGGUGAGGAACUAUUAUUGAGUGCCACCUUCUGAGUGUUACUUUUCCUUUGCAUAGCUAAAGUAAGUUGGAAGAGUGUUUACUUAAUUGUGCAAACGUGAGGAUGCACCAAGUUUGGAGGGUUGGGCGUAAAUCAUUUAUUUGUACUGUGAAGUUGAUAGUGAAUUUAUUUUUGGGCAAGACCCCGCAGAUGUAGGACGAGUUCCGAACUGCGUAAACAUCUUGAUUAUAUUUUUUUAUUCUUCUUUAGUUUUACUUUUGUGUGUCAGAAAAACAAACAUUUUUAUUUUUCGGAGUUUCAAAUAAUGUUCCAACACAUGGAAACACAACUAAUUAUCAGGCAAUUUCGUGUACAUUAUGUAAGACUAUCAUUUAAUGAAAGCGCUUCAGUACCUAAUUAACAUGGCUGAAAAUAUGGAUGCCUGCCCUGCAACAGUUGCAACCCCUUUUAGCUUGUUACAAAACAACUAUACCUAGAUCCAAUGUCUUCUUUUAUCUUCAAUUAAAUUUUGUAUUUUAGGAAUUUUACUUUCAUUGAAGAAGAAAAUUUUGGGUAAAAUUAAUAUUAUAUGAAUAAAGUUAGCUUAGCUCAACAACUCAAGCUUGCAAGGGGAGAAGAGAUAUCUAUAUAUAUUUGAUUUUUGCCUUGUGAGCUAUUUUCAAUUGAAUAAAGGUAAAGUCCACUAACCCCAUUGAUAUUUUUAUUGAGAAGAGGAAAAAAAAAUUGACUAUAUAGGAUUAUCAAUAAAAGUCAAUUUUACUUUUAUUUUGGAUUGAUAGAUUCUAGAUUGCGUUCUGGUGAAAACGAAGUUGUGAACUAUAUUUCUUGGUUAUGGAUAAAAUUGCUUUGUAAGAUACAUGUUAGCAUAUAUUUUGGGUUUAAUUUUCAAUUAAUAGAUACAUGUCAUACCUCGUAAGAUCACAUUCAAACUUUAAUAUAUAAUCAUCCCUAUUGGAGUAAUAAAGUUUUAAUAAGUAUAUUGUUAACCAAAAAUAAUAGGGAAAAAAGAAAGAAAGAAUAUAAUAAAUUUAGUUUAAUAUAGACCUGUUUAUGGAUUGGGCUACCCGUCAAGCUUGAAUGCCUGUAAAAAAAUUUGGAAGGGUUUGGGUAAAAUAUUAGACCCGAAAACUGGACUUGAAAAAAAAUUAAGCUUGUUUAAAAUAUGGGUCGAGCUUGGGCUUAAACAUUCAAGGCUUAAGCCCGACCCAAUGUAUUUUUUUAGUUUGUAAUAUUUUAUAUUCUAUUAUUUUUAUAUACUAUGUAACUUAUAACAAAUAAAAAUUAAAUUUAUAACACUACUAUAAAGUAAACAUUAAAACAUUUUAAUAUAAAUAUAUUUGUAAAAAUAUUAAGAUGAUUAGAUAUAAAAUUUUAAUAAAAAUAUAUAUGUAAAAUUAUUAAAUAUUAAAUUAAAAAUAAUAAUAUGGACGAGUUUAAAAUAGGCUUGGGUUAGCUAUUUAUCAAAAUGGACAGACUUGGACAAUUUCGAGUCAGGCUGAACUUAAGUAAGUAUAAAAUGAAUUAAUAUCAUGUUAAGCCCGAUUAAACCUGACCCAUGAUUACCUUUAAUUUAAUCUUACAACUCUGCAUUUUUAGAUAAUAUUUGAAUGAGUUUUAUCAACUUGUAUAAUAUUAUUAGAGAAACAAAAAUUCUUUAGAAUGAAAGCUUUGAUUUUAUAAAAAGUAUUAUAACAUCUGCAAUAUAUAAAAUUACUGCUGCUAUUUACUGCUGUUUUACUGCUAUUUUGUUAUUAUAUUAUUAUUAUUAUUAUUUUAUUAUUAUUAUUUAGAUAGUAUAUAACUCUUAUUUUAUUGUUAAUUUUGCUACUAUUUUAGAGUCAUUUGUUUUCUAAAUUACAACUAUUUUAGUGUUAUUUAGGUAUAAAGACAUAUUCAAUAUGUUGAAUAUUAACACAAGUUUGUUGAAAAAAAUGUUUGUUUGUGUUUAUAGGGACGCAGCUUUUGUCUUUAGUUUCUAGGUACUAAGUUUAAUCUUAUGUAUUUUGUUAAUAGGAAAAUGAAUCCCACGUCAUUUAGAAACAAAAGGCAAGAGAUUAUAAAUUCAUAUAAACCCCAUAUUCUAUAUUACUUAGAAAAAUAAUGAUAAUGAGACUUUUGGAUCAUAUAAAGACCAUGUUUUAAAUAUUAUUUGUAUUUUAUUUGGUUUUCUUUAAAUUUCUCUUUUAAGAGCUGCAGUUAAAUUUUAGUUGAAUGAAACAGUAGAGAUAGGUGUUCUACCAUAUAUAUAUAUAUAUAUAUAUAUAUAUAUAUAUAUAUAUAUAUGUAUAUGUGGAAUCAGAUUCUAUCAACAGUUCAUGUUCAAGGGUCGAUUAAAUAUUGAACCCAAUAUUCAUCACGUAACCUUAUUAUUUCACAUAUAUUUUCAUUUAUCCAAUUUAUCCGAUGAACAUUUUAGAAUAUUAACCGUUACACGGUGGAAUCAGCACUUAGCAACCACCUCAUGUUCAAAGGAUCCCAGUGGAAUCAGCACUUGGCAACCUCCUCAUGUUCAAAGGAUCCCAAUGGAAUCAACACUUAGAAACCACCUUAUAAUCAAUGAUACGGGGAAUCAGCACAUAGCAACCCCUUUCACAAUCAAGGAUACGGUGGAAUCAGCACUUAGCAACCACCUUAUAAUCAAUGAUACGGGGAAUCAGCACAUAGUAACCCCUUUUUGAUCAAUGAUUCGGGGAAUCUGCACUUAGCAACCCCUUACAUUCAAAGAAUUCCGGUCAAAUUCGAGUGUUCAAUCGGGAAUCUUACUUCACAACAUUUUACCAACUUUUCCAAUUUAUUCACAUUUUGUAAUCUACAUCAAAUAUUUAUUCUAUAUUCAAUCAUAUCUCAACAAUAUAUUAAAUAAAAUUAAAACAAUGAAUUAUUCACAUACAAAAUUACCAUCAUGCUUUCAAAGUCAAUUCAUCAUCUUUCUUGGUUUAUAAUAACACAUUUAACUUAUUUAACACUCACAUUAUUCAAUCUAGUCCUAAAAUCACACUUUGGCAAAAAUUACAUUUUGCCCCUAAAGUUUCACAAAAUUAUGAUUUUACCCCAAAGCUCGUAAAUUAAACUUCAUCCCUUAUUCUUAUGUAUUAUGAAAUGCUGAACAUUUUCCCCUUCUAUGGCAACAUCGAAUUCACACUUUAACACUUACUUAUGAACAUUAGGUAUUUUUACCGAUUAUGUCGUUUUACUAGUUUUCACUUAAAAUCGCUUAGCAAAAGUUGUUUAACAUAAUUUCAAGCUUCAUAUUCUACCAUAAAACAUCAAAAUAAACACAUUUCACCUAUGGUUACUUUUCCAAAUAUAAACCAUAGAUUAAAUUAUUGCUAGAAUAAGCUAAAUCAAGUUAUCGGGACUCCAAAAACGUAAAGAACAUUAAAAACGGCGCUUGGAAUCACUUACUAUGGAGCUUGGAAGCUUGAAAACCCUAAAAAUGGCUUCCCCCCUUGUGAAAUUCGGCCAAGGCUUGAAGAUGAUGAUUUUUGGCCUAUUUUGUCUUUUUAAUACAUUUUAAUUAUCGAAUUACCAAAAUACCCUAACUUAAAAAUUUUCUAUUUCACUUAUCUCAUGUCCAUUUUUGUCCACAAUGUAACCAAUGGUCUAAUAACCAUUUAAGGACUUCCAAUUUAAAAUUUCAUAACAAUUGGACACUUCUAACAUGUAGAACUAAACUUUUGCACUUUUUACAAUUUAGUCCUUUUGGCUAAAUUGAGUGCCCAAACGUCGAAAUUUUUGAACGAAAUUUUCACAAAAUGAUUCUGUGAAAUUGUAGACAAUAAAAAUAUGAUAAAAAAUAAAUUUUUUCUCGUUAGAUUUGUGGUCCCGAAACCACUGUUCCGACUAGGCCCAAAAUCGGGCUGUUGCACACUAGACUCAUCUAGCCAAAGUUUGUCGAGAUUCCCCAAAAAGGGUUCAUGAGGCUUAGAAUCCGUACUUAGCCUUCUUAAUGAGUAUUCAUCAUUUCUCCGCACUACGGGACUAACGCUUCCAUCCCUGUCCCCUCAAAAGUGAUCUUUUCAUCUUGUGCAAAGGCGGCCGCUUUGUAUGUUUUAAGAAGGUUGCACAGUCGGUUCGUUAGCUUAAUGUGUUAGUGGUUGCCGAGCCCAAGAGACAAAAUGGUGUGGCAUUUUCCAUUGAAAAGUGAUGAUCUAGUGUAAGACAGUCCAACAAAAGUGACAGUCGGCUAGAGUCAGGUUCUUUUAUAUCGUAAGUUUAAAAUCUAAGUGGAGCUAGUGGCUGUAGGCGUCGUUUUCCAUUAUAUCUGACUUAUUUUUUCAUGAGAAGAAUCAUCUAAAAGCCUAAGAUUGAACCCAAGAAGGAUCGAGAUAACCAGAGGCUGGAAUCUCUCAAUCCAAGAAUCUCUUUUCUCGACUUUGUUAAUUUUUACAAUUUCUAUUUCAAUUUACACAAUCUCAAUUUGUCCAUAUUUUUAAUUCUGUUUUUUUUAUUUCUUUCAGGUAUGCAGUUUUUCUUGGGCAUGACUGUGCCCGAGAAAUCGAUGAAUAAGAAGUUGUGCAAAACCAGUCUUUAAGGAUUUUACCCUACUUCCCUUAUACUAUUAUUUUCAUUAUUUUAUAGGGAUAGGAUACUUUUGGUGCUUUCAAUGACACAUCAGUCACUGGUUUCUUGGAAAUCAAAGGACCAAUCUACUGUAUCCAAGUCUUCAACAGAAGCAGAGUACAGGAGUAUGGCAAUCACAGCAACAGAGGUGGUUUGGCUAGAUGGUUUGCUGACUGAGAUUGGAAUCAGGAGAAAGUAAUCAGUCAAGCUUUUUUGUGAUAGGCUACUUAAAAGAUUUAGAAUGGUCUUAUAAAGACUGAGCAUAUAUCUCCACAGAGCAGUUGGCAAACAUCCUUACAAAGAUUUUGGGGGUAUAGCAACAUUAGCAUUUAGUAUCCAAGUUGGGGGUUAAAGAUGUAUUUCAACCACCAACUUGAGGGGGAGUGUUGAAACAAAUAGUUAGUUUGUUAAUUUCAAAUUAGUUAGAGUUAGUUAGUAUAGGACAAUUUUUUUCUUGGAUGAUGGUUUGACAACUAUAUAUAUAUAUAUAUAUAUAUAUAUAUAUAUUUGUAAAUCAUUUUGUAAGAUAAAUGAAUGAAAAAUCAAAUGAAUUUUUUAAGUUUCUUGAUUUUUUAACAAUUGCUCACAUCGGUAGAGGUUGGUGGUUUCAUUCUAGUCUCAUUCAAAUUGGAUAGUGUUAAUUUCCUUAUUGAAAAAUUAUUCCUUUUACAUCUUCUCUAAAUUGAAUUCCUGCAUGUACAAAUUCUUUAAUUAUCAUAUUUCUUAAUAUUUUGCUAAUUUGUGCAGUAACCCAUUGGCUUGAAUUUUUCUGAAAGGCAUUUGACAAUUUUAAGAGUUUACAUACAGAAAAAGAGGUGGUAAUUAUUUAAGUGCUUUACACUUUUAAAUCUUAAUAAUCGCACAAUUUCAUCUUAACAAAUUGGUCCUAUUUUUCUCUUAAAUUUGUUAAGUUUUUGGCUCUAUUCUUCGACAGAGCACAGCAUACAUUACAUGAAGCAGAUGCCACAUUUUCUACUACGAGUUGUUCAUCUGCCAAAAUUUCCAACAACAGAAAAUGGUAAUAUAUGUCACCAAUUUCCUCCUAAGUUCCAAUUGAUCUGAUAUAAAUGAUGUAAAUGGAGUAUGUCAAGAGUUGUAAUACACAUGCCAACUGACUAAUGUAUAAAACACACAUAUUAACACUAAUGGGGAUGUGAAUUUGUUACCAUUACAGAUGAUGAUGAUGCCCAAUGUUUGUCCCUUCGUUAAGCUUGCACUGAAAAAGCAUAGACAAUUGGUUUGUGUUUGCCAUUGCCAAAGUUCGUCCUUUCUUUCUAGGACUGCAGCAUUGUGGCAUCGAGAUUCCGGUGGAAGAGCCUUAUCUUUUGUUUAAAUGACGAGGGAUUACAUGAACAAAUUACAAGCUGUGUUAUUCGACUUGUGGUUUGAUGUGUGCUGACAUGAGCAACAACACGUAAGUCAUGUAUAUAUAGCCAGGAAUUCGGCUGCUUUUGGAAGAGUCCUAAACCAAGCAUGAUCAGGGGCGUAGCCCUCUCCCUAAAAUGGAAAAUUUCCAUUUAGACCCUUUAAAAAUUUUAAAAUUUUAAAAUAGUAAAGAUAAAAUUACACUUUGUCCAUCCUAAAAAUGAUAAAAAUUUUAUUUAAUCCUUUAAAAAUUAUAAAGCUAUAGACUAUUAAAAAUUACAAUUUAAUUUCAGCCCCUUAAAAAUUUUUCUGGCUUCACCCCUAAGCAUGAUAAUGGAAGAUAGGCUUCAAUAUAUUGUAAUUUGGAAAUUUAUAUAUAUUGUACCAAAAAAUGUGCUAAUCUAAAAGAAGUUGAGAAAAUAAAUAAAAGUAGGACUAAAGUUGCACAAAUCAUUAAGACAGGGACUAUCCGUAAAAUUCACCUAAUUAAAGAAAACAGAGGAAGGGAAAGGAUGGUAAACUCCUCUCCCUUUUCUUCAAAACUUAAAGGAAAUUUUAUUAUGUAUCUUUUAAAAACUUAUUUGAAUAUUUUACUUAGGUAUCAACUAUGCUUUUAAAUUUAUAUUAACACCUAGGUUUGAUUCGCGUUAGUUGGGUUAAUUGUUUGGUCUCUAUCUUGUUAAUGUAAUUUACCAAAAAAAAUUUAUAUGAAUAAAAAAUAUUUUCUUUAGUAAUAGAACAAAUUUUAUUAAUUUCAAUUUUAUGCUAAUGCUUGAAGGGUGUUUUUAUUUUUUGAAUUUAUGAACAAUACUUUUAAUUAAGAAAUUUACUAAACGCAGAUACUUAUAUGAAAAUUAAAAUAUUUAGUCAAAUUUAUUUUUAAAAUUUAUGAAUUAAUUAUAAAAUUAUUCAUCUGAUACAUGACAAUUUCAAUUUUAUCUUCAAAAAGGGCAUAAUUGAAAAAUAGAAUACAAUAUAUUACCUCCUUUUCUUUCUACCAUUUAAUCAAAUGAAAGUUAUGAUUAAUCUCUUCUUUUCCUUUUACUUCCUCAUUUUAGAUAUUCUAAUAAAAGAAUAUAUUUUAAUCUAAACGUAAAAUUAAAAACCAAACAUUAUUGGGAGGAACAGUAACAAACCUUAAAAUAAUUAGUUUUCAUGGAUAAUAAAAUAGACAUAAAAACAUAAUUUUAUUUCAAAGUAGACGAAAUGUAAAUAUCCAACAGUAAAAAGUAACUUCAUAAUUAUUAAAUGUCAAUAUAGUCUACUUACAAAGAAAAAUAACUCAAGAUAAUUUAAGAUAUAACAUUAUUUCUUAAAAUUGAUCAUCCUAAUUGAGUUAUACUCUUCAAAUUUUUAUUAAACCGAAGCCAUCAAUAAGAGAAUUGGUUGAAAAUUGUUGAGCUGUAUCCUUAUCAAUUUUUUAUACUGGCUUUGGUAGUUUCGAUUAAGGGUUGUAUUUGCUCUCCCUCCUCCUUUUUACUUGCGAUUUGGUGUUUUUUUUUUUACUGAGGUUGCUGGUAGUGGAUUUGGUUAUGAUGAUGUUCGGGUUGACUGGGGUUUUGGGUGUGAGGUUGACGGUAGGUGCAAGCUGAAGUAGUGGUCUGGACUCUGAUUUAGUGAAUAGUGUGAUGGUAGGGCUGGAGUAGAGGUUGGAGCAGUUGACGCUGGUGAAGAUGGGAGAGGGAGUUGUCCUUGGCAGUGGUGGUUGGCGACUUUGACUCCAUCAACAGGCUCAAGGUCAUAUGGACCAAAUUGUAAUUUUUUGCAAAAUUUGAGAGGAUUUUUUUUUGUAAAAAUUACAUUGUUCCAUUUUUGUUUCUUUAUAAAUUUUAAAUUUUUUUUGUAAUUAAUAAAAUAUUGUAAAAUAUAUAUUCAGAAUAUAUAAAUCUAACAUUAAUGGUCAAAGCCAAAAAAAAAAAUAUUUAGCAUUAAAAAUAAAAGGAUCAUACAUUACCCAAAUAGUGAAAAUGGAUCCAAAUUCAAUCAAAGUCCUCUAAUUAAUUUGUCCAAAUCAACAUUGAUUCAGAAUUUAUAAUUUUCUUUUCAUUUGAAAAAUUAAACUCAAUAAUUGGUAGACUUAAAUAAAAUUCGGUGUCUACACUGUUUUUUUUUUGUUGUUUUAUGGUCCUUGAAAAUUUAUCUUUUUCGGGUGUCUACACUAUAAAAUUGAAUUUCCUUUGUUGCUCCUACAAAUACAAUUUCUCUGCUUAUCAUCUUUCAUAAUAUAUGGGAAAUUUUUGCAGUAACCCAUCAUAAAACUUUUUCUUUGAAAGGCAUUAGCCAAUUUCAAGAAAUUAUAUGCAGAAAAAGAGGAGGUAAUAAUUUAUGUAAUUGCUUUACAAUUUUAAAUAAAUCAUAAUAAUCUCACAAUGUUUGCAUUGUACUGUGAUGAAAUCCUCUUGAAAUUGCAGCUUAUACGAAAUACUAAAAUAGUUGCACCAACAUGGAAUGACAGCUUAUUCAUACCACUCUUUUCUUUUCUGAUAAAAGGAGAUUGCAUUCAAGUUGGAGAAUGAUGAUUUCCUUAUCAAAAUAUUAUUCCUUUUAUAUAGACUAUAAAAUUGAAUUUCCUUUGUUGCUCCUACUAAUACAAUUUCUUCGUUUGUCAUAAUAUAUGGCAAAAUUUUGCAGUAACCCAUCAAGAAAUUAUAUGCAGGAAAAGCGGAGGUAGUAAUAUUUGCAUUGUACUGUGAUGAAAUCCUCUUGAAAUUGCAGCUUAUACCAAAUGCUAAAAUAGUUACACCAAACAGCUUAUUCAUACCACUCUUUUCUUUUCUUCUAUUUUUCUGAUAAAAGGAGAUUGCAUAAUUUUCAACAAAAAAAAAUGGCAAUAUAUGUCGUAAGUUUCCUUCUAAUUUCCAAUUGAUCUGAUAUAAAGGGAAGGGUGUAUUUCAAGAGUGAUGAUAUAUUUACAAACUGAGUAGUAGCUUAUAUGCUAUUUAACAGAUUGUUGGAGGCAGAAUGGAGCGUGCAAUGUCGUCGCCAAGUAAGUAAAUUGAAUAGGGGUUGGAAGCUAAAGGUUGAUACAUAAAAGAAGGGGAGGGGGAUAUUUCUACUUCAAACAAAACCCCAACUUUAGCAUCUUGAGUUGUUAAAAUUCGCCAUUUAGUUUAGUGUGAAGUAUUUUGGUGGUUCAUAUGUAUGAGUGAGUGAACUUUCAAUUAAGGGGCAUAUAAUAAUAAUUUAGUUCAAUUUUGAUGCAGGCCAUGCCUUUUCCCUAUGAAAUAAUUGGUCACCUUUUUUUUAUGUUGAUUUUGAGAAAAGCCAAAGGGGAAAAGAGUUAGCAGAGACCAUACCUUCUGCUACGAUUGGUUAAUCUGCCAAAUUAUUCCAACAAAACAAAAAUGGUAAUACAAUUAAGAUAAUAAUAUUUUUAUAAAAGUUUAAAAUAGCUUUGUACAUAUGAUGAUAAGAUAAUAUUUAAUUUACAAUAAUCUCACCAUAACAACUCAUAAACACCACUAACAUAAAAAAAUAAAGUUUAACUAAUAAUAAAGAAAUGAAAAUAUAAUUAUAGUCAUAAAAUAUAGACACGAUUUUAAUUGUCACCCAAAAGUCAAACUCAUAAUAUUUAAUCUCAAGUCAAUAAAAUUAUGGACAUUAUAAUAGUUGUUAUGUACAAAAGUCAAAGUCAGCAAAGCUCAAGCACAUGCUGGGGGUGAUUCCAAUGCAUCGGCUCUUUAUUUUAGUAAAACAUGGUGUACAUCAUAAUUCCAGCGCAACCAAGCUAAUUUGAAAAAUGUGCACAACUUGUGCUUCUUUAUUCAUUGCAUCGGUGCUAAGUAACAGAUAUUGAGAUUUAUAUUUAUAAAUAGCACAUUAUAUAACAGCAAGUGUUUCUACAUUUUUACACUACUUGUUCUAAAAUAGAUAAAAUUUAAUAGUUGAAGAUAGGCACGGUGAUAUUGCAUUUGAAAAUUUAUUAUUUCGUUUUACAUGGAGAUUAAGUAAACCUUAGUCCAUCCUGGAGCUUAUAUAUAGAUGAUUUGUUUAGUAAAUGAUAUGUGGAUUUAAAUGAGUACAUAUGUUUGAGGAGCUAUUAUUGAGUUUUAUUGUUAUACGCCUUUUAAGUGUUGAUUUUCAAUUGCAUAGUUGAAACGAAUUGGGAGAGAAUUUACUUCAUUGUAUAAAGAUAAAGUCACAUCAAAUGUUUGAGGGGUUGGCCAUAAAUCUUUCUUUUCAAUGUAAAGUAUAUGGUAGAUUUGAGUCUGGACAAGACUUCACACACUUAGACCAAAUUCCGAGUUGUGUAAAUAUCUUGAUUGUAUUCUUUAUUUUUACUUAUGUAUGUGUUCACACAAGAAAAAAACACAUUUUUCUCUUUUGCUGCUCCAAAUAAGAUUCCAACACAAGAAAACACAACUAAUUAUCAAGUAAAUUUUUGUACAUUAUAUACACUAUAUAUCAUUUAAUGAAAAGGCUUCAUGAAAGAACCAUUGAGCAAUUUCAAAGAUUGAGUUGUACUAACUAGAAGACAAUGCAAGAUUGAGUAAUAAAUCCCAUAGCUUCAUCUCAUGAUUGGUUUGAAUGCUUAGCUUAGCUCAAUUCAAUUACCAGGUGUUGAGGAUAUGAAAAUAUGGAGGCCUUGCAACAAAUACAACCCUUUCCAACUUGUUAUUGCUUCAAUAAAAGCAACUCUUAAAGCUUGAGAAAAUUAGUGAGAGCUUACCCUCGUAUGUUUAUAGAAGAAAAUAUGACAUAAAAUAUUUAAAAAUUUUAAUUUUACACCAAUUCCAAAGAAAAAGAUUAGGGAGAAUAUUAAAACUCCUUCACUCAGCACCCAAUCUCUAGUUGCAGCUACCCAUAUUAAAUAAACAAGAAACUAAAUUCACAUUUUGAUAUUGUUUUGGUUAAGAUUUUUAAAGAUGGAAUCAAUCAUGUGUAUCAAUUUAUUUUUGGUCAAAUUUAUUUGUACGAUUAAAUCAAAUUAAAUUAAAUUAGGGUUUUUAGAUAUGAAAGUUUUAUAUUACAAUAAUUAAAUUUUAUAAUUAUUUAUAGAUUUUUUAUAUUAUAUAUUAAUUUAUUUAAAAUGUUUUCAAUUUUAACUAAUUAUAAACACGUGUAAUGUAUUAGUAGAAAUUGUUAACACCGAACUUAAUUACCUUUAUUUAUUCACCUUUGAAGAUUACAUGGUCUCCCUUAAUCUGUUUUCUUUAGAGAGGGAUUAAUUGUCAAAUUGCUAAUGAUACCCAUGAAAUUUGUUUAGAUCUAUGGGUUUUAUUCAUUUUUAAUUCUGAAAUUUCCUUCAGUUUUGGCUAUUGUCAAAUUGGUUUUUUUUUUAAUUUAAAAAAAUAUAUAAAAUUUUCUAUAAAAGAAAUACUUUUAUAAUUUUCCGCAAAUGGUAUCAUAUAAAUUCUAAAUUUAAUAAUUUAAAAAUAAAAAUAAAAUAACCUUAAAAAUAUAGUUUAACUAAUAAUAAACAAUUAGUCAUAAAAUAUAGGCACGAUUUUAAUUGUCACCCAAAAGUCAAAGUCAUAAUAUAUAUUAAGUAAUAAAGUAUACUUAUAGACAUGAUAAUAAUUGUUAUACAAAAGUCAAAGUCAGCAAAGCUCAAGCACAUGAUGGGAUCUUUUCUUUAGUAAAAUAUUGUGUAGAUUAUAGCUCCAGCACCAACCAAGCUAAAUUGAAAAGUGUUUGCAACUUGUGCUUCCUUAUUCAUUGCAUCAUGUGAUUUAUUAAUGAGUGGGUGGUGAGACCCUAUAUGUAUGUGUACAUUAACACCUGCGUUUCAUCUUGUUCCAAUCAUUUUCAUUUUACUUCUUUUGUAGUAAUCAAACACUUUUUGCCUUGGUUUCAAAUUGAACCAACAAUGGCCGAAGCAAUUGCUUUCGAUAUUGCCAAAGAGCUCAUUACUAAGUUGAGCUCUCCUGCUCUCUCUCAAAUUGGACUGUGGUGGAAUCUCAAAGAUGACAUCGACGGCCUCAAAAGCAUCGUCCGCACAAUCAAGGCUGGGCUUCUUGACGCAGAAGAGCGAUCUGUAACCGACAAUCUUGUCAAAGAUUGGCUUGAAAAGCUGAAAGAUGUACUUUAUGAUGCCGAUGACUUACUCGAUGAUUUCUCUACUGAAGCUUUGCGGAAAAGUCUGGUGAGUGGGAACAAGCUGACGAAAGAGGUACGUCUUUUCUUCUCAAGCUCAAACCAGUUUGCUUACAGUCUCAAAAUGGGUCGGAAAAUUAAGGCCAUUAAGGCGAGAUUAGCUUCAAUUCAAAGUGAGGCUAACACUUUUCGCUUCAUGGUGCGUGACCGCCCCGCGGAAACCUCUUUCAUGACUAAAAGGAGGCAGCAAACACACUCUUUUGAGCGUGAAGAUGAAAUAAUAGGGAGGGAUGAUGAUAAAGCAGCUCUUCUAAAACUCGUGUUAGAGUUUCAAAGUGAAGAGAAUGUUUACAUCAUUCCAAUUAUGGGGUUAGGAGGGUUAGGGAAGACUGCUUUGGCCCAACUUGUCUAUAACGAUGAAAUGGUCAAAAAUCAUUUUGAGUUGACGAUGUUUGCGUGUGUUUCAGAUGUUUUUGAUGUGAAAGUUAUUGUAGCAAACAUUAUCAAAUCUAUAACUAAUAAAGCAACUGAUCCUGAUCAAAAUCUUGAAAUGGAUCAAUUGCAAAAGCAACUUCGAGAUAAAAUUGAUGGGAAAAAAUAUUUGCUUGUUUUGGAUGACAUUUGGAAUGAGGAUGAGCAACAAUGGUUAAGCUUAAAGAAGUUAUUAAUGGGUGGGGCUAAAGGGAGUAGGAUAAUAGUAACUACUCGAUCUCUAAGGGUAGCAAAGAUUGCUAAUAGAUGUGACUCCCAUGUUAUGAAACUAAAAGGCUUGUCUGAUGAUGAUGCUUGGUCUUUGUUCAAAAAGAUAGCAUUUGAGCAAAGAUAUGCAGACUCAACAAAUUCAGCCUUUGUGGAAGUUGGGAAACAAAUUUCAAAAAGGUGUGGUGGGGUUCCCUUAGUCAUAAGGGUGAUAGCUAGUGCGUUAUCUUUUAAAGAAACUGAAAAUGAGUGGCUUUCUUUCAAAGAUAAUGAACUUGCUAAAAUAUCACAAACUGAAGGAAAAAUUCUACCUAUACUUAAAUUGAGUUAUGAUCAUCUCCCGUCCCAUUUGAAGCAUUGCUUUUCUUUUUGCCGAUUGUAUCCAAAAGAUUAUGAAAUUGAUGUACAAGAGCUUGUUCAAUUUUGGAUUGCACAAGGUUUUGUAAAGCAAUCAGAUUCAAAGCAAUCUUUUGAAAAGAUUGGGUUUGAGUAUUUUAAAGAAUUAGCUGAAAAAUGUUUCUUUCAGGAAGUAAAAGGAGACUUGACGGAAGAAAUUACAUGCAAAAUGCAUGAUUCAAUGCAUGAUCUAGCUAAAUUAGUAGCUGGAACAGAGAGUAGUAUUGUAGAUUCAAAUUUAAGUACAAGUGAGGAUGGUGAAAAAUGUCGCCACAUAUCAAUUACAGCCUCAUUAAUACCUUCGUUUAAGGGAAAGAAGUUGCGAACUUUGUUAUAUUUUUCAAACAUGGGACCUCAAAAUUUAAGCGACGAAAUUUGGGAUCUGAUAAUUGCAAAUUGUAGAUGCUUGCGUGUAUUGGGAUUAGAUUAUUUAAAUCUUAAGACGAUUCCACGCUCCAUUUACAAGUUGAAACAUUUGAGAUACCUUGAUCUUUCUAGAAAUAAUUUUAAGAUUCUCCCAAAGAGUAUUUGUAGACUACAAAAUUUGCAAUCUUUGAAACUUGUUGGAGCAAAGAGACAAUAACAGGCUGUUUUGUAUCUUGCUUGAAUAGCAAGCCUCGAGCCUUGGUGAAGAAACAAACUCAGAAGCAAAAACAGAAAAUGAAAUUAGCAAGCGAAUAACAGAAAAGAGAGAAGAAGAAUGAAUGAAAAAAUGAGCUGAUGUUUUUCAUUAACACACAACAAGGCAUUAAGCCAUUACAUAUUUCAGUCAACAAGUAAAACAAACAAGUAAUCACCUAAUCAACUACCUAACUCCACUAAUUUGCAUUGAAACUUUCAAGAUUAGCUUGUACAACUUGCAUUGCUGACUUUUCAGUCAAUCAAUAUCAAAACAUUUACCUACCUAGUUCAACAUGAACUAGAUUACAAAACAAUCAAAAUGGAACCAAAACAGCAAGUGGAUUGGCAGCUUCAAACUUCAGUUGCUGCACACAAUGGCACCACUGCUUGCUGCUAUUUCUUCGAGCAUGACCACCUUUGCAUGUCGUGCAUGGCCACCUUUGCAUGGGAACUAAACUUAACAAAACUUGACUUAUGUCUUGAGCUUGAAGAAUUACCGAAGAAGAUUGAAAAAUUGGUGAAUCUUACCCAUAUUGGGUGUGAAGGUUGUAUUAGUUUAACUCAGAUGCCACGUGGAAUAGGAAACCUGAGUUCCCUUGAAACGUUAAGCAUGUUUGUAGUGGAUAAAUAUGGUUUCCAUGGCAGUGCAGAUCUAAGUGAAUUGAGUGCGCUUAACAACUUAAGGGGAGAGCUAACAAUAACAAAUUUGGGAUUCGUAAAAAAUUCAAAAGAGAUGUUUAGGGCUGCUAAUUUGAAAGAGAAGAAACAUUUGAGAUCGUUGGUUUUAGUAUGGAAUGAUGAUGAUGAUGAUGAUGAUGAUGAUGAUGAUGAUGAUGAUGAUGAUGAUGAUGAUGAUGACGACGACAAGUUACUUGAAGACCUCCGGCCCCAUCCUAAUCUCAAGGAGCUCCGUAUCGAUGGAUGGAAGGGUGAUGCCAAGUUUCCGAGUUGGCUUUCUUUGCUCACGAAUCUCGUUAAUAUUGAAAUAUGGGGCCCUAGUAAAUUCAAAUAUCUACCGUCCUUUGCUCAAUUACCUUGUCUUCAACAGUUGGAUAUAUUUUAUUUAACUGAGCUCGAGUACAUGGAUGAUAAUGGCCCCAAUGGAAGACAAGGAAACACAGAACCAUUCUUCCCGUUGCUUAAGGUUCUCAAAAUCUGGCGCUGCCCAAAUAUGAAGAGUUGGUGGAGGACAACAGAAGCAAUUGGUGAUGAUUCCAACGAGGACGACACAACAGUUAUAGGAACAUCAACCAUGGCAUUUCCUUGCCUUUCCUCUUUAGAAAUUGAAGAUUGCCCUUUGACUUCAAUGCCGUUGUAUCCUUCACUCGAUAAUGAGCUAAAGCUGGUGAAAACCAGUUCUAGGACGUUAAAGCAAACCCUUAAGAUGAACAUCACCAGUAUAACACCAUCAGGUUCAAUCUCUUCUCUUCCUCUCUCCAAAUUGAAAUCUUUCCAUGUAGACUACAUUGAGGGAUUGGACACUCACAUGCUAGAUAAGUCCUUGCAACAUUUCACCGGCCUCAAAAAAUUAACAAUAGGAGAUUGCAAGGAGGUUGAUUUCGAGGGCAUGAAAUGGGAACUCCUUAAGAAUCUCUCUCAUUUGGAGAUUAAUAAUAAUCCGCAGCUGGUGUCUCUCCCCUUUUGGCUUCAACAUCUUGUUCAAUUGAAAGGAUUAACAGUAGGAGAUUGCAAGGAGGUUGAUUUAGAGGGCAUGCAAUGGGAAGCCCUUAAGAAUCUCUCUCGUUUGGAGAUUAAGAAUAUUCCAAAGCUGGUGUCUCUCCCCAUUGGGCUUCAACAUCUUGUUCAAUUGGAAACAUUAGAAAUCCGUAAUUGCAGUGGAUUGAGGUCACUCUUUCCUGUGUUCCAACAUCUCACUUCCCUUGAAGAAUUACGAGUAAGUCACUGCGAGGAGCUGGAGCUAUCAGCAGCAGGCUUCCAAAUAUUCCAAGAUCAUACAAGCCUACGCUAUCUAAGGCUGGAAAAGAUUCCAAAGUGUCGGCAUCUUCCGGAGUGGCUUCAACAUCUAACAAAUCUGCGACGUCUUUAUCUCAUUGAUUUGCCCAAUUUAACAUCGCUUCCGGACGAGAUGCGUUGCCUAACCAAAUUGGAAAGGUUAGAUAUAUCUGAAGUUCCUCAGUUGGAGGAAAGAUGUCAGAAGGACGUUGGCGCUGAUUGGCAUAAGAUUGCUCACAUCCCACGCAUUUGUUGGGAAUAGGUUGUCAUCGGAAGGACCUUAUUUGCUCACAUCCGGGGAUUCGGUUGUAAUCAGGUUGGUCCGUUCUUUUCAUUUAUUUAUUUUUAUGACAUUUUUUGUUGAAGAAAAAUUUGAGUGGUAUAUUUAGUCUCCAACUCUGGGCUCUCAUGCCAUUUUUCAUUCAAGUUGGCUACUGUUAAUUUCCUUGUUAAAAUAUUAUUCAAUUGACAUCGUGUAUAAAUUGAAAUUCCUUUGUUUUAAUCCUAAAAGAUCUUUAAAGGUACCCAAUAGACAUUGAUGUGGAGAGGCCUAUGAAGCUUGCACGCUGCCCUUCAAAAUGGUUGUACUAUAUGCUCUGGUUUGUUCAUUUUCCAAAUUUCAUUCGAAUUUCCAAUUGAUUCGAUUAAGCUUUCAUAAUAUUUUGCCAGUUUGUGCAGUAAGCCAUUGGAGAGUAGUCUGGGGAAAGAUAUUUGUCAACUUCAAUAAUUUAUAUGCAUAAAAAGAGGUGCUAAUUUAUCUACUUGCUUUAUACUUUUAAAUCAUAAUAAUUUCACAAUUGCAAUGAUGUAAUAGAACCGCAUGGUUAGUGCUUCUUUUCUUAUCUAUCAUUUCAUAGGAUUCAAUUUAAGGGCUUCUAAUAAUUUAAUUCUAAAAAAUCUUUUAAGGUAGCCAAAGGACAUUGAUGUGGAGACGCCUAAGAAAAGCUUGCAUGCUACCCUUCAACACGGUUUGUUCAUUUUGCAAAUUUAAGCACUUACCUGUCAUAUGUAUAUAGAGUUUUAUGUUUCUUUUUCCCUGGAAAAAUUUGUCCUGUUUCUGUCUUAAUUUUGGUUAGUUUUUGGCUGUAUUCUUCUGUAGAGCAUAGCAUACACUACAAGAAGCAGAGACCAUACUUUCUACUACGAUUACUUUAUCUGUCAAAAUAUUCCAACAAAACAAAAAUGGUACUAUAUGUCAUCAAUUUCAUUCUAGUUUCCAAUUGAUCUGAUAAAGGUUAUAUAAAUAAUGUAAAAGUUGUAAUAUAUAUGCCAACUGAUUACUAUCUUAGAUGGUACCUAUGCUAUUGUACAGAGGCAUUAAAAUUUAUCUAAUUGCUUUAUACUUUAAAAUCAUAAUAAUUUGAUAAUUGCAAUGAUGUAAUAGGACCGCAUGGUUAGUGCUUCUUUCCAUCUCUCAUUUCAUAGACUUCAAUUUAAGGGCUUCUAAUAAUUUAAUUCUAAAAAAUCAUUGAUGUGGAGAGAGAGGCCUAUGAAACUUGCAUGCUACCCUUCAAAAUGGUUGUACUAUAUGCUCUGCUUUCUUCAUUUUCCAAAUUCAAGCACUCACCUAUCAUAUGUUUAUAUAUAUUUAUGUUCUCUCUUAAUUUUGGUUUUUUACACUGCAAGAAGCAGAGACCACACUUUCUGUUACAAUUUGUUAAUCUAUCCAAAUAUUCCAUCAAAACAAAAAUGGUAAUAUAUGUCAUAAAUUUCAUUCGAAUUUGCAAUAGAUCUGAUAAAAAUUAUACAAAUAAUGUAUUUUAAGAGAUGUAAUAUAUUUGCCAACUGAUUGCUAUUGACAGAUGAUGAUGGUGAUGCCCUAUGUUUUGCCCUUUCGUAAAACUUGCACUGGAAAAUCACAAUGGCUUUGUGGUUAGCCACCAUUCUUGCACAUACUAUAAAGUUCUAUUUAGUAACUGUAAGUGUUUCUUUUACAUUUGGUCACUGCUCAGUCUAAAUGACAUAAAUUUUAACAUAAUUUGUAUUGGCAUUUAUAAUUUGCAGGUUCAUUGUUGCUAUAUAGAGAAAAUUGAUGGGCUAGAAAUCUAGAAUCCACCUUGGAGACCUUGAUAUCCUUAGCUCGCUAAGACACCCUGCCAUUACCUAAGUUCUUCCUUUCUUUCUUUGGAGGAUUGCAAUGUCUCAUCGCAUUGAGAUUCCAGAAGAAAUGCUUAUGUAAAUCUUGGUUGAUCCUGGAGGUUAUAUAUAUAGAUGAUUUGUUUUGUGGGUGAUGUGUGUACUUAAAGGAACACUUAGUGAGGGAAUAUUAUUUGAGCGCCACCUUCUGAAUGUUGAUUUUCACUUCCAUAACUAAAGUAAGUUGAAAGAGUGUUUACUUAAUUGUACAAAGGUGAGGUUGCACCAAGUUUGGAGGGUUGUGCAUAAAUCAUUUCUUUGUACUGUGAAGUUUAUAGUGAAUUCAUCUCUGGGCAAGGCCCCGCAGACGUAGGACAAGUUCCGAACUGCGUAAACAUCUUGGUUGUGUUCUUAUUUUUUCUUUAAUUUUACUUUUGUGUGUGUCAACUUAAGGAAAAAAAAACAUUUUUCUCUAUCGGUGUUUCAAAUAAGGGUAAUCUACAAAAGUAGUCACUUUUGUUUGCCUCAGGUUACAUUUUAGUCACUUAUGUUUGAAAUGUUACGUUUUAGUCACUUAUAGUAUUAUUUUGUUACGAAGUGAUCACUCUACCGUUAAGUUCCGUUAUCUCUCUAACGGUAAUCCUACGUGGCAGUCCAACUAGAUUUUAGGUGCCAACUUGGAUUUCUAAAUGGGAUGAAAAUAGAUUUUUAAUUAAAUAAAUUUAAAUAAAUAGAUUUUAGCUUGAAUGAAAUAGGUUCAUGAAAACAUGUUUCUGGUUACAUUUAAUGGGAUGUCUACCGAUGCAAAAUAAAAUACAUGUUCACAAACAAUUUCAAAAAGUCGAAGAAAAUAUCAAGAAUUUUAAUUUAGGGUUUUCAUUAAACAAUAAAAAUUCUAAUAUUUCAUUUUUCAGUAUUGAAUAAAAGAGAUAAAGGAAGGCAAAGAAGACAUAUUUGGACCCUCCAUUGAAUCCAUCUUUAUGAAGCAGACAAUUUGAUUUCAACUAUUUUGAUCUUAAUAAUAGUUUUUCCAGUCAAAUGAAAAAAAAAAACUAAAAAAAGAAGAGAUGAAAGACAAAUUAAAAAGAGGAGAUGAACAAUUUUUUCAGUUAAGGUUUAGGUUUAAAAAUUUUAAUUAAUUAAAUUUAUUUAAUUAAAAAUCUAUUUUCAUCCCAUUUAGAAAUCCAAGUUGGCACCUAAAAUCUAGUUGGACUGCCACGUAGGAUUACCGUUAGAGAGAAAACGGAACUUAACGGUAGAGUGAUCACUUCGUAACAAAAUAAUACUAUAAGUGACUAAAACGUAACAUUUCAAACAUAAGUGACUAAAAUGUAACUUGAGAUAAACAAAAGUGACCAUUUUUAUAGAUUACCCUUCAAAUAAUGUUUCAACACGUGGAAACACAAUUAAUUAUCAGGCAAUUUUGUGUAAGACUAUCAUUUAAUGAAGGCGCUUCAGUACCUAAUGACUGAUUGAAUGCUUAGCUUAGCUCUCUUCAGUUACCAAAUGUUGAGGAUGAAACUAUGGAUGCCCUGCAUCUGCAACAAUUACAACCCUUUUCAGCUUGUUACAAAACAACUAUACCUAUAUCCAAUGUCUUCUUUUAUCUUCCAUUAACUUUUGUGUUUUGGGAAUUUUCUUUUCAUUUUGCAUUAGUUUCUUAGUUGAAGAAGAAAAUAUUGGGUAAAAUUAAUAUUAUAUGGAUUAAGUUAGCUUAGCUCAACAACUCAAGUUUGCAAGGGGAGAAGAAAAGUCUAAAUAUGUUUAAUUUGUACCUUGUGAGCUAUUUUCAAUUGAUAUAAGGUAAAGUCCAUUAACCCCGUUGAUUAUAGAGAUUCGAAGCUUCGCUCAGGACCAUCAAUAAAAGUUAAAUUUUCUUUUAUUUUGGAUUGAUAGAUCCUAAAUUGUGCUCCGAUGAAAACGAAGUUGUAGACUAUAUUCAAUGAAGUGAAGAAAGGGAGGUGCUUGGGCAAAAAGAAAUUGGCUCAUGUUUGAAUAUUCAAGGCCAGAGCCUGGCCCGAUUCAUUUUUUAGUUUGUAAUUUUUUAUAUUAUAUAAUUUAUAACAAAUAAAAAAUAAAUUUAUAACACAACUAUGAUGUAAACGUUAAAAAAUGUUAAAGACGGCUAUAUAUAGGUUUUUUUUAUUGGUCUAAUAACAAAUUCACCCCUCCAAUAAAUAUUAGAUUUUUAUAUCAACUUUCUGUCACUCAUCUAACGGCAAGUAACAGGAAAGUGAUAAAAAUAUUUAAUUUCGAAAACUUUAGUGAUUAAAUCGAAAAAAUAAUCGUUGAAUGAUCAAAAUAAAAGAAAAUUUAUAAUUUAGUGACAUUUUUGUACUUUACCUUUUUUUUUUAAAGGAAAACGAAAGUAUGGUUCAUAAAAGGUACCAGCAAAAAGGUCUAAGGACAUAAACAUCACCAUGAGAAAACGAAUCAUACACAAAAAGAAAAAAAAAAAAUCAAAAGACAGCACCUACAAGUACAUCACUAUGAGAAAACUGCAGCAAUUGAAAGGAGAUUAUGUUCUGAUACAAAUGGAACAAUGUUGUUUCAUUUUAAUAUCAAGUUUACUCCAGGGAUUCAACUAUUUCAUUAAUUUACUCCAGGGAUUCAACUAUUUCGUUAAUCCAUUAAUAGAUUAUUAACGUGGCACAUUAGCCUAUUGAGUGACUAACACGUGAUAUUUUUUAAUUUUUGACUAAAAUUUAAACACCUAUCUAUAAUUAGUCCAACACAUUUUUUUCUCCCUUCUCUUUCUCAGCACUUCAUUCCCCGAAAAGUCCUGAAUAGGGUUUUAAAUUUUAUACUUCUACAAAUAAAACAAACAGCUCCUUUCUUGCGAUAACUUCUCAAUCAUUUACUUUACACUUCUCUCCAUCUCUAAAAAAUGUAAAUGUUCUGGAAAUAAACAAUCUUUGUUCUAAUUCACUAAGCAUGGUUGGUGGCAGAUCUUUUGCACCAAAAGUAGUCUUCACCAUUGGAGGCUUUAUGUUCUCCAUUUUCAAUUUCUUCUAAGCAGCAUUUUAGGAAAAGGAAAUAAACUUUUUUUUUCCUUAUUUUUACAUUUAUCAAAUAUCUGGUGUGCUGACAUUUACAUUUAUCAAACUAAACCCAUUUGUAGAGCAUUUAUAGUUUUGAGAGAUAGAGAGAAGCCUGAGGUGAAUGAUUGAGAAGUCAUUGCAAGAAAGGAAAUGUUUAUUUUAAUUGUAGAAGUAUAAAAUUUAAUACCCUAUUUGAGGAUUUUUUUCAGGGAAGGAAGUGAUGAGAAAGAGAAGAGAGGAAAAAUGUUUUGCACUAAUUAUAGAGAGGUACUUAUGCUUUAGUCCAAAGUAAUUUAAAAAAAAAAACAAAUGUCAGUCACUCAAUGAGCUUAUGUGCUACAUCAACAAUCUGUUAGUGGAUUAACGAAAUUUUUAAUAGCAGUGACUAAUUUGAGCAAUUAUCUUAAUUAGAGUGAUUAACAGUAUAACUUGUUUAUGUCGCAAUUUAUGUUUAUGUGGUGUGUAUGUGUGAUCUAGCUUAAAUAAACCUCACUGAGGUGAGCUUGUCGGCUACAAUUAGAUCUCUCAUGUUUUUAAUGCUGCCAAUAAGUUAAAUCUUGGGCACUGUGUUAUAGGUUUAUUUAUCGGUUUAGAAAGUAAUUUCAAAUGAAUUGUCUUUUGGUUACCGACUAGGUAAGGAGAGAUUGGUUGUCUGGCGCUGAGUUAGCAACUAGAACUAGUUCACUAGAGGCGUUGAAGUUAUCUUUGCAUCGAUGGUCGAAUUCAUAAAUCAAACGGAGAUUUUAUCAUUGGCUAGAGCUUUUUCCAAUUGAUUUUUCCAAAGCUUUUAAUUAUCGCCUUCUUUGUUUUAAGGGUUCAAUUUAAAUUAGUUUUUAAUUUAAUUCUAGUUUUCGAUUUCAUAAAAAAAUUAUUCCAAUUUACUUUUCUUAUUUUUUAUUGAAGAAAUAAAUUUAUUAUUGAUAUCUUUGGAUACAAUUCUACUUGCGCUUCUACUAAUUAAUAUUUUUUAAGUAGAUUUUAUUUUGGUAAGUUGACAGCCUAAAUAAUUAUUUAAUGUACUCAUUCUUUGAACUAGGCUUCGUAGGGGCGAAAUAAUUAUCUAAACUUGGUAAAUAAUUUUGGUUUGCAUAUUACCUUUUUGUUAUUGCAAACUGUUUCAAAGUUUUGUUCAAUCAAGUGUUGCAAUACUUCUUUGAACCUUGGGGCAUGGUUAUGGGAUGAAAGAUGAUUUUUUUAAUUAGAGAGGUUGUGUUUUGUUAUUAUUUUAUCUUUGACAUGAGCUUUAUAGAGUUGUCAUUUAUUGUGUUUAGAUGAGAUCUAGUUUAUGGUAACCUCGUUAGAGGUUUCAUUUUUAAUAAACUCAACUUUCGCUGAGACAAGAAAAUGCUUCUUCUAAUAAUAAAAGUGCAACACCUGCAAACAAUGCAAUUUCAAUUUCCUAAACAAUUAGCAACAAGAUAAUGGAUUACGGUUUAACUUCUAACAAGAUGUUCAAGUUCUCGCUAUCAUCUACUAAGAUUAAUAUAACCCAUGAUCAUCACCAAUUACAGGAUCCUUCUUUAUGCUUACUGUAAAGGGUCAUAAUUGUUGACAAUUGGUCUGCAAUGCAACAAACCACCAGCAUCGUGAGGAGCAGCAGUAAUGCUUACAUGUCUGUUUGAAGAUUGAACCAGAAGCAACUUUCUUUGUUUAAAUUUUGUAUUUUUGUGAUCUAAAGCUAGUACUUUUAGAUUUGAAAUGGAUGGAUGUAACAGCUGAAUUUUUCAGCUUUUCUUUUGUAUUAUUUUAGUUGGCAACUUGCCAAAUUUGGUAGGAGCAGUUACAUGUUUAGGUAACUGACUUGUUAUUAUUAUUUUUUUGUAACUCCUUUAUAUUUUGAAAUGAAGAUGAAAGCAGAUGACUCUCUCAUUUCGGCUACUUGUUUUUGUUCUUGGUUUUUCAUUUUUUGCUUGCUGUUUUGUGCUUAUGUUCAUAGUUGCUGCUGCCUUUUUCUAACAAAUGGUAAUCAGAGCCUCUUGUCUUUGAGGACCUCUGUUGUUUAAGUUUUUUUUGUUUCAAAAUAAACUCAAAAAUCGUGUUUGUCAAACUAGUUUCAGCAACAUGAGCUUUGCACCUCCUCCACCACCAGUUUUUGCUGGAGAAAACUACCACAUUUGGGUAGUUAAAAUGAAAACUUACCUCCAAGCACUUGAUCUGUGGAGUGUAGUUGAAAAUGAUGUCGAGCCACCACCAUUGAGAGCAAAUCCAACCAUUGCUCAGAUCAGGCAACAUGGUGAGGAGCGAGCCAAGAAGCAUAAAGCCAUGGCCUACCUACAGAAUGGAGUGUCUGAUGUGAUUUUUACUCGCAUCAUGGCCUGUGACUCACCCAAACAAGCUUGGGACAAGCUGAAAGAGGAGUUCAUGGGAUCAGACAAGACUAGGCAGCAACAAGUCAUCAACCUUAGAAGGGAAUUUGAAAAUUUGAAGAUGAAGGAGUCAGAAACUAUCAAGCAAUAUUCUGAUAAGAUUAUGGCUACUGUCAAUAAUACUAGACUCCUUGGAGAAGAUUUCAGUGACAGCAGGGUUGUUGAGAAGGUUAUUACCACAUUACCUGAAAGGUUUGAGUCAAAAAUCUCCUCAUUGGAGGACUCGAGGGAUCUCACAACCAUUUCUUUGUCUGAGUUGGUUAACUCACUCUAUGCACUUGAGCAGAGAAGAGCAAGUAGGCAGGAGGAGAGUUCUGAAGGUGCUUUUCAAGCAAAGGUCAGAGAAGGCUCCAGCUCAAGUCAGAAAGCUAAGAAGCCUUGGUUUGAAAAGAGGGAAAGAUCAAAGAAAGAUGCUGGUAGAAGGAGGUUUCCACCAUGCAUUCACUGCAAGAAGACUAAUCAUUUGGAGAAGUAUUGCUGGAAUAGACCAGACAUCAAAUGCAAGAGUUGCAAACAGUAUGGUCACCAUGAGAAGAUUUGUAGAAAUCAAGAAAAGGCACAAGCUCAGCAUAAUCAAGCUAAGACUGCUGAUGAUCUACAGGCUCAGGAGGAGCAUGUCUUCACUGCCUCAUAUUCUGCAACCACAAGCAAAUCCAAAUGCAGUUGGCUUGUAGAUAGUGGCUGCUCACAUCACAUGGCAUCAGAUGAGAGCUUGUUCAAGGACCUUGACAGGAGUUUUGCUUCAAAGGUCAGAAUAGGCAAUGGGAAUCUGAUUGAAGCUAAAGGCAGAGGUGAUGUUGUGAUCAACACUGGUUCAGGUAACAAGGUUAUUUCAGAUGUGCUCUAUGUACCUGAAAUAGAUCAAAAUCUACUUAGUGUAGGUCAGCUGGUUAAGAAAGGCUACUCUCUAGUUUUCAAGAAUAAUUCUUGUGUUAUUAAUGAUAUUCUUGGUAGAGAAGUUGUUUCAGCACCCAUGGCAGAUAGGUGUUUCAUGCUAGAUGUGAGCCAACUUGAGAGAAAAGCCUAUACAAGUUCAGUUGACAAUGCUGAUUUGUGGCAUAGAAGAUUUGGCCAUGUCAAUUUCAGGUCACUCAAUUUGCUGCACAAGAUGAGUUUGACAGAGGGCAUGAUUAAGGUUGAUGCAAAUGAGUCUGUUUGUGAAGUGUGCCAGCUUGGUAAGCAGGCCAGGUUGCCUUUUCCAGUAAACCAAGCAUGGAGGGCUCUAGAAAGACUUGAGUUGGUGCACUCAGAUGUCUGUGGACCAAUGAAGACCUCUUCACUGAAUGGCAGUAAGUAUUUUAUACUGUUUAUUGAUUAUCUGACCAGAUUUUGCUGGGUUUAUUUCAUGAAACAGAAGUCAGAAGUGUUUGAAGUUUUUGGAAAGUUUAAGGCAUUGGCAGAAAAUCAAACAGGCUACAGGAUUAAGGCCUUGAGGACAGACAAUGGUUCUGAAUACUUGUCUGAAAGAUUUCAGAAGCUAUGUGAGCAGGCUGGGAUUCAUCAUCAAUUGACCACAGUUUAUACUCCUCAGCAAAAUGGAGUAUGUGAAAGGAAGAACAGAACAGUGAUGAACAUGACCAGGUGUUUGUUUUUUCAAAGCAAGCUUCCAAAUAUUUUUUGGGCUGAAGGUGUCAACACCUCAGUGUACCUACUCAAUAGGCUGCCAACACAUGUUGUGAAGGAUAAAACUCCUUUUGAAGUAUGGUAUGGUCUUAAACUAACUGUUUCCCAUUUAAAAGUGUUUGGUUGCAUGUGUUUUGUACUUGUCCCUGCAGAAAGAAGAACCAAGCUCGAGAAGAGGUUUUGUUGGCUACAGUAGCUGCAAGAAGGGCUACAGAGUAUUUGAUCCCUCAACCAAGAAGAUUUUGGUAAGAAAGGAUGUCAAAUUCGAUGAAGGAAGGUUUUGGAGUCUAGAUGGCUCUAACACAAGUCAGUUUGAAUAAGAGCAGAUUGACAGCAAUCUAGAAUUGGCAGAAAAUGAAAUCAGUAAUGCCAAUGUAGAUUAUGCUCCUGUGAGAGGGACCAGGUCUAUUGCUGAUAUCUACCAAAGAUGCAAUGUGGCCAUUGUUGAGCUUUCAAGCUAUGAAGAAGCUGCAAGAAGCAAGAGCUGAAAGAAGGCUAUAGAGGUUGAAAUUGACAUGAUCCACAAAAAUGACACUUGGGAUCUGGUAGACAGACCUGAUCAGAAGAAGGUCAUAGGUGUCAAGUGGGUUUUCAGGGCCAAAUUCAAUGCUGAUGGCUCUUUGAACAAACACAAAGCAAGGCUUGUGGUGAAAGGGUACAAUCAACAGUUUGACAUUGAUUUUAAGGAGACAUUUUCUCCAGUGGCAAGGCUGGAUACGAUAAAGCUUCUGUUUGCCUUCGCAGCACAGAAGUAGUGGAGGGUCCAUCAACUUGAUGUCAAGUCAGCUUUCCUGAAUGGUUUUCUUAAAGAAGAAAUUUAUGUUGAACAGCCUGAUGGAUUUAAAGUCCAAGGAAAGGAAGACAAGGUUUACAAGUUGAAGAAGGCACUCCAUGGACUAAAACAGGCUCCUCGAGCCUGGUAUGACAGGACAGAUGCUUACCUGUCUAGGCUCAAUUUCGAGAAAAGUUUGAGUGAGCCAACUUUGUUUAUAAAGAAGUCCAAAGAUGAGACUUUGCUGAUUGUCUCAAUAUAUGUGGAUGAUCUAUUAGUGACUGGAAGCAGGGUCGAUUUGAUUCAAGAGUUCAAGAAGAAUAUGCAAGACAUGUUUGACAUGACAGACUUGGGAAUCAUGACUUACUUCCUUAGUAUGGAAGUAGACCAGUCCAAUCAAGGCAUUUUUAUCAGCCAGCAUGCAUUUGCCUUGAAAUUUCUCACUAAGUUUCAUAUGGAAAACAGCAAACCAGUGAGCACACCAUUAGCUGUGGGAGAGAAGCUAAGCAGCAUUGGAAAUGAAGAAAAGGUAGAUGAAAAGGAGUAUAGAAGCCUGAUUGGUUGUUUACUUUACUUGACAGCAACUAGACCUGACCUUAUGCAUUCAGUUAGUCUACUAUCUAGAUUCAUGCACAGCUGCAAUGUAACUCAUUUGAAAGCAACAAAGAGAAUACUCAGGUAUGUCAAAGGUACUUUGAAGUUUGGUGUAAUGUUCAAGAAAGGAAGUGAGCUGAAAUUAACUGGCUACUCAGAUAGAGACUGGGGUGGAUCAGUUGAUGAUAUGAGAGGUACUUCAAGCUACUUCUUUACACUUGGUUCAGGAGUUUUCAGUUGGAGCUCAAAGAAGUAACAAACUAUUGCUCAGUCUACUGCUGAAGCUGAAUACAUAGCAGCAGCUGCAGCAGUGAAUCAAGCCAUUUGGCUUAGGAAGUUGCUAUGUGAUUUGAAUGAAGAACAGCUUGAGCCUACUGAAAUUAUGGUGGAUAACCAGUCAGCAGUUGCCAUCUCUAAAAAUCCUGUUUUUCAUGGUAAAACCAAACAUUUUAAGCUCAAGUUUUACUUUGUUCGAGAGGUUGUUCAAUCCAAAGAAGUGUGUCUUAUACAUUGCAACUCACAAGACCAAUUGGCUGACAUUUUGACAAAGCCUCUUGGCACAAUCAGGCUUGAAUUCUUAAGAGAUUCGAUUGGUGUUUGUUGCCUACAGUCCAAGGAGGAGUGUUGACAAUUGGUCUGCAAUGCAACAAACCACUAGCAUCGUGAGGAGCAGCAGUAAUGCUUACAUGUCUGUUUGAAGAUUGAACCAGAAGCAACUUUCUUUUGUUUAAAUUUUGUAUUUUUGUGAUCUAAAGCUAGUACUUUUAGAUUUGAAAUGGAUGGAUGUAACAGCUGAAUUUUUCAGCUUUUCUUUUGUAUUAUUUUAGUUGGCAACUUGCCAAAUUUGGUAGGAGCAGUUACAUGUUUAGGUAACUGACUUGUUAUUAUUAUUUUUUUGUAACUCCUUUAUAUUUUGAAAUGAAGAUGAAAACAGAUGACUCUCUCAUUUCGGCUACUUGUUUUUGUUCUUGGUUUUUCAUUUUUUGCUUGCUGUUUUGUGCUUAUGUUCAUAGUUGCUGCUGCCUUUUUCUAACAAUAAUUAAUGAAGGCACAGUUAUUUUACUCCCACUUAUUACGAUGGAGUCUAGGUAUAGAGCUCAUGUAGACAGUGGCGGAGCCUAGUGAAGAACUAAGGGGUCAUAUCUUUAAAAUGGUAAAUUUUUAAUUUAGGUUUUUUAUAAUUUAUAAAAUUUUAAAUUAAUAAUGGUAAAAUUCUACUUUGGUCCCUAAAAAUGAUAAAACUUUUAUUUAAUCCUCUAAAAAUUAUAAAGACAUAGACUAUUAAAAUGAUGAAUUUGCAUUUUUACUAUCGUAAAGAUAUAUAAUUUAAUUCCGACCCAAAAAAAAAUUUCAGACUCCACUGCUUGCAGGCAAUGUAUGAGGAAUAACUCAUAAACCUUUUAUUUUCUACUUGGUACGUAAGAAAAACAUUUAUUUUCUACUUAAAACCUAAAAUAAAAAAUCCUAACAAAAUUUUAAAAUAUUGAAAACACAAGAAAAUGAUGAACCUUUUGAGAAAUUUGUGCCAAAUCCAUGUGACCAUGUCCGACCAAUUAAGGUUACUUUUUUUAACAUACUAAUCCUAAGAAAACAACAAAAUUUCCUGAUAAAAAGUUUUAUCGUAUUCUACAACAAAAAUUAUAAAUUAAGGCUCUCCCUUACUUAAGUUUUUAAUACAAAACCAAUACCUACUUGGUGGGGGUGGUCGGUCACUUCUUUAAAAUACCGUACACUCUACAUGUAUGUACUCAUGUCACGAGGCUAGACCUUUCGUCUCGCAAUCCGUGCGGCCUUAGGCGAUCCGUUCGUCCAAACUCGCCUAAGUCAGCCUUAACUCCCAAAAGAGAGGAUUCUUUUAGAACUCCUUCAAGGCACCAAUUGAAGAGCGGAAGCGAUUUAUGCCAAAAGAAGCUAAGGUAAAAAACAACAGAAAGCCACAAAAAAGAAUGCACACAAGGUGUUUGAGUAAAUGCUCUCAGAACUCUAUUACUCUUAAGAAUUCAGAAUACAAUGGAAUGAGUACAAAUGAGGGGGAGGCUCUCUAUUUAUAGUUGAGCUCCCCCAAAAUCGACGGUCAAGAUACAAUUACAUCGACGGAUGAGAUUUAACCAUAUCCCUUAAUUUUAGGGAUUUACAAGAUAAGUCUUAUCAAAUCUAAUCUAAUCUUUACAAGAUAAGAUUCCCUCUAUCUUCUAAGAUUAGUUACCAUAUCAGCCUGAAUCUCUUCGUUAUCGGGCCAACCGGGCUUCAAUUUGACAGGCUCCUCCAAUUGCUCAUUGAAUCGGGCCAGUUCUCGUGGGCCAAAUGAUCCCCAUCUGAGCAAUAGACCUCCAUUGGAUGCAUUUGGUGCAAUGGUCACGGGCUUUGAGCUGCGGCCCGUGACAUUCUCCCCCACCCAUUCUCGCAACGUCCUCGUUGCGACUUCUGAAUGGCACUGACUUGAUUCGCCUCGAUCUCGUGUUGAUGCCUUAGCCUUUCCAUUCUUUUGAGACUUUUGCCUCGGCUUCCGCCGCUUCUUAACUCGAACCGUCCUACUCGUUUGUACAUCUCGACGACAAGAAGCUAUGUCACUCUCUUGCCCACAUUCUAACUUGACUCGAACAGAAUCCUCUUGAUUCAACACCCUUGGCCUCGCUUUGCCCACCGUCUCUCGGCCUCUUUGCUCAAGAACUUCGAAAGGGCUCUUACGUUCUUGCCAAGUACACAAGUUAGAAUGCAAAACACUAUCACAGUGUUUGGAAUGUACCUUACUCGCAGCAUUUACUCGUCCCGACUGUCUUUGCAUCGCUCCAUUUCCCUUGAAGCCCGAUGCACAACCCACCUUCCCCAAAGGUGUCGGCUCCACAGUCGAAUCUGCAGGCUUCAUAUCGAACUCUUGCGCCACUAACACUUCCGAAGGAGCUUUCGUAAUCACUCGUUCUAUCGAGUCGAUGUUCCUCCCAUACAAAACAUCCUCGACUAGUUGGAUUGACGACAACACAUUUGCCCCUACUUUCAUAUUUCGAUGCACCGGAACAACAAUCUUUGUUAACGGACCGGUGAUAAUAUGGAUUUGAUCGGCCCAUGGAUACAGAACUGUUUGAAUCCUGUCAAGGAAGUUUAAGCCAAGUACAUAAUCGUAAUCAUCUAAUUCGAUUACCUCAAAUUCUUCCUUGCCCUUCAAUUCGCCGAUGUGUAGCUCCACAUUCCGAACUACACCCAUAGUUGGGGCCUCCUUGGAAUUUACUGUCUUGAUCUUCUUCUUCAAUUUCUUAAUCGGCAGACCAAGCUUUCUUGCAGCCUUUUCCGAUAUGAACAAGUCAGAUGCUCCCGUAUCAAUAAGAGCAUUCUGCUUCUGACCCGCAAUGUUGAUGUCUACAAACAUCAACCCUUCUUUACCAUUCCUCUUCUCAGGAAUGAGCACCAUCGAAUUGACCCUCGAUGGCUUUUCCUCAAUAGGCUUCGCCUCUUCAGGCUCAUCGCUUCUCUUGAUAGCCGAAACUGAAGAUACCUUUGGGCAGUCCCUCUUCAUGUGCGGUCCUUUACAAAAGUAGCACCGUAACUUUCCCCUCUUUUCUUUCGGGCUAUUAGGUCUCCGCUUCCCAUUUCGUGGUUUCCUAUCAUCACCAUCACUGCUACUACCAUUGUCAUCAUAGCUUUGUCCAUCUUCACCCUCCUCAUGGUACCCACCAUUGCCCCUCCUAUUGGGCUUGGAAGUUUCAAACCUGUCCCUUCUCGGAGCAAGUUCCACUAUGGACUCCGCUACCAUCAUGGCUUUGGUAAGUUCCCGAACUCCUCGACGUUGCAAUUCUUGCUUUGCCCAUGGUUUCAACCCAUCUGUAAAGGAGAAAAAUGCUUCUUUCUCGCUCAAAUCAGAGAUCUGGAGCAUGAGUUCACUGAACUCCCGCACAUACUCCCUAACCGUGCCUCGUUGCGUUAGCCGACGCAACUUCGCUCGAGCUUCAUCCUCGGCAUACUCGGGGUAAAACUGUGCUUUAAAUUCAUCUUGGAACUCCUUCCAAGUCCCAAUCUCAGUACCACCACGUCUCACAUCAGUGGACCUACGUCUCCACCAUAACAAAGCAACGUCAGUGAAAUACAUAGCAACAGUGUUUACCUUUGUAACAUCAUCCUCGAUGUUCAUCGCACGGAAGUAUUGCUCCAUGGCCCAAAGAAAGUUAUCCACCUCACUUGCAGACCUUGCCCCUUUAAACGCCUUCGGCUUGGGCACAUCCAUCGCUUGUGGCUUCGGCUUUGAAGCCAACAUUCCAUUCCCUAUGGCAGCCUUGAAAAUCUUGAGCUCCUCCUUAAGCUCGUUGAUUUCCUCCUUCAAAGCUGUCACCAUAGCCUCGAGAGCAUCGUUCUUUUCAGCAAGCUUAUUCUCCGAGGAACCGAUAGUAUCCCACACAAAUUCCCUGAGCUGUCCUUGCAAUGUUCGCAGCCCAUCAUUGUGUCUAUCAUCAACAUCGUCGAUCCUCUCCUUGACGUCCCCCAUGGACUCCUCGAGAGUGACGACUCGAUCCUCCAAAGCUGAAAUUAAGUCCCUUGAUCGACUCGCUUUUCUGGCCCUUCCUCGGUUCUCCAUUGGCUCAUUCUGACCAACAACUUCUUUCGACAUCCCAACAGUGCCUUUGAACCAACAACUCAGAUAUUACUUGGUUCAAACCUUGCUCGGAUACCACUUGUCACGAGGCUAGACCUUUCGUCUCGCAAUCCGUGCGGCCUUAGGCGAUCCGUUCGUCCAAACUCGCCCAAGUCAGCCUUAACUCCCAAAAGAGAGGAUUCUUUUAGAACUCCUCCAAGGCACCAAUUGAAGAGCGGAAGCGAUUUAUGCCAAAAGAAGCUAAGGCAAAGAACAACAGAAAGCCACAGAAAAGAAUGCACAUAAGGUGUUUGAGUAAAUGCUCUCAGAACUCUAUUACUCUUAAGAAUUCAGAAUACAAUGGAAUGAGUACAAAUGAGGGGGAGGCUCUCUAUUUAUAGUUGAGCUCCCCCAAAAUCGACGGUCAAGAUACAAUUACAUCGACGGAUGAGAUUUAACCAUAUCCCUUAAUUUUAGGGAUUUACAAGAUAAGCCUUAUCAAAUCUAAUCUAAUCUUUACAAGAUAAGAUUCCCUCUAUCUUCUAAGAUUAGUUACCAUAUCAGCCUGAAUCUCUUCGUUAUCGGGCCAACCGAGCUUCAAUCUGACAGGCUCCUCCAAUUGCUCAUUGAAUCGGGCCAGUUCUCGUGGGCCAAAUGAUCCCCAUCUGAGCAAUAGACCUCCAUUGGAUGCAUUUGGUGCAAUGGUCACGGGCUUUGAGCUGCGGCCCGUGACACUCACACCUGCGUUUCUUCUUCUUCAACAUUUCUCAUCCUCUUGCAGUAACCAAACACUUUGCCUUGAUAUCAUUUUGAACCAUCAAUGGCUGAAGCAAUUACGUUCGACCUCACCGUAAAGCUAAUUACUAAACUGAGCUCCCCUACUCUCUCUCAAAUUGGACAGUGGUGAAUCUCAAAGAUGACCUCCACGACCUUAAAAGCACCGUCCCCGCAAUCAAAGCUGUGCUUUUUGACGCUGAAGAGCGAUCUGUGACCAGCCAUCUUGUCAAAGAUUGGCUUGAAAAGUUGAAAGUGGGAGGGUUUGAGUAAAAAUAUAAACCUAAAAAAUGAGCUUGAGUAAAAAAUAAGACCUAUUUAAAAAAUGCGUUAGGCCCCGAGUAAGACAUUUUUGUCUGGGUCCAACUCGAAUUCACUAAAUGACAAAAAAAAUUAGUAUUUUUUUGUUAUUUUAAUGAUAUAUUCUUUUUUUCUUCUUAUUUUACUAUUAUUUUCUAUUAUGUUGCUACUAUUUUGUUCUUAUUAUUUGGAUAUUGUAUAACACUUGUUUUAUUAUUAAUUUUGUUAUUAUUUUAGAGGCAUUUUCUUGUUAGGUUGCAUCUAUCUUUAUAUUAUUUAAGUGUACAUAUUUUUUAAAAUUUAUUUUCAAUUUGUUGGGAAAUAUUGAUUUUAAUAUUUUUAAUAUUUUUGAUGUAUUAUAUAUAUUUAAAAAUUAUAUAAAAAUAAUAUAAAAAUUUUAAUAUGGGCGGGCCAAGUCUGGCCCGAAUUUUAACAUUUUUAUCCUUUCCGAACUUGAGUAAAUUUUUAGGCCCAUUUUUCAGGUUAGGGCCUAAAUUUUUGCUUGAGUCUGGCUCGGCCCAUGAGCACCUCUAGUCAAAACUAUAAAUCUAAUUUAUAAUUAAAUUUAUGCGUUAAAGUCUGCCGAUGAAGAAUAUUUUUCUUUUCUACGAAUGGGAAGAAAUCCUUCUAAAGUUUUUUAUUGUCCCAAUAUUAUUCAAUGCUAUGGUGGUUUCACGACCCUUGAGCGAGAACAAGGAAUGAUUUACAAUAUGUUCCUUGAAUAUGCUCUAGGAGGUAAUCUAUUAGACUUGAUGAAAAGUAUGAUGUUAAAAUUCCAGAAAGGGAUGUUAACUACUAUGCCCAAAUGAUACUUGAAGUACUUCUAGACAUUCAUGAGAAAAGGUUUAUUCAUUCAGAUUUAAAACCAGGUAAUAUUUUGGUUUUCCCUCCUCAACAUGGUGCCAAUUUAUCUACUUUAAAGACUGCAGAUUUUGGAUUAGCUAAACAACUAGGGGUAAAAGAUACAAGGUUUGAGUUUCAAGGUAUAAGGUAUUACAUGUCUCUUGGAUCGAUUUUCGAAGAAGUUAGUGGUGCAUUGGAUAUAUGGUCGUUGGGUUGCAUUGAGGUUCAAAUGAUUAUGGGGAAAUUGCCAUGGGACACUCGCGAUCGAGAUGAAUUAAGAGACAAGUUUUUGAGAGGAGAAUCAGCCAACAUCUUGGAAGACAUGUCGAAGCUAGGGAAUAGUUUCUUGAAGGAAUGCUUUGCUAUUGAUCCAAACAAAAGGUAGAAUGCUAGUAAGCUACUAUGUCAGCACAUGCUUCCUAGAGACUACCAACAAUCUUUAUCAUAUUUUCAAUAGCAAAAAGUAUUACGGUCUCAAAAUAUUCCAUCACCACCUAAUUUUAACAUUCCUAAUAAUUUUUUGUUGGAAAGGAGAAAAAUUUUAGAGAAACAAAGGUUAAGAAAGAUGAUUAGUUCCUAUCAGCAACAAAAAACUACGGGCUACUUGUGCGUCUAGUAUCCAUGAUUUCUUUCUAUUUGAAAAUUAGCAUGGCUAGACGUGAUAUGUUUUCAAUUUUGUUGGAUUGUAACAGUGUUUGUGGACAUGCUUCUAGUAUCUCAGGGUGAAAUCAAAUGUUAUGCAUUGCAAACAAAAAGUUGAAUGAUUCUGAUAAUUUGGAGUGAAACCAGAAACAAGAAAUUAAGUCGGCUUUGAUUGUAAAAUCCAACAACAGUUAUACUAUCAAUCUUACGUUUAUAGUAGUACUAUGACUGCGCCAUAGUUAUUGCAAUAGACCUCCACUCUUAGCAUACUAAUAACGUACAACAUCUCACGAGUGGUGCUAUUUUCGUAGCCCACAUUAACACUAUAUAUCAUUGAAAACAAUGAAGAUUAAUUUAUUAAAUAAAGAGUAUAUAGUUUGGAUACAUAUUGAUGAAGAGGAUUCCUUCCACCCCUCUCCCUCAACUAUCAUCCUUCCUAUAUGACAAGUAUGUUUUAUUUAUUUUAUCUAAUUACUAAACAUUUCAAUAUGCUUUAUUUUCAUUACGUGACAUAAAAACUAUUAAGAGUAAAAGCUCAGAUUCCAACGCUAUACAAAUCAUCCUUAGCACACCUCAAAAAUAUUCACAACUACUCUCUCGACAACAAUCCGCUAAGCUUUUUGAAAAAAAAAAAACCAUGAAUGAUUGUUAUUUUAAAAAUAGAAAUUGGUUGUGAUUUUUUAACUUGCAUGCUAUAUGUUUUCUAAACAACUCGAGUCAAGAUCAAUUUUCAAUUUUUUAGUUUUUUUAAUUCAACUCUACUCAUCGGAGGCAAAUGAGCAUUUAGAGGAGCCCUAAUAUAUUAUAAGAAGUUGAAUAAAUUAUAUUUAAGCUAUCUUUGUUUGGACAAUAACAUUCGCUCUAAUGAUAUUAAAAACAAUAAUGACCACGAUGAUGAUAAUCAUAAUAAGAUUAGCUGAUGUAAUAAUUCCACACCAUCUUGAAUUAUAGCACUAGAAAAUGACCAAAAAUGAAAAUUAUUAUUUUUUGGCAUAAUGAUUCUUUUAGUCCUCCAAUUUAAUAGAAAAAGUUAUUUUAGCCCUCCAUUUAAAUUUUCUCCUCUUUUAGCCAUUAAAGUUGCAUUUUCUGUCAAAUUACCUCAAAAUGGAUGGAAAAAUUAAAUAGGUGCCCAUGACAUGCGACGAUCUAUGCAAAAAUAAAAAGGAGAAUUUAAAUCUAAUAAGAGAAAAUAAUAAAGAUAUUGGAACUGAAUAACAGUAAAAAUAAGUAGAAACAAAAUUAAAUUAAGUAAGCCAAUAUGAUGAAAUUCUAGCUUCAAGCUCGAUUUUGCUUCACCUUUGAAUCAAUCCUCGAUAUCAAGUCUUCUCCUUCAUUGACAAGCCAAUUAUACUAAUCGAGGAUGCCUCAGACCGCCAACCCUUCCGUGUGUAAAUUAAUUGCGGAAUGCCCAACAACUAAUCCUUACCGAAUGAACAACUGCGAAACAUGUAUCCACAAUUUAGCUCUCUAGUAGCCUUGUGAGCUAAAAGGGUCCAACUCAAACCAACGGUCGCAAUUGCGCGAGUUGUUUAGAUCCGAUUGCUAUUUCCCUUUAUAGAAUUCAACUAACUCCUUACUUGGACAUGCCAAUGUAUUCUUUGGUAGAUCAAAUACGACAAAUGAUCAAUUCGUUACUUUCAACUGUAUGUCUAUCAAUACCGAAUCAAUGAGCUCUUUUUAACUUGAUGUCAAUACAACUUUAUAAGAUGAAAAUUCCACUCUCCUCUGUCUCACUCAAGUGAAUUGGUUUCGAAAGCAUUCUGCCAGUUUUUGGCGACUUUCACUUUCAACCCGAUUCAUCGCCUACAUGCCCUUUACGCCCAGUCAUUCCGAAGAACACUUGCCCUCCCCCUGUCUUACUGCGCCUGCUGGCACGGAGUUAACCAAGGUUUCUUCCUCGAGUCCUGUCAUUAUCGCACACUCGACGAAAGAGCUUUAUGAGCGGGCCUUACCCUUCUUCACUCACGCGAUAUUGCUAGAUUGGGCUUUCGCCCAUUGUCCAAGAUUCCCCACUGCUGCCCCAUGUGGGAGUCCGGGUCGUGUCUCAGUCCCACUGUAGCUAAUCAUCUGAAAAGACCAGCUAAGCAUCAUUGGCUUGGUCAGCCUUUACCUAACCGACUACCUAAUACUAUGCAAGCUCAUCAAACAGCACAAUGUCUAUGUCUAAACCAAAAAAAAAACAACCGAAAUAAAGAUUUUUAAAUAUAAGUUUGGAUCUAACAACCCUCCAUCGAAUUAUUUAUUUAGCAAAAGUAUAAAUAAAAUUUAAAAAAUAUGGCAAUAUGAUUACGCGUGGGACAGAGAAGUAAAAAACAAUUAUAAAUAAAAGAAUGGGGCCAAAUUUCCAAUAGUAAACAAAUAAAAAUCAUCACCCCAUUUACAAUAAACAAAUAAAUGUAUAUUAAAAUAAUAAUAACAAAUAUUAACACGCUCACCUACAUCAACAAUAUCCGUAAUUAAUAAUAAAAGUAUAGUAUAAAAGAGUAAUUUAAACUAUAUUUGGAAAGAUAAAAACUUGUGAUUGAAUUUUCAAUUAACACUAAAAUUAAAUUGGAUUCUCAGCCAAUCCCACUUUUACCCUUUAAAAAAGAUAUACAAUUGAUAAUUCUGCCCAACUUCUUGUUCUUUAUUCAUAUAUAGCAUCAUGUCAUGUGAUGCUAUUCAAGAAACAUACGUUGAAAAGUGCAGAAAUUUUAUAAAGAAAGACCGUCCCUUAACUAAGCUUUUAAUAUAAAAUUAGCAACUUUUUAUUUAAUUAUUACUUAGUGACAUCUUUUUAUUUAAUUAUUACUUAGUGGGUUGGUGGGUGGUGGCAUCUUUAAAAUAUUAUAUAAACUCUACGGGUAAUGUAGGUGUGUUUUAACAUUUGCAUUUUUAUGUAUAUAAUUGAAUUACAGUUAAAGUUUUAUUUAUAUAAUUACACAAAAUUAAAUUACAAAUCACACAUCACGAUAAUGUUCAUGAAUAAUUUUGAUAUUUACUCUAAAAAAAUAAAAAUAAUAAAAAGAAAAACACAUAAACACUACGGUAUUAACAAUAAAAAAGUAUCUCACCAUAACAAUUCAUAAACACCACUAGUAUUAACAAUAGUAAAAGUUAAACUAAUAAAAGAACUGAUGAUAAUAAAAUGUAGUGUUGAUAGUCAUAUAUAAAUGAAAAUGAUGAACAAAUAUAUGAAAUGCUGCUAAACACAUUUCACCUAUAUCAACAAUUUUAAUAAUAAGAUAAAGUGCACGUGUAUUAAAUAAAAAUUUAAUAAUUAAAAUAUAAAUUUAAUAAUAAUUUAGUGAUAUUCGAUACAAGCAUAAUUUAAGAAUUUUUACGGAUCAAGAUACUAAGUGAAUAAAUCGUUUAAUUCAGACACUUAUUUGACACAAAAUCAAACCAUAUUACUUUUUUUUUAUUCUUAAUAUUGUAUAAAAAAUUAAUAACAAAUAUAAUUAACAGACUUAUCAAUAUAAAAAAUUUAUUAAUAAGAGUAUAGUAUAAUAGUAAUGGAUAUAGUAACAAUUGUCAUUAUAUAUAAUUAUAGACAUGAUAAUAAUAAUUGAUACCAAGUUACCAAAAAGGAAAAAAUUAAAGCUAAAUUUCAUGGGUGGGAGAGGCCUAAAUGAGAUUUUAAUGUUAAUAAUUUAACUGAUUAUAAAUAAAUUUAAAUUCAAUUCAAUAAUUAUUGAGCUGAAUUUGAAUUAUUGAUCUAAUUAAACUUGAGUUUAGUAAUAUAUUAUAUAUUUUUAUCUUAUUAAAUUAAAUUACGAACUUAAUUCCAACUCAAAUAGAAAUAAAAUAUUUAAUUUAAGCCUCGAAUGCAUUGGCCUCAAUCGAAACACCUUGGAUUCCAUCGGAUUUGUCUCUUUCUUCUCUUUUCUUUCAUAGCUUUUUCAUUAAUUUCAAUUAUUUGUACGGAUCGAGACUGACAAAUUUUGCCCAAGUUGAUGUAAUUGUGCGGAGCACCCGAUCAUCCCAACUUUGUCUCCAUUGAGAAAUUUGUGUCAAACAUUUCCCACCAAUCAACAUUAUUUUCAUUUAAUUAUACUACUUGCUGGGUGGAUGCUAACAUCUAUAAAAAUUAUUAGUCUCCGCGUGUAUUAAUUUUCAUUUUAGUCCUCCUCUUGCAAUAACCAAACACUGUUUUGCUUGAUUUCAGUUUGAACCAGCAAUGGCCGAAGCAAUUGCUUUCGACCUCACCGUAGAGCUUAUUACUAAAUUGAGCUCCUUUACUCUCUCUCAAAUUGGACUGUGGUGGAAUGUCAAAGAUGACCUCGACGACCUCAAAAGCACCGUCUCCACAAUCAAGGCUGUGCUUCUUGACGCAGAAGAGCGAUCUGUGACCAGCCAUCACGUCAAAGAUUGGCUUGAAAAGCUGAAAGAUGUACUUUAUGAUGCCGACGACUUGCUUGAUGAUUUCUCUACCGAAGCUUUCCGGAAAGAUCUAUUGGGUGGGAACAAGCUGACGAAAGAGGUACGCCUUUUCUUCUCAAGCUCAAACCAGUUUGCUUACAGUCUCAAAAUGGGUCGUCAAAUUAAGGCCAUUAAGGCGAGGCUAACUUUGAUCGGAAGUGAGGCCAAGAUGUUCAAUUUGGUAGAGCGUGACCGCCCCAUGGAAACCUCUUUAUGACCAAAAAGAGGCAUCAAACGCACUCUUUUAAAGAUAACAUUAUAGGGAGAGACGAUGAUAAAGCAGCUCUUUUAAAACUCAUGUUAGAGUUUGAAAGUGAAGAGAAUGUUUACAUCAUUCCAAUUGUGGGGUUAGGAGGGUUAGGGAAGACUGCUUUGGCGCAGUUUGUGUAUAAUGAUGAAAUGGUCAAAAAUCAUUUUGAGUUGAUGAUGUUUGUGUGCGUUUCAGAUGUUUUUGAUGUCAAAAUAAUUGUAGAAAACAUUAUCAAAUCUGCAACUGGCCAAGCACCAAAUCAAAAACUCGAAAUGGAUCAAUUGCAAAGCCAACUUCGAGGGAAAAUCGGUGGGAAAAAAUAUUUGCUUGUUUUGGAUGACAUUUGGAAUGAGGAGUGGGAAGAAUGGGUUAGUUUAAAAGAGUUGUUAGUAGGUGGGGCUAAAGGAAGUAGGAUAAUAGUAACUACUCGCUCUUUGAGAGUAGCAAAAAUUACCAGUAAAUGUCAGCCUUAUGUUCUGAAAGGCUUGUCUGAUGACGAUGCUUGGUCUUUGUUCAAAGAAAUAGCAUUUGAGCAAAGAUCUAUAAACCCAACCUUUGUGAAAAUAGGGAAACAGAUCUUGGAAAGGUGUGGUGGGGUUCCCUUGGUUAUUAGGACCAUAGCUGGUGCGUUAUCUUUCAAAGAAACUGAAAAGGAGUGGAGUUCUUUCAAAGAUAAUGAACUUGCUAGAAUAUCUCAAAACGAAGGUAAAAUUCUAGCUACACUUAAGUUGAGCUACGAUCAUCUCCCAUCCCAUUUGAAACAUUGCUUUGCUUAUUGCCGACUGUAUCCAAAAGAUCAUAAAAUUCAUGUACAAACUCUUGUUCAAUUUUGGAUUGCACAAGGUUUCGUAAAGCAAUUGAAUCCAAGUCAAUCUCUCGAGGAGAUCGGGUUUGUGUAUUUUAAAGAUUUAAACGAAAGAGGUUUCUUCCAAGAAGUAGGAGAAAGAUAUUCGUGGGAAGGACUAACAUGUAAAAUGCAUGAUUUAAUGCAUGAUCUAGCUGAAUCAGUAGCCGGGACGGAGAGUAGUAUUGUAGAUUCAAAUGAAAUUGCAAGUAAGGUUGGUGAAAAGUGUCGCCACAUAUCAAUUGAUCCUUCAUUAAUUGUUUUGUUUAAAGGAAAGAAGUUGCGAACCAUGUUACACUUUCCAAAUUAUGAGAGAAAUCAAAAUAUGAAUGACGAAAUUUGGGAUUUUAUCAUUUCAAAUUAUAGAUGCUUGCGUGUAUUGGAAUUGAAUGGUUUAGAUUUUAAGAUGAUUCCACGCUCCAUUUGUAAGUUGAAACAUUUGAGGUACCUUGAUCUUUCUGGGAAUUUUAAUAUUAAGAUCCUCCCAAAGAGCAUUUGCAAGAUACAAAAUUUGCAAGCUUUGAAACUUAACUUAUGUUGGGAGCUUGAAGAAUUGCCGAAGAAGAUUGAAAAAUUGGUGAAUCUUACCCAUCUUGGGUGUGAAGAUUGUAGUGGCUUAACUCAUAUGCCACGUGGAAUAGGGAAGCUGACUUCCCUUGAGACGUUAAGCAAGUUUGUAGUGGACAAAGAUGGCUCACGUGACGGUGCAGAUCUAAGUGAAUUGAGUGGGCUUAACAACUUAACGGGACGGCUAGAGAUAACAAAUUUGGGAUUCGUAAAAAAUGCAAAAGAGAAGUUUAAAGCUGCUAAUUUGAAAGAGAAGCAACAUUUGAGAUUGUUGGUCUUAGUAUGGAAUGAUUAUGGUGACGACGACGACGACAGCGGUAAUGAUGAUGAUGAUGAUGACAAGUCACUUGAAGACCUCCGGCCCCAUCCCAAUCUCAAGGAGCUCUUUAUUGGAGGAUGGAGGAGUGAUGCCAAGUUUCCAAGUUGGCUUUCUUUGCUCACAAACCUCGUCGUGAUUAGAAUAUGGGGUCCUAGUAAUUUCAAACAAAUCCCGUCCUUUGCGCAAUUGCCUUGUCUUCAAAAGCUGUCAAUUGUUGAUUUAACUCUGCUGGAGUACAUGGACGAUAAUAGCCCAAAAGGAAGUCAAGGAGAACCAGAAUCAUUCUUCCCAUCGCUUAAGUCUCUUUGCCUCGAGAAUUGCCCAAAUAUGAAGAGUUGGUGGAGGAAAAGCUCGAUUGAUGAUGAUAACGAGGAUGACACAACUGUUAUAGGAACAUCAACCAUGGCAUUUCCUUGUCUUUCCUCUUUAGAAAUUGUAAAUUGCCCUUUGACUUCAAUGCCGUUGUAUCCUUCACUCGAUGAUGAUCUAAGGUUGGUGAAGACCAGUUCAAGGCCUUUAAAGCAGACCAUGAAGAUGAACAUCACUAGUACGACCCCAUCAAGUUCCACUUCUUCUCUUCCUCUCUCCAAAUUGAAAUCUUUCCAUGUACACAAAAUUGAGGGAUUGGACACUCACAUGCUAGAUGAGUACUUGAAACAUUUCACCGGCCUCAAAAAAUUAACAAUAGGAGAUUGCAAGGAGGUUGAUUUAGAGGGCAUGCAAUGGGAAGCCCUUAAGAAUCUCUCUCAUUUGGGGAUUAUUAAUAUUCCACAACUGGUGUCUCUCCCCCUUUGGCUUCAACAUCUUGUUCAAUUGAAAAGAUUAGAAAUUUGGAAUUGCAGCGGAUUGAGGUCACUCUUUCCUGUGUUCCAACAUCUCACUUUCCUUGAAGAUCUUUUAGUAAGCAAGUGCAAGGAGCUGGAGCUAUCAGCAGCUGGCUUACAAAUAUUCCAAGAUCAGACAAGACUACGCUCCUUAGCACUGGAAAAUAUUUCAAAGUGUCGGCAUCUUCCGGAGUGGAUUCAACAUCUAACAAAUCUGCAAAUUCUUUCUCUUGUUGAUUGGCCCAAUUUAACGUCGCUUCCGGAUGAGAUGCGCUGCCUAACCAAUUUGCAACAGUUAAAUAUACACGAGGUUCCUCAGUUGGAAGAAAGGUGUCAGAAGGACAUUGGUGCCGAUUGGUAUAAGAUUGCUCACAUACCUUCAGGUUGGUCUUUUCAUUAAUUUCCUUAUUGAAAUACUACUCAUUUUCCAUAAUAUUUUUGUUAAUUUUGCGCAGUAACCCAUUGGCCUGCUGUUGGAUAUAUCUGAAAAGCAUUUGACAACUUUAAGAAAUUAGAUGCAGAAAAAGAGGUGGUAACUACUUAAAUGGUUUACAUUUUUAAAUCAUAAAAUCUCACAAUUUCAGAUGAUCUAAUAUAACCCCCUAACUAAGCUUCUUCUUUUUCAGCAUGUGUUCAAUUGAAGAGCCAAAAAACAGGACAUGCGUUCUUCAUCAGCUGACCUGUCCAUGGCAUUGUACUCCCAUGAAAUCCUCCUCUCCAUGCACACGUGUUCUUUCUUUUCUUCGUUGAAGAGUCCCUCUGAUGAUCUAAUCCUAAUUUCUGCUAGAUUUUGGCUCUCUUUUUCGGCAGAGCACAGCAUAUAUUACAAGAAGCAGAGGCCAUACUUUCAACUACGAUUUUUUCGUCUGCCAAAAAUAUUCCAACUCAAGAAAAAUGGUAAUAUAUGGUUCCCAUGCCAUUGACAGAUUCUUGGUGUCGUGUUGGAGAGAGCUUAAACACGCAAUGUGGUUGUCAUGUAAGUAAAUUGAAUAGGGGGUAGGGGUUAAGGGUUGAUAAAAAUGGAGGGGGAAGAGAGGGAUAUUUCACAAUAUUCUUUGAUGCAGGGCACCCCUUUUAACUGUUUGAAUUUUGAAGGUUAAAUCAUGGAAGGAUCUUGCUUCAGAGUAUUUGGUGGUGAGGAUGAGGUUGAUGCUCUAUGUUUGGGAAUGGGAGUUUGUUACUAUUACAGAUUACGAUGCCCUAUGUUUGGCCCUUUGUUGAACUUGAACUGAAAAGGCAUAGAAAAUGGCCAUUAUUGCACAUAAAUAAAGUUCUGUUUAGCAACAGUAAGUGUUUCUAUAUUUGGACACUGCUCAGUUUAAAUGACAUCAAUUUUAACAUACUCCAUGUUCGCAUUUAUAAUUUCCAGGUUCAUUGUUGCUUUUGGAAGGUCUCGUUGUUGAAGCAUGAUAAUUGUCAGAGAUAUUGCAUUUGGAAAUUUAUUAUUCCACUUUACACGGAACUUAUGAAGAGUUUGACCAAUCCUAGAGCAUAUAUAUAGAUGAUUUAUUUUAUGGAUGAUGUGUGAAUUUAAAGAAGCACAUAUCUUCAUAAUAGGAGCUAUUGUUGAGUGACAUUGUUAUACACCAUCCGAGUGUUUAUUUUCACUUGCAUAGUUAAAAAGAAUUGGAAGAGAAAUUACUUAACUAUACAAAGGUGAGGUUGUAUCAAGUGUUUGAGGGGUAAAGCUAAAUCACUCCUUUGUAGUAUGAAGUUCAUAAUAUAUUUAUCUCUAGGCAAGGCCUCGCAGAUGUGGUACGACUUCUGAUCUAUAUAAACAUCUUGAUUAUAUUUUUAUUUUAUUUUGUUGCAUGAUACCGGCCAAAAAAAACACACACAUAUUUGUUAAUGUUCCAACAUUAAUUAUGCGGAGGAUUUCAAUAGAAUAGAGUGGCAGGGAUGGAUCAGCUCGUGAAGAAUGCAGGUCUUAUUUUGCAUCUUCCAUUUAACUAAUGCAGACAAAACUAAGCAUUAAUUAUGCGGUUCUAAUACAUCAGUUUAUUACAUCAGAGAAAUUGCCAAGUUCGUUUAGAUUCAUGAAUUUUCCAUAUUAGUUUCACUAAAAAUCUUCAAGGUAAUCCAUACUGAUAGUCUUGAGGCAGUUAAAAUUAUUUAGGAGAGAUCUAUAGGUGGAUCCAAUUCAGUUUAAGUUAGAAGGAUUUGUUAGUUGCUGAUACAGCUUGAUCAUUGAAAUAUUUCGUAUACUUCUAGAAUGAAUAAUCAGGAGGCUGAUACUUUGGCCAAGCUCGCACAUGAAGGUAGACAUAGUUUAUAGUUUGGGAGUUUUUGUAACAUCCCUAUUAAAGGGAUCGGUUACCGCACAAAUUAGCAAAAGAAAAUGAUAAAUGAAGUAACAAAGUAACUUAAAUUUACAAAAUAUGGUAUUGAUGGCACCAAAAAGCUUAUUCCAAUCGGCACCGAUGUCCUUCCGACUGAAAAUUGUUAACUCUUUUACAAUUUGAUCCUAUUUAAUUCUUUUUUAAUAAUAUAGGAACUAAAUUGAUUCAUUUAAUAACAAAGGGACUAAUUUGAUACAGUCUAUAAUAUGGGGACUUCUCAGAUGCCUUAACCCGUAAUGUGUGUGAAAUGUUUUAAAAAGUUUGCAAUUAAGCCCAUGUAAGUUGUUGCACCAUAUCAAUUAAAAAAAUUGAUGUUUGUGAACCUUAAUUUUGUAUUUUCUUUUAACUUUAAGAAAGAAAAAAAAGGAUUUUUGAGCCUAUUUUGUUUUUAAAGAAAAAGGAAAAUAUUAUAUCUAGGUGAAAUAAACCAUACACUAGAUUGCCACGUAAGCAGGUAAUUAUUUUUUUAAUUUAAAAUUUCAAUAAUAUAUAAAAAAAGUAUUUUAAGAAGUAUUUAAAUUAUAAAAACAUAUUUAUAAUACCUUUUAAUUUUUAAAAAUUUAUUAAUUGCUAACGUGACAUACAUAUGGUAAUCCACGUGUAUAUACUAUAUGUAUGUCACGUCAGUAAAAUUAACAAACGUUAACUUGUUUAAUCAUUUUAGGGUGACUUGACAAAAAAUAUAAAUUUAAAGUUUAAAAGAGAUAAAAUAAUUAAAUAAAAAGCUAAAAUAAUUUUUUUUAUAAAGUUAAAGAGUUAAAAAGUCAUUAUACUUUUUUUUUCAAGAUAAGAAAUGUUCUAUUGAUGAUACUUUAUACGUAAGUGCAUGUACAUUUGCCCCAUGAUUGUUAUUUUUAUAAAUUCACCAUAAAAAUUAAUUUAAUGUAUAGAGUUUUUUGUCAUAUUUGAGGUUGACUAUUGUAGCGAUGGGAUUAAAACUAAUUGUGAAAUAUAUAUUUAAACUCAAAUGUAAACGUUGUGAUAGAACGUGUUUAGAAAAUAACUACUAAAGACAUUAAGUUCAAAUUCAUCUCUAUGUAAAAUAAAUAAUUAAGGAUUUAUUUAAAAAUAAAACAUCUUAAAUAAUAAUUGAAAAUAUCAAUGUUAUGUUUAUAUUUAAAAAAUAAUUAAUAUUAAAUUAUAAAAUAUACAUAAAAAUUGUAUGUUUUAAUUUUUAUUAAAUUAGUAGUUAAAAUCACUUAAAAUUUUUAUUUCAUUAUUAUUUUCUUUCAAACUUUUAUUUUUGAAUUUUUUUAUACCGUCAAUAUUUUAAUUAUGUUCCACAAUUUGGAUAAUAUUUAUUACAUAAAAUAAAAAUAUAUAAAAUCAUGUUCAAUACGUAUAAUAUUAAAAAUUAGUAUAUAAAAAAUAAUUGGGUUGUUUCUUCAAAAUUAUUAAUAUAUAAAUAUCUUGAAGUGAAAAAAAAAAAAAUGGAAACUACAUAAGAGCUUAUAUAUGUGUUGUCUUUUUCUUUAUCAUACUUGAAAUAGAGUCGAAGCCAGGAAAUCCUUUUAGGGGCUAAAAUUAAAUUGUAAUUUUUGCAAUAGAAAAAAUGUAAUUUUACCAUUUUAUUAACUUAUAUCUUUAUAAUUUUUAAAAAUUAAAUCUAACUUUUAUCAUUUUUAGGAUGCCAAAGUACAAUUUUACAUUUAUUAAAUAAAAAAAUUUCUAUUUUAGAAAAGGUCGGGCCCCUGUCAACCCCUAGCUACGCCCUUGACUUGAAAGUACUUAUAAAGGUCUAUCAUGGCACAAGGCAAAAUUCCAAGCAUCUAAUUGUUAUUUCUCCCAUUGUUUUCCUUAUAACAAGAGUAUAGUAAAAUAGUAAUAGAGACAGUAACAAUUAUCAUAAUAUAUAAUUAUAGACAUGAUAAUCAUUGUCAUCAAAAAUACCAAAGUUAAAUUUUGUGGGUGGGGAGGUGGAAAUGAGAUAUUAGUGUUUGCAAAUUAAGUGAAUUCGACUCAAAAGAAAAAUUCAAAUUCGAUUCGGUAGUUAUUGAGUUGGGUUUAAGCUAUUAAUUUAGUCGAAUUCAAGUUUAAUAAUGCUUAUUCCAAUGACUCACUAAUCUUAUUAAUUUUUUUUAUUAUAUAUUUUAUCUUAUUAAAUUCACUACAAGCUUAUCUAAUUUAAAUAACUCAUUUAUAUCUUGAAUUGAAAUCAAACUCGAACUUAAAAAUAGAUAUUUAAUUUUAACUCAAAGAAUUCGGACUCGGCUCAAUGAAGCUUUAGAAAGACUUGAAUGCAUGUGCCUGAACCUAAAGUGAAUUCCAUGGGAUUUGUCUCCUCUCUUCUUUCAUAGUUUUUUCAUUAAUUUCAAUUAUUUCUACAGACGGACAAAUUUUCCCGAAGUUGCUGUAAUUGUGCAGAGCACCCCAAAUGUCAUCAUCCCAACUUUGUCUCCAUUGAGAAAUUUUUAAAAUUUUAAAUUAAUAAAAAUAAAAUUAUAUUUUAAUCUUUAAAAUAAUAAAAAUUUAAUUUAAUCCUUUAAAUCUAUCAUUUAAUUUCGGCAAAUCAACAUUAUUCUCAUUUAAUUGUACUACUAGGUGGGUGGAUGGUAACAUCUUUAAAAUACUGUCUCUGCGUGUAUGAAUCCACAUCUGUGUCUCAUCUUGUCGGAAUCAUUCUCAUUUUAGUCCUCCUCUUGCAAUAACCAAACAUCUUUGUGCUUGAUUUCAGUUUGUGACAAUUUCUUUUAAAGUAGAUUUUGAAAAAGCAUACGAUUAUAUAGAAUGACAAUUUCUUAACUUGGUUAUGAAUAAAAUAGAUAAUUGUCAAAUUUUAAUAUAUAAUAAUCCCUAUAGGAGCAAUCAAGUUUUAAUAAAUAUGUAUUGUUAACCCAAAUGAUAGGGAAAUAAAAGGGAAAGAGUGUAAUAAAUUUAGUUCAAUCUAGACCUAUUUAUGGGUAGGGUUUUUUGUCAAAUUUAAAAAUAUUUUGAGGGUUUAGGUAAAUAUAUUAGUUUUAAAAAAUAGGUUCCGAAAAAAAAGGCAUGCAUAAAAUAUGAAUUGGGAUUGGGAUUGGGAUUGAACAUUUAAAGCCUAAGUUUGACCCAAUCCAUUUUUUUAGUUUGUAAUGUUUUAUAUUACGUUAUUUUUAUAUGUUAUGUAAUUUGUAACAAAUAAAAAUUAAAUUUAUAUACUAUUAUAAUGUUAAGAUGACUAUAUAUAAAAUUUCAAUAAAAAUAUAUACAUAAUUAUUAAAUAUCAAGUUAAAAAUAAUAUAAAUAUAUUUUAAUUUUUUUUUAAAAUAGUAUGGUGGGUCUAAAAUGGACAUGAAUUAACCAUAUAUAAAUUUGGACGAACUUAAAAGUAAAAUUUUAGACUUACAUUUUAACUCAAACUAAAUUUAGACAAAUAUAAAAUGAAUUAAUAUCAUACUUAAACUUGACCUAUGAUAAACUCUAAUUUAAUUUUAGAACUCUACAUUUUGAAAUAAUAUUUUAAUGAAUUCUAUUUAUGUAUAUUAAAGUAAUUAAAAUGCACUCCUAAUCAAAUAGAUGUAAGCAAUAUUGAUGAUGAUAUAAGUAAUGAUUUUCCAUUCAACUCCACAAUAGCCUAAUCACAACACAUCCCUGUGAAACUGACAUAAACCCAAUAUCUCCCUCCACAUGUUCUUUGCAAAAUUAAAGCCAAAAUUUACAAUCACACCUGAUUUUAAGUCCAAAAGAAAUUAUGUAACUCCUCAAUAGCUCUCUGUGCGACAUUUGUAGUCACCCUUGAUAUUAAGUCCAAAAGAAAUUAACUUUUUCUUUUAUAGGCAACUUCUCCCAUUUUGGCAUUUUGGGAUAUGCCAAAUCAAUCUCUCUUAAUUUAUUUUUUAUAUAUUACAUACACAAAUAAUUAUAAUAAUUUAAUAUAAUAUAUAUCUGUAUUAAUUUUUUUAAAAGUAUAUAAUUGAAUUAAAAUCAAAGUUUCAUGUAUAUAUAUGAACCACAAUUCAAGUUUCAUGUGGAUGAUUGUACCAAAUUAAAAUUCAUGUAUCAAAUUGCACAUUUAACCAAAGUUCAUGUAUAAAUUUAGUUAUCCUUAAUAAUAAUAAUAAAUCAAAAACUUCGACCCUUUACUAAUAAAUAUAUGUAUAUUUUAAGGAAAAAUUAAAUGCUACUACUAUUAAUAGCAAAAAUGUCUUGACUUGUAUAUAUUUGGAAAAUUUUCAAUUAUGUAUAGUGUCUCAAUAAGUAUAAAUGAAAGCGUGUAAUUAAUCAAAAGUUAUAUCUUUUGAUUAUUGAUCAAGAAUUAUAACUAUCUAUAAUAAUGAGUUAUAUUCCUGAUAAAGAAUUAUAACUAUUCAAGCAAACUUGAAUAAUUAUAUAUCUUUUAGAAAAAAAUCACCUAUUAAAAGUUAUGUCUCUUAAAUUCCUAUAAAUAGGAGUAGAAUUUCAUUUAAAAAAUAUACCCAAAAAAGGUUCUCAAUAAUUCUUUCUACUAUUCUUACAUAUUUUACCAUUCUUAGAUUGUUCUAUAAAAUAAUAUUGCUGAAUUUUUUUUAUAAAAAUUGAUUUUCUUGUUAUACUCUGUUCGUUAAUGUAAAACGCUCAUAGCCACUGGGGUUCAUGUAUCUCGAGGUUCAUUUACUUUAAACUCAUUUGCACAUAGAGUAGGGGGUGAAUAGAAAGAUAAUUGAGCCUUGUCCUAUUGCUUCUUUUCUCUGUUCAAAUUGUUGUUCAUGUGUUCAAGAUUUUCGUCAUCGAAGUUCUACACUAAUAGUAUGGAGAGAUGGUUAAAGCUUUUAUCAGAUACUUAUUUAACACAAAUUCGAACCAUAUUACCUUAUUUUUAUUCUUAAUAUUAUAUAAAAAAAUUAAUAACAAAUAAAAUUAGCAGACUUAUCAAUAUAAAAAACAUUAUUAAUAAGAGUAUAGUAUAAUAGUGAUGGAUAGUAACAAUUGUCAUUAUAUAUAAUUAUAGACAUGAUAAUAAUAACUGUUACGAAGUUACCAAAAAGGAAAAAAUGAAGCUAAAUUUCAUGGGUGGGAGAGGCAUAAAUGAGAUUUUAAUGUUAAUAAGUUAAAUGAAUUUAACUAAAAAUAAAUUCAAAUUUGAUUCGAUAAUUAUUGAGUUUAGUUUGAAUUAUCGAUCUAAUUAAAUUUGAGUUUAGAAAUAUAUAUUAUAUAUUUUUAUCUUAUUAAAUUAAAUUACGAGUAUUCAAACUCAGCUCAAUUACACUAAGCAAGUGGGAAAAGUUACGAAGACAAGAAUGCAUGGGCCUCAAUAUAAACACCUUGGAUUCCAUGGGAUUUGUCUCUUUCUUCUCUUUUCUUUCAUAGCUUUUUCAUUAAUUUCAAUUAUUUGUAGGGAUCGAGACUGACAAAUUUUGCCCAAGUUGAUGUAAUUGUGCAGAGCACCCGAUCAUCCCAACUUUGUCUCCAUUGAGAAAUUUGUGUCAAACAUUUCCCAUCAAUCAACAUUAUUUUCAUUUAAUUAUACUACUUGCUGGGUGGAUGGUAACAUUUAUAAAACUUCUUAGUCUCCGCCAGUAUGGAUCCACACCUGUGUUUCAUCUUGUUCCAAUCGUUUUCAUUUUAGUCCACCUCUUGCAAUAACAAAACACUCUUUUGCUUGAUUUCAGUUUGAACCGGCAAUGGCCGAAGCAAUUGCAUUCGACCUCGCUGUAGAGCUUAUUACUAAAUUGAGCUCCUUUACUCUCUCUAAAAUUGGACUGUCGUGGAAUGUCAAAGAUGACCUCGACGACCUCGAACGCACCGUCUCCACAAUCAAAGAUGUGCUUCUUGACGCAGAAGAGAAAUCGAAGACCAACAAUCUUGUCAAAGUUUGGCUUAAGAAGCUGAAAGAAGUACUUUAUGAUGCCGACGACUUGUUCGAUAAUUUCUCUGCCGAAGCAUUGCGGAAAGAUCUAUUGGGCGGGAACAAGCAGACGAAAGAGGUACGCGCUUUCUUCUCAAGCUCAAACCAGUUUGCAUACAGUCUCAAAAUGGGUCGGAAAAUUAAGGCCAUUAAGGCGAGGCUAACUUUGAUCGGAAGUGAGGCCAAGAUGUUCAAUUUGGUAGAGCGUGACCGCCCCAUGGAAACCUCUUUCAUGACUAAAAGGAGGCAGCAAACGUCCUCUUUUAUGCGUGAAGGUGAAAUAAUAGGGAGGGAUGAUGAUAAAUCAGCUCUUCUAAAACUCAUGUUAGAGAAUGAAGGUGAAGAGAAUGUUUACGUCAUUCCAAUUGUGGGGUUUGGAGGGUUAGGGAAGACUGCGUUGGCGAAGUUUGUUUAUAAUGAUGAAAUUGUCCGUGGUCAUUUUGAAUGGUCGACGUGGGUGUAUGUUUCAAAUGUUUUUGAUGUCAAAAGAAUUGUAAAAAGCAUUAUAGAAUCUGUAACAGGCCAAGCACUAGAUCAAAGUCUCGAAAUGGACCAGUUAGGAAAACAACUUCGAGAUAAAAUUAGUGGGAUAAAAUAUUUGCUUGUUUUGGAUGACAUUUGGAAUGAGGAGCGGGAAGCAUGGUUAAGCUUAAAGAAUUUAUUGAUGGGUGGGGCUAAAGGAAGUAGGAUAAUAAUAACUACUCGCUCUAUGAAGGUAGCAAAGAUUACUAGUACAUGUCAGCCUCAUGUUCUGAAAGUUUUGUCUGAUGACAAUGCUUGGGUUUUGUUCAAAGAAAUAGCAUUUGGGCAAAUAUCUGAGAACUCAACAAAUCCAGUCUUUGUUGAAAUAGGGAAACAGAUUUUGGAAAGGUGUGGUGGGGUUCCCUUAGUCAUAAGGACAAUAGCGGGUACAUUAUUUUUCAAAGAAACUGAAAAGGAGUGGCGUUCUUUCAAAGAUAAUGAACUUGCUAGACUAUCUGUACAUCAAGAUGAAAUUUUACCUACACUUAGGUUGAGCUACAAUCAUCUCCCAUCUCAUUUGAAGCAUUGCUUUGCUUUUUGCCGAUUGUAUCCAAAAGAUCAUGUAAUUCAUGUACAAACUCUUGUUCAAUUUUGGAUUGCACAAGGUUAUAUAAAGCAAUUGAAUCCAAGUCAAUCUCUUCAGGAGAUCGGGUUUGAGUAUUUUAAUGAUUUAGUUGAUAGAAGUUUCUUUCAAGAGGUAGGAGAAAGAUUUUCGAGGGAAGAACUAUCAUGUAAAAUGAAUAAUUCAAUGCAUGAUCUAGCUGAAUCAGUAGCAGGGAGGGAGAGUAGUAUUGUAGAUUUAGAACGACAUGCAAGUCAGGUUGGUGAAAAUUGUCGCCACAUAUCAAUUAAUCCUUCAUUAAUUCCUUCAUUGAAGGGAAAUAUGUUGCGAACUUUGUUACAUUUUCCGAACAUUAGAAUUCAAAUUUUGAGUGACGAAACUUGGGAUUUGAUAAUUGCAAAUUGUAGAUGCUUGCGAUUAUUAAAAUUGGAUGAUAUAGAUUUUAAGAUGAUUCCACGUUCCAUUCAUAAGUUGAAGCAUUUGAGGUACCUUGAUCUUUCUCACAAUCGCGAUCUUAAGAUUCUCCCAAAGAGUAUUUGCAGUAUACAAAAUUUGCAAGUGCUGAAACUUGAUCGGUGCUGGGAGCUUGAAGAAUUGCCGAAGAAGAUUGAAAAUUUGGUGAAUCUUACCCAUCUUGGGUGUGAAGAUUGUAAUGGCUUAACUCAUAUGCCACGUGGAGUAGGAAAAUUGAGUUCCCUUGAAACGUUAAGCAUGUUUGUAGUGGAUAAAGAUGGUUCUCAUGGCGGUGCAGAUCUAAGUGAAUUGAGAGGGCUUAACAACCUAAGGGGAGAGCUAAGAAUAAGAAAUUUGGGAUUUGUAAAAAAUGCAAAAGAGAAGUUUAAGGCUGCUAAUUUGGAAGAGAAGCAACAUUUGAGAUCGUUGGUUUUAGAAUGGGGCUUUUAUUUUGAUGAUAACGAUCAUGAUGACAAAUCACUUGAAGACCUCCAGCCCCAUCCUAAUCUCAAGGAGCUCUGUAUUCAAGGAUGGAGGGGUGAUGCUGAGUUUCCAAGUUGGAUUUCUUUUCUCACAAAUCUCGUCCAUAUUAAAAUAUGGGGUCUUGGUAGUAAAUUCAAACAUCUCCCGUCCUUUGCUCAAUUUCCUUGUCUUCAAGAUUUGGUAAUUUGUGAUUUAACUGAGCUGGAGUACAUGGAUGAUAAUAGCCCAAAAGGAAGUCAAGGAGAACCACAAUCAUUCUUCCCAUCGCUUAAGUAUCUUUGCCUACGGGAUUGCCCAAAUAUGAAGAGUUGGUGGAGAAAAAGGUCGAUUGAUGAUUCCAACGAGGACGACACAACAGUUAUGUCAUUUCCUUGUCUUUCCUGUUUAAAGAUUGAAAAUUGCCCUUUGACUUCAAUGCCGUUGUAUCCUUCACUCGAUGAUUGGUUAAAGUUGGUGAAUACCAGUUCAAGGCCGUUAAAGCAGACUAUGAAGAUGAACAUGAAUCCUAAGACCCCAUCAAGUUCAACCUCUUCUCUUCCGCUCUCCAAAUUGAAAUCUUUCCAUGUAGAGAAUCUAAAGGAACUGGAGACUCACAUGCUAGAUGAGUACCUGCAACAUCUCACCAGCCUCAGAGGUUUAACGAUUAGAGAUUGCAAGAAGGUUGAUUUAGAGGGCAUGCAAUGGGAACCCCUUAAGAAUCUCUCUCGUUUGAUGAUUGAUAAAAUUCCACUGCUGGUGUCUCUCCCACGUGGGUUUCAACAUCUUGUUCAGCUGAAAACAUUAGAAAUUCGUAAUUGCAGUGGAUUGAGGUCACUCCCUGUGCUCCAAAAACCCAUUCCUGUGUUCCAGCAUCUCACUUCCCUUGAAGAGUUUGAAGUAACGAACUGCAGGGAGCUGGAGCUAUCAGAAGAUGACAUCCAAAUAUUCGAAGAUCAUACAAGCCUACGAUAUCUAACGCUGGAAAACAUUCCAAAGCAUCGGCAUCUACCGGGGCGGUGUAAAAACAUCCAUAAUAAUAGUAGAAAUUCCCCAACUGAAGGAAAGAUGUAGGGAGGACAUUGGUGCAGAUUGGCACAUUUGGUGGUAUCAGGUUGGUCCGUCCUUUCUAUUUAUUUAUUUAUUUAUUUUUAACACCAUAAUUUGUUUCCAAAAAAUAAGAAAAGAAAAAUUAGAGUGGUAUAUUUAGUCUCCAACUCUGGGCUCUCAUGCCAUUUUCAUUCAAGUUGGAUACUGUUAAUUUCCUUGUUAAAAUAUUAUUCAUUUCACAUCUUGUAUAAUUUGAAAUUCCUUUAUUUUAAUCCUACCAUUUUCAUAAUAUUUUGCUAAUUUAUGCAGUAAGCCAUUGGGGAAAGGCAUUUGUCAACUUCAAUAAUUUAUAUGCAUAGAAAGAGGUGGUAAUUUACGCAUCGUUACUGCUUCUUUUCAUAUCUCUCAUUUCAUAUACAUCAAUUUAAGGGCUUCUAAUAAUUUAAUUCUAAAAAAUCUUUAAAAUAGACAUUGGAGCAUAUAUAUAGAUGAUUUAUUUCAUGGAUAAUGUGUGAAUUCUGUAUUUGUCAUCUUUCAUAAUGUUUUGCUAAUUUGUGCAGUAACCCAUUGGAGUCUAUUUUGAUGAAAGGCAUUUGACAACCUUAAGAAUUUACAUGCAGAAAAAGAGGGGGGGUAGUAUUUAAUUGCUUUACACUUUCAAAAAAUAUUAAUCUCGCAAUUUCAAUGAUGUAAUAUAACCCCGUAACUAAGCUUCUUCUUUUUCAGCAUGAAUUCAAUGGAAGAGGCAAAAAACAAAAUGGACAUGCAUUCUUCAUGGGCUGAUCUGUCCAUGGCAUUGUACUCCCAUGAAAUCCUACCCUGUAUGCACAUUUGUUCUUUCUUUUUCUUUUUCUCUUUGUUGAAGAUCGACACAAAUUUUGUAGAUUUAUCCUCAAUUUCUUUGUCGAAGAGUCCCUCUGUUGAUCUAGUCCUAAUUUUUGUUAGAUUUUGGCUUUCUUCUUCGGUAGCGCAUAGCAUAUAUGACAAGAAGCAGAGGCCAUACUUUCAACUACGAUUUGUUCAUCUGCCAAAAUAUUCCAGCAAAACAAAAAUGGUAAUAUAUGUCAUCAGUUUCAUUAUAAUUUCCAAUUGAUCGGAUAUAAAUUAUAUAUAUGCCAAAUGAUUACUAGCUUAUAUGGUACCUAUGCUAUUGACAGAUUCUUGGAGUCGUGUUGGAGAGAGCUUAAACACGCAAUGUAGUUGUCAAGUAAGUAAAUUGAUUAGGGGCUAGGGAUUAAGGGUUGAUGAAAAUGGAGGGGGAUAUUUCUCAAUAUUCUUUGAUGCAGGGCACCCCUUUUAGCUGUUUGAAUUUUGAAGGAUCUUGCUCAAGAAUAUUUGGUGGUGAGGUUGAGGUUGAUAAAAUUCUUUCAUUAUUUAUAGAUGAACAACAAUAUAUUAACACUAAUGGGGAUGUGAAUUUCUUACCAUUACAGAUGAUGAUGAUGAUGAUGAUGAUGAUGAUGAUGAUGAUGAUGAUGAUGCUCAAUGUCUGGCCCUUUGUUAAGCUUGCACUGGAAAAGCAUAGACAAUGGGUUUGUGGUUACCCCCCAUUUAUGCACAUGAUAUAAAGUUUCUUGUAGUAACAGUAAGUGUUUCUACAUUUGGACACUGCUUGGUCUAAAAUACAUAAAUUUUAACAUAUUCUAUAUUGGCAUUUCCAGGUUCGUUGUUGCUUUUGGAAGAGUCCUAUUUCAAUGAUUGUCAGUUGCUGGAGAUAUUGCAUUGAUAAUUCAUUAUUCCAUGUUACAUGGAGCUUAUGUAAAGCUUAAUUGAUCCUAGAGUUUAUAUAUAGAUGAUUUGCUUCAAGGGUGAUGUGUGGAUUUAAAGGAGCACGUAUGUUUAUAGUGAGGAACGGAACUAUUAUCGAGUGCCAUUGCUAUAACCUCCGAGUGUUAAUUUUCACUUACAGUAGGUAGAUCUGAUAGAUAGUUUACUAAAUUGUACAAGAGUGAGAUUGCAACAAGUGUUCGAGGGAUUGGGCCUAUUUUUUUUUUUUUGGUAUUCUGAAGUUUAUAGUGGAUUUAUCUCUGGGCAAAACCCCGCAGAUGUAGGACAAGUUCCGAACUGCGUAAACAACCUAAUUGUGUACUUCAUUAUUCUUUACUUGUGCUAUGUGUGCCAACUCACAAAAGAACAUAUUUCUGCAUUUAGUAUUCUAGAUAAUGUUCAAACACAGGGUAGUUUAAAUGAUUGUCAUACAUUAUUUAAUGAAAGCACUUUGCAAAAAAAAUCCUUAAAUUGAUUACACUGAAAAGAAUCAAUCGAAAUAAAUCAGUUUUUUUCAGUUUAAUUAAUUCUUAUGUUUGAUUUAAUUGAUUUAUUUGCUCGAUUUUCAUUUUUAAUUUUUUAGAUUGAUGAGCUUUUUAAUUAGGGAUAAAUUUUAAAAUCAUACAUUAGUUAUGGUUUAAUAUGCAAUUGUAUAAAUGAAUUUUAAUUUUGUGCAAUUUUAUACAUAAAAUUUUGAUUUGAUAUUAUUAACACAAUUAUUGAUAUAACAUCAUCUUAUGUUUAUAUGUUGUAUAUAUAAAUAAUUAUAUUAAUUCAAUAUAAAAAUAAAUUGAAGUAUUUAUUUUUUUAAAUGUGCAUGAUUAAAUCAAGAUUAAAGUUUCAAGUAUACAUUUGAAUCAAAAUUAGAGUUUCAUGCAUAUAGUUGCAUCAAAUUAAAAUUUAUAUAUACAAUUGCAAAUUAAAUCAAAGUUAGAUAUAAUUUUAAGAUUUAUCUCUUUUAAUUAUUAAACCAAAAACUCAUUCACAUAUCUAAGUGCAAAAUAAAAUAAAUACUUAAUACCCAUAUAAAACUCAACCCACCUCAAUUAAUUAAAAAAACCUAGACAAAUAUUUAAUUUAAAAAUCCGAUAAUAAAAAGUUUAUAUAAUAUAUUUAUUAAAAGAAACUAACUAAUAAAAUUACUUGUAACAAAAAUUAGUCUGGUCAAUAAUAUUCAUCAUAGUAUUAAAUUUAUAUUAAAUAUUAUUGGAUAAAUACAAAAGUGGUAUUCAAGUGAAGUUCUUUCUACAAAUAAUCAAUUUUAUUAUUUAUUUAUUGCUUUUAAUAAUAAUAUAAAGAAAAAAAACUGAAUUUCUUAACUUUUUUAUAUUAGCACACGCAAAAGCACUUUGAUUGCUGGUGACGAAAAUUUCAAAAGAUUUCCGAAUAAUAAUUAACUACAAAAUAAAAAAGGUAAAGACAAAACAACUAUAAAAGGAAGAAAAUAAUAUCAUAAAUAAAUCAAAUAUACAAAAAAGAAAAGAAAGAAUGAUUAUUUCUUUUAUUAUUUCCGGCACUUUCAUGUCGUUCAUAUUUACCUCUUUAAAUUAUGCAUCUUUUAUUUUAUUUUUAUUUUGAGUUAUCAUGUUUAUUUUAUUAUUAAAUAUGGUAUUAUGAUUAUUAUUGUUACUCUUAUUACUAUUGACAAAUGUUAUUAUCAUUAUUAUUAAUAUUGCACUAUUAUUGCCAUCGCUACUUUUUUAUUUUUUAUUAUUUAUUUAUAAUAUUAUAUUAUUUGUACUUAUAUAGCAAUUCCAUUUUUGCUAAGCAUUCUAUUUCUCUUGCACAUAAUCAUACAAUGCUUAAAUAAAUUAGUUGCACAUCGCAUUAAAUAUUAUAUUCAUUUUACCCGAUGUAUAGGAAAUAAUUAAAUCGAGGUAAUAUUCAUUAUUUUUGAAAUUUGAGGAGUCGUGCUCCUAACUUACGAAGUAUGAUCUCUUUCCAAAACCGAAGUAAUUGAAUAUCCUAUUUAAAAAUAAAAAUUGAGAUUUGAGUAAUGAUCAAAUGGUGAUUAUUCUUGUUUUCGAGGAUUCAAAGCAUCAUGUCCUAACUUACAGGACAUGAUCUUUUCUUCUCGACUAACUCGAAGUAAGGCCUUUUCGUAAAAUUUAAUUUAGUUAAGUGAUAUUUUAAUCAAAAAAGAACAUCAUGCGAAGAGGGAUUGUAUUUUAAUUUCUCUUUGAAUUUUCAAUUUUUGACAUCAAAACAUCAAGUAACCAGCUAGGUACCAAUUUUGGGCGUUAUGAGGGUACUAACCCUUCCUCAUACGUAACCGACUCCCGAACCCAUUUUCUUGGAUUUUUUAGGCUAAAAUAUUUAUCGUUUUAGUAAAAUAUAAUCUUUUAUUAAAAUGAUUAGUUUUUUAGGUAACCCAAUUACAACUAAUAAAAAUGAUCGGUGACGGCUCCAUUCUCGUUUUAAAAUAAAAAGUCGAUUUUGAAAAAGGGUUUCGACACAUUCUAUUUCCAAAUGCUGAGGAUGAGAAUAUGGAUGCCCUGCAACAAUCACAACCCUUUUUUAGCUUGUUACAGAACAAAUGUAUUUAUGUUCCUUUAACUUUCGUAUUCCAUUGUGCAUUAGUUUCUUUAUUCAAGAUUAAAAUUUUGCAUAAUACUAAUGUGUUAUCUGUAUAAAUUGAUUAAUAAAGAAUGAAAUUCAGAUGAUUUUUUCAAUCACACACACUAACGAGAACAAUCUGAUAAAAAAAUCCGUGAGAUUCUUCGAUGGAAACUUAUCUAAGUUCAAAACACUAUUGAAAUGAAAUAUAUAAACACAGUCUGCACAACUUUUUCUUUCUUUAUGCAUUGCAUCAUCAAGAAAUAUUGAAAACUGCACAAAAUUCAUGAAGAAAGACAGUCCCUUAAUUAAGUAUUAUUUAUUAAUUUGUUCGUGUAACCCCCUCCUUGACGUUUAAACAAUAGGCUCUUCCUCCGGAAUUAGAUGCAACGAGAUACUGCAAUCCUCGAAAGAAAGGAAGAACAUGGGCAUGGCAGGGGCGUUUCUUGGUGAGCUAAGGAGGAUUCUAGCACAUCAAUUCCCUCUACAUAGCAACAAGAACUUGGAAAUUAUAAAUGUCAAUAUACAAUAGGAUAAAAUUGAUCUCGUUUAGACUGAGCACUAUCGAAAGGUAGAAGAAAGACUUACUGUUACUAAAAACAUAACCCCGUAUUUUGUGCACAAAUGGUGGCCAAACACAAAAUUUAAGAUAGGGCCAAACAUUGGGCGUCAUCAUCAUGUGUGAUAGUAACAAACUCACAUUCCCGUUAGUGUUUAUACCUCAAAACCUUUUGCCAAAUUAAUUUUUCUUUACUAAAAUGCUUACCAUCAUCAGUGUUAUAUUAUUUCAUAUCUAAUGUUAUGUCAGCUUGUUGCUUUCGCAUAUUACUCACAAAGAAAUUAGUUAAUAGAUUUAACAUUGUCAUUUGCAUGAAGAUUAAAAUUUCGACAUUCAAAAAAUAUAGCAACUAAAAAUGAUCCAGUUAGAGAAUAUGGACUAAAUUUAUAACUUUAUUCAUAAUACAGGACUAAUAGCAUAAUUUAACAAAACAGAUUUAAUUGCUACCAUUUGAUCAAGACAAAAAAAUCAAAAUUCAAAAAGUACAGGGACUAAAUUUGAUCAAAUUAAGUACAAGUACUAAAUCUCAGUUUACACAAAGUAAGGGUCUGAUAGCUAAAUUUGACCUAAACAUAUCAUAGAAAAUAGAAGAAAAGAAACGAGUGGUAUGAAUUACCUGUCAUUCCUUGUUAGUGUUGCUCUUCUAACUAUUUUAGUGAUCACAGUAUUUGGUAUAAGCUGCGAUUUCAAAUGUGUAUACACAAGAGGACUUCAUCAGAUCAUUGCAAUGGUGAGAUUAUUAUGAUUUAAAACUGCAAAGCAAUUAGAUAAAUUACCUCCACAUUUUUCUGCAUUUAAAUUCUUGAAAUUUCCAAAUUGCUUUUGCUAAAAGUCUUCUAUGGUCACUGCACAAAUUAGCAAAAGACAAUGAUAAAUGAUAAAUAAAAAACUGCACUAGUAAUUUCAAUUUACAAAAUAUGGAAACAUACCAACCUGUAGCUAUAUGAGCAAUCUUAUGCCAAUCGGCCCCAAUGUCCUUCCGACAUCUUUCCUCCAACUGGGGAGUUUGUCGUAUGCAUAACUCCUCCAAACUGGUUAGGCAACGCAUCUCGUCCGGAAGCGAUGUUAAAUUGGGCAAAUCAACGAGAUAAAGCUGUUGCAGAUUUGUUAGAUGUUGAAGCCACUCUGGAAGACGCUGACACUUCGGAAUGGUUUCCAGCCAUAGAGCACGUAAGCUUGUAUAACCCUGGAAUAUUUGCAUGCCAGCUCCAGAUAACUCCAGCUCAUUGCAAUUCCUUAUUGAAAACUCUUCAAGGGAAGUUAGAUGUUGGAACACUGGAAAGAGUGACCUCAAUCCACUGCAAUUACGGAUUUCUAAUGAUUUCAAUUGAACAAGAUGUUGAAUCCCAAUGGGGAGAGACACGAGCUUUGGAAUAUUAUCAAUCACCAAACAAGAGAGAUUCUUAAGGGGUUCCCAUUGCAUGCCCUCUAAAUCAACCUCGUUGCAAUCUUUUAUUAUUAAAGUUUUGAGGCCGAUGAGAUGUUGCUGCCACCCAGAUAAAGACUCUAGCAAAUGACAAGAAUCAAUAAAACAGCGUUCAAGGGAAGUCAUAUUUUGCAAGCAAUCAUCUAGCAUGUGGGUGUCCAGUCCCUCAAUGUUCUCUGCAUGGAAAGAUUUCAAUUUGGAGAGAGGAAGAGAAGAGGUUGAAGUUGAUGGGGUCGUACUAGUGAUGCUCAUCUUGAUGGUCUGCUUUAAUGGCCUUGAACUGGUAUUAACCAACUUUAGCUUUUCAUUGAGUGAUGGAUACAGCGGCAUCGAAGUCAAAGGGCAAUAUUUAAUAUCUAGAGAGGAAAGACAAGGAAAUGCCAUGGUUGAUGCUCUUAUAACUGUUGUGUCGUCCUCGUUGGAAUCAUCGUCGAUUGGUUUUGUCGUUCUCCACCAACUCUUCAUAUUCGGGCAGUUCCAGAGACGAAGAACUUUAAGCGACGGAAAGAAUGAUUCUGUGUCUCCUUGUCUUCCAUUGGGGCCAUGAUCUUCCAUGUACUCGAGCUCAGUUAAAUUAGAUAUCUUCAGCUGUUGAAGACAAGGCAAUUGAGCAAUGGAUGAGAGAUGUUUGAAAUUACUCGGACCCCAUAUGGUAAUAUCAACGAGUUUUUUAAGCAAAGAAAGCCAACUUGGAAACUUGGCAUCACCCCUCCACCCGUCCACCUUCAACAUCUUCAGAUUUGGAUGGGGCUGGAGGUCUUCAAGUAACUUUUCAUCAUCAUUAUUGCCAUCGCCCCAUUCUAAAACCAAUGCUCCCAAAUGUUGCUUCUCUUUUAAAUUAGCAGCCCUAAACAUCUCUUUUGCAUUUUUCACAAAUCCCAAAUUACUUAUCGUUAGCUCUCCCUUUAAGUUGAUAAGCCCACUCAAUUCACUUAGAUCUGCUCCACCAUGGGAGCCAUCUUUGUCCACUACAAACCUGCUUAACAUCUCAAGGGAAGUCAACUUCCCUAUUCCACGCGGCAUAUGAGUUAAGCCAUAACAAUGUACACACCCUAUAUGGGAAAUAUUCACCAAUUUUUCAAUCUUUUUCGGCAAUUCUUCAAGCCCAACACACCAAUCAAGUUUCAGAGCAUGCAAAUUUUGCAUAUUGCAAAUACUCUUUGGAAGGAUCUUAAGAUUGGGAUUGUCGGAAAGAUCUAGAUACCUUAAAUGUUUCAAUUUAUGAAUGGAACGUGGAAUUGUACUAAGAUUUAAAUUAUUCAACUUUAAUACCCGCAAGCAUCUACAUCUUGAAAUUAUUAAAUCCCAUGUUUCGUCCUCGCUCAUAAUUUGGCUUUGCUCGCUCUCUUUUGGAAAACAAAGUAAAGUUCGCAACUUCUUUCCCUUAAGCAAAGGAAUUAAUAAAGGACUAAUUGAUACAUGACGACAUUUUUCACUGACCUCACUUGCACUUGAAUUUGAAUCUACCAAACUACUCUCUGUCCCUGCUACUACUUCAGCUAGAUCAUGCAUUAAAUCAUGCAUUUUACAUGUUGUAAACCAGGUUUCAUCAUCUUCUACCUCUUGAAAGAAACUUCUUUCAACUAAAUCUUUAAAAUAUCCUAACCCAAUCUCUUCAAGAGAUUGACUAGGAUUUGAUUGCUUUACGAAACCUUGUGCAAUCCAAAAUUGAACAAGUGUUCGUACAUCAAUUUUUUGGUCUUUUGGAUAUAACCGACAAUAAGCAAAACAAUGCUUCAAAUGGGAUGGAAGAUGAUCAUAACUCAAGUUAAGUGUAGGUAAAAUUUCACCUUCGUUCUGAGAUAUUCUAGCAAGUUCGUUAUCUUUAAAAGAAAGCCAAUCAUUUUUAGAAUUUUUGAAAGAUAACGUACCAGCUAUCGUCCUUAUGACUAAGGGAACUCCACCACACCUUUCCAAAAUCUGCUUUCCUAUUUCCACAAACUCUGAACUAAGUGAAUCUGUAGAUAUUUGCUCAAAUGCUAUCUCUUUGAACAAUGACCAAGCAUCAUCAUCAGACAAGCCUUUUAGAACAUGAGGUUGACAUUUACUAGUAAUCUUUGCUACCUUUAAAGAGCGAGUAGUUACUAUUAUCCUACUCCCUUUAGCCCCACCCAUCAAUAAUUUCUUUAAGCUAACCCAUUGUUCCCACUCCUCAUUCCAAAUGUCAUCCAAAACAAGUAAAUACUUUUUCCCACGAAUUUCAUCUCGAAGUUGUUUUUGCAAUUGAUCCAUUUCGAGAUUUUGAUCAGGUGCAUGGUUAGCUACAGAUUUGAUAAUGUUUUCCACUAUUGUUUUCAAAUCAAAAAUAUUUGAAACACACACCCAUAUCCUCAACUCAAAAUGAUCUUUGACCAUUUCAUAAACGAACUGUGCCAGCGCAGUCUUCCCUAGCCCUCCAAACCCCACAAUUGGAAUGAUACAAACAUUCUCUUCACUUUGAAACUCUAACAUGAGUUUUAGAAGAGCUGCUUUAUCAUCUUCCCUCCCUAUUAUUUCAUCUUUAUGCGCAAAAGAGUGCGUUCGCUGCCUCUUUUUAGACAUGAAAGAGGUUUCCACGAGACGAUCACGCUCUACCAAGUUGAACAUCUUGGCCUCACUUCCAAUGGAAGUUAACCUGGCCUUAAUGGCCUUAAUUUGACGGCCCAUUUUGAGACCAUAAACAAACUGGUUUGAGCUUGAAAAGAAAAGGCGUACCUCUUUCGUCAGCUUGUUCCCACUGAGUAGAUCUUUUCGCAAAGCUUCGGUAGAGAAAUCAUCGAGCAAGUCAUCAGCAUCAUAAAGUGCAUCUUUCAGCUUUUCAAGCCAAUUUUUGACGAGGUUGCUGGUCAUGGAUUGUUCUUCGGCAUCAAGAAGUACAGCUUUGAUUGUUGAGAUGGUGUUGUUGAGGUCCUCAAUGUCAUCUUUGAAAUUCCACCAUAGUCCAAUUUGAGAGAGAGCAAGGGAGCUCAACUUACUAGCGAGCCCUCCGGCGACGUCAAAAGCAAUUGCUUCGGCCAUUGAUGGUUGAACCCAAAAUCAAGGGAAAGUGUUUGAUUAUUGCAAUAGGAAGAGUGAAAUGAUUCGAACAAGAUGAAGUGCAGUACAUACAGGUAGAGUCUAUGGCAUUUUAUAUAGAUGUCACCACCCACCCCCAAGUAAUAAUUAAAUAAAAUCUCAUCUUCUUUGUUCAUUAAAAAAUUUUGAGCAGUUUUCAAUUUCUGUAUUAAACAAUAUAAUUGAGACAAUAAAUACUCUUUGACUCUCAUACUAAUACACUAAAUUUCAUUUUAAUGGUGGAAUUAACCGGUGAUUAAAUUAAAAUUUAUAUAUCAAUGAUUAUAAUAUUAGCGCCCUAAAACUUAAUUUACUAUUAAAGUAAAUAUUGUCUUUUAAAAAAAUAAAUACUAUUAAUCACUCACCUUAAAUUGAGUCAAAAACUUAAUUUGGGCAGCUAAAAUCUUACGUAAAUUUGGUUAUUGUAAGUGUGGUGGAUGAUUUUGAUUUGUUAGUCAAACUUUAUUUUAAUAUUUAUGGUGCUUAUGAGUUGUUAUGGUGAAAUAUUCUUUAUUAUAAGUUAAAUAAUAUUUUAACAUUAUUAUAUAGAUAUGUAUGAUAACAUAAAGACAAUUUUAAAUGUUGAUAUUGGUAGCUGUUGAUGUUAUAUGUUUGACUAUUAAUUAUUGUUUAUUAGUAUAGUUUUUAUUUGUGUUAAAUUAUAGAAUAAAAUUUUUAAUAUUAAAAUAUAUUUCAAAUCUCUAUAUACAUUUAAAAUUUAAUUUUCUUUCUUUUAUUUUUUAGAAUUUAACCUUUUUACUUUUCAAGUUUAAGAAUCCGCUUUCAAAUUAUAUAUAAUUACGUAAUAUUUUAAUCGAAAAAUUAAUGAUAUUAACCAUUUGAACUAAUUAAUAACAUUUUAAACAUUUAAAGACCAAAUUAUAUCAAAUAUAAGUAUAAUAGAGAAACUAAAAUUAAAAUUUAACCAUUUUUAUAGUGCAAAGAAAGUACAAUCAUGAUGCAUCCACGUGUCAAUAAAGGAAAACCUUUUGGACUUUCCUUAAAUUGUAAAAUAAAAAUUUGAAGGUUAAAAUAUGAUCUAAGUCUUUAUACAUCUUGUAUAUUUAAAAUUUAAUCUCUUGCUUCUAUUUUUAAUAAUUUAAUCUCUCUGCUUUUCAAAUUUGAAAAUUUAAGUCCAUAGUCAUCACCAUUGUUAAAAUUUUCUAAUCAUGUAACAAUAAGAAUAAGGUUGAAAAUAUUGAUUAAUUUUUUUCUAAAAAAUACCAAUUCGAACUCGUUAUGAUAAAAUAUGUAAACAAUUUCAAAUGUUUGCCUUCUACAAGGCAUACUUAAUAUAAAACUUAUUUUUGAUAGUUUUUAUUUUUUUCAAAUACGACAAUACAUUCAAGUUAAACAAUUAAUAGGAUCUAAAAUUGAAGAUAAUAAUCUUUUUAGUAAUUGGAGUGGAAUUGGAUUGGAUUAUUUAAAGUCGUUACCUUAACUGCAAGGAGGGAGAAGCCGAAGGCAGAACUAGUGACUAGAGUGAAGUCGUAACAAGGUAGCCGUACAGGAGGGUGUGGCUGGAUCACCUCUUUUUCAGGGAGAGCUAAUGCUUGUUGGGUAUUUUGGUUUGACACUGCUUCACACUCAAAAAGAAGUGAGCUAUGUCUUAAUUAAACUUGAAGAUGGAAGCCUUCUUUCGAUUCUCUACGGUGAAGUAAGACCAAGCCCAUGAGCUUAUUAUCCUAGGUCGGAACAAGUUGAUAGGAUCCCCUUUUACGCCCUCGGGUCCCUCCCAUGUGGCGACAUGGGGGCGUAAAAAGGAAAGAGAGGGUUGAGGUUUCUCUCGCUUUUGGCCUAAAAUUAAAUCUAAAUUCUCAUGCUUAUAACAUAAUAUUAUUGUUAUUAGAUUAAAAAUUUAUGUAAUUAAAAUAAAAUAUAUUUGAGUUAACAAUACAAUACUGUUUGGAUAGGGAUGAUUAUAUAUUAAAGUUUGACUAUUAUCUACAACAUUUAUCUAUUAAUUGAAAAUUAAACCCCAAAUAUAUGCCGACAAGUGUCUAUUAAUUGAAAAUUAAUCCAUAAGCAUAUGCGGUGCACACGCUAUUAUUUUAUUUUUCAUUUCAUCUUUUAUUUAUAUUUUUAAUUGAUUUAAGGAUUUUUAAGGUGAAAAAGCUUAGAUUAUCAAAGUUGAAAACCACGAUAAUUAUUUAUGCUACCUUGAGUUAAAAUAUUAUACCCAACAUCCAAAAGUAAUAAUAUAUUGUUGCUCAUAAAUGUUUACAUAGUUCAGAAUCUUUGCCCAUAUAUAGAUGAAUUCACUAUAAAUUUUUUCUCGGAAUAUAGAAAAAUGUAUUCUUUCUUGUUUAUUUAACAUGAUUCGUUGCAAGUAGAGAUUGAAGAUAUUUUUAUGUUCAUAUGUUCUUCUAUAAAUAUAUAAGAUAUUCUCAAGCUUUUAAGAUUUCCUUCUAUUGAAGUAAUACUAUGAGUAAAUUUGUAAUAUAUAUAAACUUCAACACUUAAUGGAUGUUUAAAUUUAAAAUCAAGUUGGAGUAAAAAGGUUAAAAACAAUCAAAUUACAAUUUAACUCGUGAUAUGAAAAAUUAAAUCUAAGUUUUGAAAUAUCGAAUCUGAUUUCUAAUUUUUUUUAUCAUAUAUUGUAUAUAUAUUACCUCAUUUACUUUAAUUAAUAUUUUAUUAUUUGUUAGAAUUUGUUAAAAAAAUUACUGUAUACUUCAAUAACAGCUACAAUUUAUCUUAAUGUAUUUAUCCUAUUCCCAAAACUGUAAUGUAGGUUUUAUUUUUUUUUAUAUAUAUAGUUUAAGUGAAUAUGUAUGUAAAUGUAUGAGAUCCAAAUUGUAUUAUAUCAAAAAUAAAAAUAAAAAGAUCUCACAAGAUGAAAUUAAAUAUGUGUAGACAUCUUAUCUCCGUAGCAAUUAAACAUGUGUAGCCUUAAAUCAAUUAUCAACAUCAUCAUUACAUUUUAAACCAAUAAUCUCAAAUGUUGCUUCUCUUUCAAAUUAAUAGCCUUAAACUCCUCUUUAGCAUUUUUCACGAAUCCCAAAUUUGUUAUUGUUAUCUCUCUCCUUAAGUUGUUAAGCCCACUCAAUUCACUUGGGUGUGUGAAAUAUAGGGAUAUGUAGUAUUAUUGAGGUUAAAUUAUAGGGUAUUAAUGAUGGGUUAAUGCUAGUAAAAAAGAUGAAGGGGAGAUGGGUAAUUUUGGAAACGGAUAGUAUAGUAACUUUAGGUCUUAUCCAUAUGAAGGACAAGAUGGAUUAUGAUAAUGUUAUGCUACGGAGUAUUAAAAGAUUAGUUGCUUGUGAUUAAGAAAUUUGAUUCAAUCAUGUGUUUCAUGAAGGGCAGUCAUGGCUAUUAGCCUUGAUCUGAGAGUUUGUGUUUACCCAUAGUUACCAAAUGCAAUUCUUUAGAUUCUACAUAAAAAUUUACAUAAUUUUAUAAUAUUCAAAAUUAUGUCGGCUUAAUUGUUAUUGUUUUAUCUACCUUUAACAACAAAAAGAAAAAAAAGAAAAUAUUUGCCCUCCAAGAGCAACCAUAAAAUGGGAUAUGCGAAUAUAUGGAAUGCCAACCUGUUGCAUCACUAAAUUUACUGUUUAAAUUUACUGUUUAAAGAUUUUUUUUAAAUAUAAAAAAAAUAAGAGAAAGAAAUUAGAAUGGGAAGUAUAAUGGUAGGCGUAGGUUGAAAAUAUAUAAUGAAAAUCAGAAUAUAUGAUGUAGAGAGAAUUAGGUGAUGUUUGGCUCACUACCAAACUAACCCCAUCUUCACAUCAAUCAUUGACGUCAAUUUUUUCUCUUUACAGAUUCAUGCUCCCAAUAAAACUCCCUGUAAUUGACUUUCUCCCUGUACAAAUUUUGGGCAGGGAAAACAGAGCAAAAAACAGAGAACCAGAGCAGCCAACAAAGAAGCAUCUAUAUAUAGGUUCACUAAGCAUGACCAUGGGGGCAUCACCAAGCAUCUAUAUAUUUUUGUAUUUAAUAAAUAUAUUAAUUCUAUUUAUCUAUUUUGGUUUUUAAUUAUUCUUUUAAUAUUAAACCUUAAACCCCCAUAACCAAAAUGUUGGGUUUUGGUUGGAUAUGCUUUUAAACGUUUCGACCAUUCAUUUUUAGUGAAAAGAUGCAAGUGGCAACAAUCGUAAAAGGCCAAUGGGUGUGGCUCUUUUUUAGCAAGAAAAUUCAAAAUUUAAUCUUUUUUUAAUUUAUCAUAAUUUUAUUUUUUUACUAUAUAAAACUUUAGUAAUUAAUCCAAUUAAAUAACAUUAUUAUUAAAUCGUUAUUUUAAAAUUUAUAUAUAAAAAAUUAAUAAAACUUAACCGUUCAUAUAUUUAAGAACAAUUAAAUCAAUUUCUCGUUUUUCACAAAUUACGAUAUUAAAUUAAGAGCAAAAACUAACUUAUUAAUUUUUGUAAAAUAAAUGAAUCAACUUUAUAAUUACCUUCAAAAUAAAUGAAAAUUAAACCCCAAAUAUAUGCCGACAAGUGUCUAUUAAUUGAAAAUUAAUCCAUAAGUAUAUGCGGCUACACGCUAUUAUUUUAUUUUUCAUUUCAUCUUUUAUUUAUAUUUUUAAUUGAUUUAAGGAUUUUUAAGGUGAAAAAGCUUAGAUUAUCAAAGUUGAAAAAUAACAUACGAUAAUUAUUUAUGUUACCUUGUGUUAAAAUAUUAUACGGAACAUCGAAAAAUAAUAAUAUAUUCUUGUUCAUAAAUAUUUACGUAGUUCAAAAGUUGACAUAUACACCUAUAAAGUCUUUGCUCAUAGAUGAAUUCACUAUAAUUUUUUUCUCGGAAUAUAGAAAAAUGUAUUCUUUUUUGUUUAUUUAACAUGAUUCGUUGCAACUAGAGAUUGAAGAUAUUUUUAUGUUCAUAUGUUCUUCUAUAAAUAUAUAAGAUAUUCUCAAGCUUUUAAGAUUUCCUUCUAUUGAAGUAAUACUAUGAGUAAAUUUGUAAUAUAUAUAAACUUUUAACACUUAAUGGAUGUUUGAAUUUAAAAUCAAGUUAGGAGUAAAAAGGUUAAAAAAAUCAAACUACAAUCUAACUCGUGAUAUGAAAAAUUAAAUCUAAGUUUUGAAGUAUCGGAUCUGAUUUCUAUUUUUUGUAUCAUAUAUUGUAUAUAUAUUACCUCAUUUACUUCAAUUAAUAUUUUACUAUUUGUUAGAAUUUGUUAAAAAAUUACUGUAUAAUUCGUUAACAACUACAAUUUAUCUUUGAUCAUGUUUAUUUGCAAAUGAGUUGUUUAGCGCAUUAAAAGUUAGACCUCCACUAUGUAAUGUAGGUGCACUUUGAUACAAACCUCGCUCUAGUCAACUUUGUACUAUGAUUCAUUUGCUAAGGGUAUUCAUCCUAUUCCCAGAACCGUAAUGUAGGUUUUGUUUUUAAUAUAGUUUAAGUGAAUAUGUAUGUAAAUAUGUGAGUUCCAAAUUAUAUUAUAUCAAAAAAAAUAUUAAAAAGAUCUCACAAGACCGAAAUUAAAUGUGGAGACAUCUUAUCUCCGUACAAAUAGCAAUUAAACAUGUGUAGCCUUAAACCAAUUAUUAACAUCAUCAUUACAUUUUAAACCAAUGAUCUCAAAUGUUGCUUCUCUUUCAAAUUAGUAGUCUUAAACCUCUCUUUAGCAUUUUUCACGAAUCCCAAAUUUGUUAUUGUUAGCUCUCUCCUUAAGUUGUUAAGCCCACUCAAUUCACUUAGGUGUAUGGAAUAUAGGGAUAUGUAGUAUUAUUGAAGUUGAAUUAUGGAGUAUUAAUGAUGGGUUAAUGCUAGUAAAUACGAUAAUUUUAGAAAUAGAUAGUUUCGAAGCUUUAGAUCUUAUCCAUAUGAAAGACAAGAUGGAUUAUGAUAAUGUUAUGCUACGGAGUAUUAAAAGAUUAGUUGCUUGUGAUUGAGAAAUUUAAUUCAAGCAUGUGUUUCGUGAAAGAAAUCGAUUAGCAGAUUAAAUGACAACCAUGACUAUUAGCCUUGAAUCGGGUAUUUGUGUUUACUCACAGUUACCAAAUGCAAUUCUUCAGAUUCUACAUAAAAACUUACAUGAUUUUAUAGUGUUUUAAAUGAUGUCCGUUUAAUUCUUAUUGUUUUAUCUACCUUUACAAAAAAAAAAGAGCAAAUAUUUGCCCUCCAAGAGCAACCAUAAAAAAGGAUAUACGAAUAUAUGGAAUGCCAACCUGUUGCAUCACUAAAUUUACUCUUUAAAGAUUUUUUUAAAUAAAAAAAAGAGAGAAAUUAGAAUGGGAAGUAUUAUGGUAGGCGUAGGUUGAAAAUAUAUAAUGAAAAUCACAAUAUGUGAUGUAGAGAGACUUAGGUGAUGUUUGGCUCACAACAUAAUCAUCACCCACUACCAAAUUUUUAGUGGACAUAUCAUCGGAACCAAACUAACCCCAUCUUCACCACCUCAAUCAUGAACGUCAAUUUUUUCUCUUUACAGAUUCAUGCUCCCAAUAAAACUCCCUGUAAUGGACUUUCUCCCUGUACAAAUUUUGGGCAGGGAAAACAGAGCAAAAAACAGAGAACCAGAGCAGCCAACAAAGAAGCACCUAUAUAAUGGUUCACUAAGCAUGACCAUGGGGGCAUCACCAAGCAUCUAUAUAUUUUUGUAUUUAAUAAAUUUAUUAAUUCUAUUUAUCUAUUUUGGUAUUUAAUUAUUCUUUUAAUAUUAAACCUUAAAACCCCAUAACCAAAAUGUUGGGUUUUGGUUGGUUAUGCUUUUCAAACGUUUCGACCAUUCAUUUUUAGUGAAAAGAUGCAAGUGGCAACAAUCGUAAAAGGCCAAUGGGUGUGGCUCUUUUUUAGCAAGAAAAUUCAAAAUUUAAUUUUUUUAAUUUAUCAUAAUUUUAUUUUUUUACUAUAUAAAACUUUAGUAAUUAAUCCAAUUAAAUAACAUUAUUAUUAAAUCGUUAAUCUAAAAUUUAUAUAUAAAAAUUAAUAAAAAUUAACCUUUCAUAUAUUUAAAAACAAUUAAAUCAAUUUCUAUUUUCACAAAUUACGAUAUUAAAUUAAGAGCAAAAACUAACUUAUUAAUUUUUGUAAAAUAAACGAAUUAACUUUAUAAUUACCUUCAAAAUACAAUUUUAAAUUUAAGCAGGUGUCUAAUAAAAAUUUUAAUUAUCGUUUUAUACAAGUUAAGAUAAAAAUUAAAUAUUUUAUAAUUCUCGAUUUUAAAAUCAUAAUUUAUCUAUUUUUAUUUUUUAAAAUAUUUUAAUGAAAAUUUGAAAAUAAUAUAAGAAAAGGAUAACACAAAAGAGGAAGACCAAUCAAUUUGAGAGAUGUAUAUCUUUCUAAAGCUGUGGUUUCCAUGUAUUUGCUCAUCUAACGAAACAUCAACCAUCAUGUAUAAAAAUAUAAAUAGGGUAAAUUAUAGAAAUAGUCACUUUUGUUUGCCUCAUAUUACAUUUUAAUUACUUAUAUUUGAAAUGUUACGUUUUAGUCACUUAUGUUAUCAUUUUGUCACGAAGUUGUCACUCUACCGUUAAGCUCCAUUACCUCCCUAACGACGGUCCUACGUGGAGUCCAAAUGGAUUUUAAAUGCCAACUUAGAUGUCUUACGUGGUAGUCCAAAUUAAAUUUAUUUAAUUAAAAACCUAUUUUCAUCCCAACAACUGAACAUCUAAGUUGGCAUUUAAAACCCAUUUAGGCUACCAUGUAGGACUGUCGUUAGGGAGGUAAUAGAGUUUAACGGCAGAGUGACCACUUCGUAACAAAAUGAUAACGUAAGUAACUAAAACGUAACAUUUCAAAUAUAAGUGACUAAAACGUAAUAUGAGGCAAAUAAAAGUGACUAUUUUUGUAGUUUACCCUUAAAAAAGACAAAUUAGUCUCUAUACAUUAGAUCAAAGAGUAAAUUGGUUCUUUCUAUUAAAAAUUUCAUCCAAUUGUACUUUUAAAAAUUAGCAUGACUAACAAAAUAACCAAACAAUGACACAUAGCAUUUCAUAUGUACUUUAUACUGACAUACAGAGACUCAUUUUUAACAGUACAAAUGAAUAAAAUUUUAACAAAAAGAAUAGCUUGCUUUUUAAUGUAAUGUAUAUGGACUAAUUUACUCAUUUUUUAAAUAGAGGGGGUAAAAGGUAAUUCGACUCUUAAUAUAAGAGCCUUCGUGAUACUUUUACCUACAAUUCUAUAAUACGUCAAAUAAUUUACUUUUUAGGUAAAUUACAUUAAUAGUUUCUCAACUAUUUUUUUGUCACUAAACUAUUUAAUUUUUAAAAUCGAGACUCGCUCAACCCUACUCAUGGAUACCUUUAAAUUACACUUAAAAAAACAAAAUUCAAAUAAUUUUAUAUUUAAUAUUAAGAUAUUCACUAUACUUUCCCCUACAAAUCUAUAAUACAUUAAAUACAAUUUAUUAUUAUAUUUUUUUAAUUUAUUAAACAUAUAUUUACGCAGGAAGCUAAUAAGAUAACACACGCUAAAUACUAUUCCAUCACUAAAUCCUCAUACAAUCACCAAAAAGAAACCCAAUAACUUACAAAUCCACCAUGUCCGGUAGCAAAGACUGUGGCGGCCACCACAAAUUUCCCCGGAAAAAUUUCCGGCGAGUCAUCUCUUGUAUUCUAAUCCUCCUCCUCCUCAUUCUCAUCACAAUCUUACUCAUAUGGGCAAUCCUUCGUCCUAGCAAACCCAACUUCACUCUCCUCGACACCACCGUCUACGCCUUCAACGCCACCACCUUCAACUUCCUCACUUCAAACUUUCAAAUCACCGUCCGUUCAGAAAACCCAAACGAUGAUAUCGGUAUUUAUUACGACCAGCUCGACGUUUACGCUACUUACCGGAACCAAGAAAUAACACUCCGGACUCGAUUCCCACCAACGUACCAAGGCCAUAAUGAGGUCAAUAUUUGGUCACCUAUAAUAUAUGGUACUAUGGUACCGAUCUCACCGGAAUAUUCCGUCGCAUUGGGUGCUGAACAGAUGGCCGGGAGUGUUUUUUUGGUGAUCAAGAUUGAUGGACGGUUGAGAUGGAAAGUUGGGACUUUUGUAACUGAGAGGUAUCAUAUUCAUGCAAGGUGUCCGGCUUAUAUUACGUUUGGGGAACAAAGCGACGGCGUUUUGGUCGGAGAAAAUGUUGUUAAGUUUCAGUUCUAUAGUAGAUGCAGUGUCAGCUUGUGAAGAAGAAGAAGCAAGUAACGCCGUUAAGUAUAUGGUUUUGUUUAUCUUUGUUUUAAAUUUGUUUCCCUCGUUUUCAAUUUGACGCCGUUAAUUUUUUAUUUGGGUAAACUACAUUACUAGUCAUCCAUAUAUUUUUCUUUUCCUUUUUGGUCACACAACUAUGAAAAGUUACAAAGUGAUCACCCAAUUAUUAGUAAGUUUAUUUUUUCACCCAACUAUGAAAUUUACUAAUAGUUGGGUGACGAUUUUGUAACUUUUCAUAAUUGAGUAACAAAAAACAAAAAAAUAGCUUGGUGGCUACUAAUGUAGUUUACCCUUUUUAGGUUAAAAUAUGCCAUAAGUCCUUGUACUCUUCAUAAAUUUAGAAUUUUAGUCCUUAUACUUUUAUUUACAAGAAUUUAGUUAUUUUACCUUUCAGAUUUUAAAAUUUAGGUCCAAUUGUUAAAAUUGUUACUUUUUUUUGUUGAAUUUGUUGGUGUGACAUUUCGAAAUAAAAAAAAUACUCACUUACUAGCCAUGUAAUUAAGAAUUUGAUGUUUUAAUGAACUUGAAUUAAUAAAAUAAUUUCAACAGUGUUAACAGUUGGACUUGAAUUUUAAAACCUAAAAAGUAGAAGGACUAAUUUCUUAAAAAUAAAAGUAUACAGACUAAAUUUCAAGUUUACAAAGAGUAUAGAGACUUGUGACAUAUUUUAAUUUUUUAGUAUAAGGGGGAUUUUAAUUUUGUUAUAGUAAAUGGGGGAAAUAGCAAAAUAAAAAUGGCAAUUAAUAUGUGAACAAAAUCUAAAUGUAUGCAAUUUCUAAAAAAUUGUGUGAUUAAUAAAAUAAAUGUUCCAUACAUUAUAUUUUAUUUUGAUUAAUUUUUUUCCUAAUUUUUAUAGCAGAAUUUAACCUUAUUUCUAUAGAUUAAAAAAGUUACAUUUCCACGUAAUAUUUCUUAAGAAUUUCUUUUUUUUUCUUUUUCAAUUUUUCAUCCAUAUAAUCUUAAGAAUUAUUUUUCUUAUUUUUUCAAUUUUCAUUUAUUUCAUAUAAUCUUAACAACUAUUUGUUAUAACUCUAAUUUUUAUUAUUUAAUUAAUAUGUUUUAUCUUUUUAACACCUUUUUCGAACUUGAUUUUUUUUCUAAUAUUUCAUAUUUUAUGCUUAAAGUAUAGAUUUAGCUCAUGUGCUCUAAUUUAGCAUAAAUUUCGAAUUAUGAAAUUUCAAUCUUAACUAAAACAACAGUCGUUAAAUCUGUUAUGUCUAAAUUUGUUAUUGGUUUCAAACUAUGCAUAAAUUGUGAGUUCAGUUUUCGUUUUUCAAUUUAAUACUUUUUAAUCCAUAUAAUUUUCUAAAAUUUAAAUUUCAAUGUUAUACCAUUUAAUUCAUUAAUUAAAAUAUUGUGGCUUUUUUUUUUUGCAAGUAUUAUGUCCACAUAUUAAGUUGGCAUGGCAUUAAAUGUGAUAAUACAUUUCUCGUAUAAAAUUAUGAAAAUAAUUUAAUUUAAUUUAAUAGAUUUAACAACUAUCAUUUUAAUAAGUACUAAAAAAUAACUAAAUUAAAAUAUAAAAAUUAGAAAAACAAUCUGUGAAUUAAUAGUAAAAUUUAACCCAUAAAUUAAAAUAAUGGCUAAUUUUAAAAUGAGUGGUCUGACAUAAAAUAGAUAAAAGAAACAAAGAAAAUGAUGGGUUGAAGCAAUGCAUUACAUAUUUUCUUUUUCAAUUAUAGUUUGGACCUACUCUUUUUUUUUCCUUCUUAUAAUUAAUUUAAGAAGUUUAUUUAAUGUUAUACAAUUAACAAUUAAUGAAUCAAAUGAUAUCAUAUUAUUAUAUUUUUAAUGAAUAAAUAAUUUUUUUUCUCAUAAAGUGAUAUUAUUUGUGUAUAAUAUAAUUAUAUGAUACAUUAAAUAUAAGAAUCUUUUAAUUUAAUAUCUUAAAAGUGUGCAUUUAGGGGAAUCUAAACUCCAAUUUUUUUUACCUAAAUAUUAUAUUUUCCUUUUUCUUUAAAAACAAAAUAAAAAAUUAAUAAUUUCAAAAUAAUGAGUACAUAAAUGUAGCAUUCUGCCACUUGGUCCACUAGUUAGUGCAUGAUUUAUAUUCAAAAAGUGAGGCUCAAAAAUCCUUUUUUUCUUAAAAGAAAAUACAAAAAUUAAGGUUCACAAACAUCAAUUUUUUUAAUUGAUAUGGUGCAACAACUUACAUGGGCUUAAUUGCAAAUUUUUUAAAACAUUUACACACAUUAGGGGUUAAGGCUGGGAAGUCCCUAUAUUAUAGACUACAUCAAAUUAGUCCCUUUGUUAUUAAAUGGAUCAAUUUAGUCCCUAUACUAUUAAAAGGAAUUAAAUAAAAUUAAAUUGUAACAGAGUUAGCAAUUUUCAAUACAAUUUUCAUACAAUAAAUGUUAACUCUAUUACAACUUGGUCUUAUUUGAUCAUUUUUAAUACUACAGGGACUAAAUUGAUCAUUUAAUUAUUGAGGGACUGAUACAGGGAUAGGGACUUCCCAGUUACUUUCAGCCUUGUAUAUGUAUUUAAAUCCUACAUAUGGAUGUCGGACUAGGAAGGACAUUGGUGCCGAUUGGAUAGACCAAGCUUUUUGGCCCCAUCAAUACCAUAUUUUGUAAAUUGAAGUUACUUCGUUAAUUCAUUUAUCAUUUUCUUUUGCUAAUUUGUGCAGUAACCAUCGAAGAUUUUUAGUGAAACGUAUUUGGCAAAUUCAUGAAUCUAAACGAAUUUGGUAAUUUUUCUGAUGUAAUAAACUGAUGUAUUAGAACCGCAUAAUUAAUGCUUAGUUUUGUCAGCAUUAGUUAAAUGGAAGAUGCAAAAUGAGGCAUGCAUUCUUCAUGAGCUCAUCCAUCCACACCACUCUACUCCAUAUGCAUUGACAUAUUGUUUCAAACAUUAAAAUGAACAUAAAUGUGUAUUUUUCUCAAAUUGAUACGUAUCAUGUAACAAGUAAAAUAAAAAGCAUAAUCAAGAUGUUUACACAGUUUGGAACUUGUCCUACUGUACAAAUAAGUGAUUUAAGUUUUACUCCUAAGUAAAUUCUCUUCCAACUCAUUUUAGCCAUGCAAAUGAAAAUCAACACUCAACACUCAGACGGUGUAUGACAAUGUCACUCAAUAAUAGUUCCUACUAUGACAUAUGUGCUUUAAAUUCACACAUCAUCUAUAUAUAAGCUUUAGGAUUGGUCAAACCCUUCAUAAGCUCCGCGUAAAGUGGAAUAAUAAAUUUCCAAAUGCAAUAUCUCCGACAAUUAUCAUGAUGAACAACAAGACUGUUCCAAAAGCAACAAUGAGCCUGAAAAUUAUAAAUGCCAACAUGGAAUAUGUUAAAAUUGAUGUCAUUUAGACUGAGCAGUGUCCAAAGUGUAGAAACACUUACUGUUACUAAACGGAACUUUAUUUAUGUGCAUGAAUGGCCAUUUUCUAUGCUUUUCCAGUUCAAAUUCAACAAAGGGCCAAACAUAGGGCAUCAUCAUCUGUAAUAGUAACAAACUCCCAUUCCCAAACAUAGAGCAUCAACCUCAUCCUCACCACCAAAUAUUCUGAAGCAAGAUCCUUCCAUGAUUUAACCUUCAAAAUUCAAACAGCUAAAAGGGGUGCUCUGCAUCAAAGAAUAUUGUGAAAUAUCCCCUUCUUCCCCCUCCAUUUUCAUCAACACUUAACCUCUACCCCCUAUUUAAUUUACUUACUUGACAACCACAUUGCGUGUUUAAGCUCUCUCCAACACGACUCCAAGAAUCUGUCAACAGCAUAGGAACCAGAUAUUACCAUUUUUCUUGACAUAUAAAUUGCAACUCUUGAAAUACUGAUGACAUAUAUUACCAUUUUUCUUGAGUUGGAAUAUUUUGGCAGAUGAAAAAAUGGUAGUUGAAAGUAUGGCCUCUGCUUCUUGUAAUAUAUGCUAUUCUCUGCCGAAGAAGAGAGCCAAAAUCUAGCAAAAAUUAGGAUUCGAUCAUCAGAGGGACUCUUCAACAAAGAAAGAAAGAACACAUGUGCAUGGAGAGGAGGAUUUCAUGGGAGUACAAUGCCAUGGACAGGUCAGCAGUGAAGAAUGCAUGUCCUGCUUUUUGGCUCUUCCAUUGAACUCAUGCUGAAAAAGAAGAAGCUUAGUUAGGGGGUUAUAUUAGAUCAUUUGAAAUUGUGAGAUUUUUAUGAUUUAAAAAUGUAAACCAAUUAAGUAAUUACCACCUCUUUUUCUGCAUCUAAUUUCUUAAAGUUGUCAAAUGCCUUCAGAAAUAUCCAGCACUAGGCCAAUGGGUUACUGCACAAAAUUAACAAAAAUAUUAUGAAAAAUGAGUAGUAUUUCAGUAAGGAAAUUAAUGAAAAUACUAACCUGAAGGAAUGUGAGCAAUCUUAUACCAAUCGGCACCAAUGUCCUUCUGACACCUUUCUUCCAACUGAGGAACCUUAUGUAUAUUUAACUGUUGCAAAUUGGUUAGGCAGCGCAUCUCAUCCGGAAGCGACGUUAAAUUGGGCCAAUCAACAAGAGAAAGAAUUUGCAGAUUUGUUAGAUGUUGAAUCCACUCCGGAAGAUGCCGACACUUUGGAAUAUUUUCCAGUGCUAGGGAGCGUAGUCUUGUAUGAUCUUGGAAUAUUUGGAAGCCAGCUGCUGAUAGCUCCAGCUCCUCGCAGUUCAUUACUACAAGCACUUCAAGGAAAGUGAGAUGUUGGAACACAGGAAAGAGUGACCUCAAUCCGCUGCAAUUCCGAAUUUCUAAUCUUUUCAAUUGAACAAGAUGUUGAAGCCCUAGGGGGAGAGACACCAGCUGUGGAAUAUUAAUAAUCUCCAAAUGAGAGAGAUUCUUAAGGGCUUGCCAUUCCAUGCCCUCUAAAUCAACCUCCUUGCAAUCUUCUAUUGUUAAUUUUUUGAGGCCGGUGAAAUGUUUCAAGUACUCAUCUAGCAUGUGAGUGUCCAAUCCCUCAAUUUUGUGUACAUGGAAUGCUUUCAAUUUGGAGAGAGGAAGAGAAGAUGUUGAACUUGAUGGGGUCGUACCAGUGAUGUUCAUCUUCAUGGUCUGCUUUAACGGCCUUGAACUGGUCUUCACCAACCUUAGAUCAUCAUCGAGUGAAGGAUACAACGGCAUUGAAUUCAAAGGGCAAUUUGCAAUUUCUAAAGAGGAAAGACAAGGAAAUGCCAUGGUUGAUGUUCCUAUAACUGUUGUGUCAUCCUCGUUAUCAUCAUCAAUCGACCUUUUCCUCCACCAACUCUUCAUAUUUGGGCAAUUCUCGAGCCAAAGAGACUUAAGCGAUGGGAAGAAUGAUUCCGUUUCUCCUGGACUUCCUUUUGGGCUGUUAUCAUCCAAGUACUCCAGCUCAGUUAAAUCAACAAUUGACAGCUUUUGAAGACAAGGCAAUUGCGCAAAGGACGGGGUUUGUUUGAAAUUACUAGGACCCCGUAUUCUAAUCACGACGAGGUUUGUGAGCAAAGAAAGCCAACUUGGAAACUUGGCAUCACCCCUCCAUCCUCCAAUAAAGAGCUCCUUGAGAUUAGGAUGUGGCCGGAGGUCUUCAAGUGACUUGUCAUCAUCAUCAUCACCACCAUCAUUAUCAUCAUUAUUCCAUUUUAAAACCAACGAUCUCAAAUGUUGCUUCUCUUUCAAAUUAGCAGUCUUAAACUCCUCUUUUGCAUUUUUUACGAAUCCCAAAUUUGUUAUUUCUAGUUGUCCCCUUAAGUUGUUAAGCCCACUCAAUUCACUUAGAUCUGCACCGUCAUGUGAGCCAUCUUUAUCCACUACAAACAUGCUUAACGUCUCAAGGGAAGUCAGCUUCCCUAUUCCACGUGGCAUAUGAGUUAAACUAUAACAAUCUCCACACGCAAGAUGGGUAAGAUUCACCAAUUUUUCAAUCUUCUUCGGCAAUUCUUCAAGCUCCCAACAUAAACCAAGUUUCAAAACUUGCAAAUUUUGUAUCUUGCAAAUACUCUUUGGGAGGCUCUUAAUACUAAAAUUCACAGAAAGAUUAAGGUAUCUCAAAUGUUUCAACUUAUAAAUGGAGCGUGGAAUCAUCUUAAAAUCUAAACCAUUCAUUUCCAAUACACGCAAGCAUCUGCAAUUUGAAAUUAUAAAAUCCCAAGUUUCAUCACUCAAAUUUUGAUCUAUGUUGUUUGGAAAGUGUAACAAGGUUCGCAACUUCUUUCCCUUAAACAAAGGAAUUAAUGAAAGAUCAAUUGAUAUGUGGCGACAUUUUUCACCAACCUUGCUUGCAAUUUCAUUUGAAUCUACAAUACUACUCUCCGUCCCUGCUACUGAUUCAGCUAGAUCAUGCAUUAAAUCAUGCAUUUUACAUGUUAGUCCUUCCCACGAAUAUCCUUCUCCUACUUCUUGGAAGAAACCUCUUUCGUUUAAAUCUUUAAAAUACACAAAUCCAAUCUCCUCGAGAGAUUGACUUGGAUUCAAUUGCUUUACAAAGCCUUGUGCAAUCCAAAACUGAACAAGAGUUUGUACACGAAUUUCAUGAUCUUUUGGAUACAGUCGGCAAUAAGCAAAGCAAUGCUUCAAAUGGGAUGGGAGAUGAUCAUAGCUCAACUUAAGUGUAGCUAGAAUUUUACCUUCGUUUUGAGCUAUUCUAGUAAAUUCGUUAUCUUUGAAAGAACGCCACUCCUUUUCAGUUUCUUUGAAAGAUAACACACCAGCUAUCGUCCUUAUGACCAAGGGAACCCCCCCACAUCUUUCCAAAAUCUGUUUCCCUAUUUUUACAAACGUUGGGUUUAUAGAUCUUUACUCCAAUGCUAUUUCUUUGAACAAAGACCAAGCAUCGUCAUCAGACAAGCCUUUCAGAACAUAAGGCUGACAUUUACUAGUAAUCUUUGCUACUCUCAAAGAGCGAGUAGUUACUAUGAUCCUACUUCCUUUAGCCCCACCUACUAAUAACUCUUUUAAACUAACCCAUUCUUCCCACUCCUCAUUCCAAAUGUCAUCCAAAACAAGCAAAUAUUUUUUCCCACCGAUUUUUCCUCGAAGUUGGUUUUGCAAUUGAUCCAUUUCGAGUUUUUGAUUUGGUGCUUGGCCAGUUGCAGAUUUGAUAAUGUUUUCUACAAUUAUUUUGACAUCAAAAACAUCUGAAACGCACACAAACAUCAUCAACUCAAAAUGAUUUUUGACCAUUUCAUCAUUAUACACAAACUGCGCCAAAGCAGUCUUCCCUAACCCUCCUAACCGAACAAUAGACAAUACCAAAGUCACUCCUAAUAUAACAACAACAACAACAACAACAAUUACAAUUUUGAAUCUAAGAGAAGUCUGUUGGUGCAACAAUAGAAUCAAGCAGACUCAGCAAGUAUCUUGUCGAGCAAGCCUCGAAUCUUGCUGAGCAAACAAACAAUUUCGAGUUAAAGAAAGAAGAAAAUAAGCUGGGGAAAUUUGAGAGAAUAUUGAUGAACAAAAACUAAUUUGAUUCAUGCAUAAAACAAUGGCUUGAAGCCAGUACAUAACUCAAGCAUAAGGCUUGUCAAAAUCAACAAGUAAUUACCUACCUCCACUAAUUACAUAGAAACUUGAAAUCUUAGCUUGUAAACUUAUACAAAAGUGUGUUUACAGCUCAUACAUAAGCUAAUUACAUCAAUCAGAAAGCUAACUUAGUUAGAAAUGAACUAACACUCAUUUCAUCAACUAAAUAUAACAAAAUGAACAAAAUGAGCUUGCAUCAGCAGCCCUUGCAUCUGUUCCAGCUUUGCUUGGUCUUCAUGGCCUGUAUGGAAUCGAGUGUUGGCUUCAUGCUGACCAACUUCAACACUCCUCCUUGGUUAGCAUGGUGCAAACACCUAAAUUUUCUUCUUAAAUGCUCAAACCUUGUGACAUUAAGGGCUUUAGUCAAAAUGUCUGCAAGCUGGUCCUCUGAAUUGCAGUGAAUUAGCUUCACUUCCUGAGCUUGCUCCAUUUCUCGAACAACAUAUAGCUUAAUGCUAAAAUGCUUUGUUCUUCCAUGGAACACAGGAUUUUUGGCAAUUGCAACAGUAGAUUGAUUGUCACAGAAGAUCUCUGUUGCUUCCCUUUGAUCCAUAUUCAAAUCAGCCAGGAUUUUCCUAAGCCAAAUGGCUUGGUUGACAGCACUUGCUGCUGCCACAUACUCUGCUUCAGCAGUAGAUUGUGCCACCAGACUUUGCUUCUUCGAGCUCCAGCAGAACAUAGCUGAACCAAGGUUGAAAGCAUACCCUGAGGUGCUUUUCAUGUCAUCUAUCGAUCCAGCCCAGUCACUAUCAGUGUACCCAACUAGAUUUAGAUUUCCUUUCCUGCUGUACCUUAAGCCAUAGUCCAAAGUGCCUUUGACAUAUCUGAGCACUCUCUUGGCAGCCUGGAAAUGCUUCUCAUUGCAACAAUGCAAGAACCUUGAGAGCAAUCCUACAGCAUACAUUAUGUCUGGUCUAGUGGCAGUUAAGUAUAGCAAACAACCAACUAGACUCCUGUAGGUAGUUUCACAUACCUUCUCAAAGUCUCCUUGGCUCGAUAGUUUUUCUCCAACAGCAACAGGUGUUUUAGUUGGUUUGCUGUUUUGCAUGGAGAACUUGGUCAGAAUCUUUGUGGCAAAGCUCUUUCUGACUUAAAAAAUAUCCCAUUCUGUGCUUGAGUCNNNNNNNNNNNNNNNNNNNNNNNNNNNNNNNNNNNNNNNNNNNNNNNNNNNNNNNNNNNNNNNNNNNNNNNNNNNNNNNNNNNNNNNNNNNNNNNNNNNNGAUCAGACAUUUCAAACACCUCUUGCAUCUUGGUCUUGAAAUUAACCAGCACUGCUCGAUCUCCUCCUGUCACCAGCAGGUCAUCAACAUAUAGGGACACAAUGAGUUGUGUUUGUGUCCCUUGCUUCUUAACAUACAGUGUUGGCUCACUCUUGCUUCGAUUGAAUCCCAGAUCAGUCAAGUAUCCAUCGAUUCUGCUGUACCAGGCCCUUGGAGCCUGUUUUAAGCCAUAUAGGGCCUUCUUCAAUUUGUAGACCAUAUGCUCUCUCCCAGCUGUUUCAAACCCUUGUGGUUGUUCAACAUAGAUGUCUUCAUCUAAAAAACCAUUCAGAAAGGCUGAUUUCACAUCGAGUUGAUGAAUUUUCCAUUCGAGCUGGGCUGCUAAGGCAAUCAGCAGUCUGAUGGUGUCGAGCCUGGCCACUGGUGCAAAGGUCUCCAGGUAGUCCAAGCCAUACCUCUGACUGAACCCCUUGACAACCAACCUUGCUUUCAGUUUGUUCAAGGUACCAUCAGCAUUUUGCUUGGCUUUGUACACCCAUUUCACCCCAAUCACCUUCCUUUUGACUGGCCUUUCAACCAAUUCCCAGGUCUGGUUCUUCUCAAUCAUGCUGAUCUCCUCAGCCAUUGCCUGCUUCCACUCUUGCUGAGCUUCAGCCUCUUCAAAGUUACUUGGUUCAGCUAUGGCUAUAUGAGCCCUUUCAUAAAUCUCAGUCAUUGAUCUUGUUCCUCUGACUGGUUCAUCAUCAAUGUCCAUUUCAGGAACACUUUGUUCUGGCUCAGCUUGGUUUGUUGUAAGUUCUUCAGAAACUUCCUCAGGUUCAUGCCUUUCCCAGUUCCAACAUGACCUUUCAUCAAAUACCACAUCCCUGCUUACUGACACUUUGUUUGUUGAAGGAUCCAAGAUCCUAUAGCCUUUCUUAACAGUGCUGUAGCCCACCAGAAGACCAGGUCGAGCCCUUUCAGACAAUUUGUCCCUUUUAACAGCAGGUACAUGUGUGUAACAUAUGCAUCCAAAGACCUUCAGAUGAGCCAGUGAUGGCUUGAAGCCAAACCAGGCCUCGAAUGGAGUCUUCUGAUCCAAAGCCUUGGUUGGAAGUCUAUUUUGAAUGUAUGUUGCAGUGUUAACUGCUUCUGCCCAUAGUGCUUUAGGCAGAUUCUUCUGAAUCAUUAAGCACCUGGCCAUAUCCAUUAAGCUCCUAUUCUUCCUUUCACUUACACCAUUCUGUUGAGGUGUAUAAGUGUUGGUAAGCUGGUGUUUGAUGCCUGCCUUAUCACAGAAGGCUUGGAACUGAGCUGAGGUGUACUCAGUCCCAUUAUCAGACCUUAUGGUCUUCAGCUUGCAGCCUGUUUCUGUCUCAGCAGCAGUUUUAAACUUCCAAAACACAGUGGCCACUUCUGAUUUCUGUUUUAAGAAGUAAAGCCAGCAAUAUCUAGAGAAAUCAUCAACAAACAGUAUGAAGUACCUGUUUCCACUUAGUGACUUAGUCCUCAUAGGGCCACACACAUCAGUGUGCACCAGUUGGAGUUUUUCAGAGGCUCUCCAGGCUUGAUUCAUGGGAAAUGGCAAUCUGGCCUGUUUUCCUAGCUGACACACUUCACACACAUCAUCAUGGUCCACUGAGUUGAUGAAGUUUUCAGCCAGGUCUUCUCUGACCAUUAGGGCCAUCGAUCUGAAGUUGGCAUGUCCCAGCCUUUGAUGCCACAACUUAGAUUCAUCUGAUGUGGCUGUGUAGGCAAUGUCUGACUUCUUUGUCCAGUCAACCACAAAGCUCUUAUCAGCCAUAGGGACUGCCAUCAGUUUGGAUCCACUUGGAUCACUGAUUUGGCACUGCUUGUCCUUGAACACCAUAGAGUAACCUUUCUCCAGCAAUUGAGCUAUGCUGAGUAGGUUUCUGUCAAUUUCAGGCACCAGGAGCACAUUUGAGAUCAUUUUGGCACCUGUGGGAGUGCAUAUCAGCACAUCACCUUUGCCUUCAGCUUGAAUAAAGUGCCCAUUACCAAUUUUGACUUUGGUUCUACAGUUUCUGUCUAAAGACUUGAAGAUUGCAGCAUCAGGUGUCAUGUGAUUGGUGCAUCCACUGUCUAGGAGCCAACCAGAUGAGAGCCUUUCCUGAGCAGCUGAGCAUGACACAGCAAAGACUUGCUCCUCUUGGUCACUGUCCUCCUUAGCUACUCGAGCCUCAGCUUUCAUCUGUUGAGACUGGUUCUGUCUUGUUUUGGUCUUGCUCUUGCAAACUCUCUCAACAUGACCCUUCUUCUUACAAUGCUGACACACAGCAUCUGGAUUGAACCAGCAUUUUUCUUCUGGAUGAAAAUCCUACCAAACGCAGNNNNNNNNNNNNNNNNNNNNNNNNNNNNNNNNNNNNNNNNNNNNNNNNNNNNNNNNNNNNNNNNNNNNNNNNNNNNNNNNNNNNNNNNNNNNNNNNNNNNNNNNNNNNNNNNNNCUCUAGAUACCAAUUGUUGGUGCAACAAUAGAAUCAAGCAGACUCAGCAAGUAUCUUGUCGAGCAAGCCUCGAAUCUUGCUGAGCAAACAAACAAUUUCGAGUUAAAGAAAGAAGAAAAUAAGCUGGGGAAAUUUGAGAGAAUAUUGAUGAACAAAAACUAAUUUGAUUCAUGCAUAAAACAAUGGCUUGAAGCCAGUACAUAACUCAAGCAUAAGGCUUGUCAAAAUCAACAAGUAAUUACCUACCUCCACUAAUUACAUAGAAACUUGAAAUCUUAGCUUGUAAACUUAUACAAAACUGUGUUUACAGCUCAUACAUAAGCUAAUUACAUCAAUCAGAAAGCUAACUUAGUUAGAAAUGAACUAACACUCAUUUCAUCAACUAAAUAUAACAAAAUGAACAAAAUGAGCUUGCAUCAGCAGCCCUUGCAUCUGUUCCAGCUUUGCUUGGUCUUCAUGGCCUGUAUGGAAUCGAGUGUUGGCUUCAUGCUGACCAACUUCAACACUCCCUAUUAUGUUAUCUUUAAAAGAGUGCGUUUGAUGCCUCUUUUUGGUCAUGAAAGAGGUUUCCAUGGGGCGGUCACGCUCUACCAAAUUGAACAUCUUGGCCUCACUUCCGAUCAAAGUUAGCCUCGCCUUAAUGGCCUUAAUUUGACGACCCAUUUUGAGACUGCAAGCAAACUGGUUUGAGCUUGAGAAGAAAAGGCGUACCUCUUUCGUCAGCUUGCUCCCACCCAAUAGAUCUUUCCGCAAAGCUUCGGUAGAGAAAUCAUCAAGCAAGUCAUCGGCAUCAUAAAGUACAUCUUUCAGCUUUUCAAGCCAAUCUCUGACGCGAUGGCUGGUCACAGAUCGCUCUUCUGCGUCAAGAAGCACAGCUUUGAUUGUGGAGACGGUGCUUUUGAGGUCGUCGAGGUCAUCUUUGACAUUCCACCACAGUCCAAUUUGAGAGAGAGUAAAGGAGCUCAAUUUAGUAAUAAGCUCUACGGCGAGGUCGAAAGCAAUUGCUUCGGCCAUUGCUGGUUCAAACUGAAAUCAAGCAAAAGAGUGUUUGGUUACUGCAAGAGGAGGACUAAAAUGAAAAUGAUUGGAACAAGAUGAAACACAGAUGUGGAUCCAUACACGCGGAGACUAAGAAUUUUUAUAGGUGUUACCAUCCACCCUGCAAGUAGUAUAAUUAAAUGAAAAUAAUGUUGAUUGGUGGGAAAUGUUUGACACAAAUUUGUAAAUGGAGACAAAGUUGGGAUGAUGACACUUCGGGUGCUCGCACAAUUACAUCAACUUGGGCAAAAUUUGUGAGUCUCGAUCCCUACAAAUAAUUGAAAUUAAUGAAAAAGCUAUGAAAGAAAAGAGAAGAAAGUGACAAAUCCCAUGGAAUCCAAGGUGUUUCGAUUGAGGCCAAUGCAUUCGAGUCUUAAAUUAAGUAUUUUAUUUCUAUUUGAGUUGGAAUUUAGUUCGUAAUUUAAUUUAACAAGAUAAAAAUAUAUAAUAUAUUACUAAACGCAAAUUUAAUUCGAUCAAUAGUUCAAAUUCAGCUCAAUAAUUAUCGAAUCGAAUUUAAAUUUAUUUAUAAUCAGUUAAAUUAUUAACAUUAAAAUCUCAUUUAGGCCUCUCCCCCCAUGAAAUUUAGCUUUAAUUUUUCCUUUUUAGUAACUUGGUAACAAUUAUUAUUAUCAUGUCUAUAACCAUAUAUAAUGACAAUUGUUACUAUAUCCAUUAUUAUUAUACUCUACUCUUAUUAAUAAUGUUUUUUAUAUUGAUAAGUCUUUUAAUUAUAUUUGUUAUUAAUUUUUUUAUAUACUAUUAAGAAUAAAAUAAUAAUAUGAUUUGAUUUUGUGUCAAAUAAGUGUCUCAUAAAAGUUUUAACCAUUUCUUUAUAUUAUUAGUGUGGAACUUUGAUGACGAAAAUCUCGAACACAUGAACAACAAUUUGAACAGAGAAAAGAAGAAAUAGGACAAGGCUCAAUUAUCUUUCUAUUCACCCCCUACUCUAUGUGCAAAUGAGUUUAAAGUAAAUGAACCUCAAGGAUACAUGAACCCUAGUAGCUAUGAGCGUUUUACAUUAACGAAAAUAGUCCACUAAGAACUAAACAGAGUAUAACAAGAAAAUCAAUUUUUAUAAAAAAUUUCAGCAAUAUUAUUUUAUAGAACAAUCUAAGAAUGGUAAAAUAUGGUAAAAUAUUCCUAAAUUAUGCUUGUAUCGAAUAUCACUAAAUUAUUAAUAAAUUUAUAUUUUAAUUAUUAAAUUUUUAUUUAAUGCACGUGCAGUUUAUCUUAUUAUUAAAAUUGUUGAGAUAGGUGAAAUGUGUUUAUCAUCAGUUCUUUUAUUAGUUUAACUUUUAUUAUUGUUAAUCCUAGUGGUGUUUAUGAAUUGUUAUGGUGAGAUACUUUUUUAUUGUUAAUACUCUAGUGUUUAUGUGUUUUUCUUUUUAUUAUUUUUAUUUUUUAGAGUAAAUAUCAAAAUUAUUUAUGAACAUUAUUGUGAUGUGUGAUUUGUAAUUUGAUACAUAAAUUUUAAUUUUGUAUAAUUAUAUAAAUAAAACUUUAACUAUGAUUCAAUUGUAUAUAUGAAAAUGCAAAUGUUAAAACACACCUAUAUUACCCGUAGAGUUUAUAUAAUAUUUUAAAGAUGCCACCACCCACCAACCCACUAAGUAAUAAUUAAAUAAAACGUUGCUAAUUUUAUAUUAAAAACUUAGUUAAGGGACGGUCUUUCUUUAUAAAUUUUCUGCACUUUUCAACGUAUUUUUCUUGAACAGCAUCACAUGACAUGAUGCUAUAUAUGAAUAAAGAACGACAAGUUGGGCAGAAUUAUCAAUUGUAUAUCUUUUUUAAAGGGUAAAAGUGGGAUUGGCUGAGAAUCCAAUUUAAUUUUAGUGUUAAUUGAAAAUUCAAUCACAAGUUUUUAUCUUUCCAAAUAUAGUUUAUACUAUAUUUUUAUUAUUAAUUACGGAUAUUGGUGAUGUAGGUGAGCGUGUUAAUAUUUGUUAUUAAGGGUAGUAGCAUUUUAAUUAUUCUAAUAUACAUUUAUUUGUUUAUUGUAAAUGGGGUGAUGAGUUUUAUUUGUUUAUUAUAGGAAAUUUGGCCCCAUUCUUUUAUUUAUAAUUGUUUAUUACUUCUCUGUUCCAUGCGCAAUCAUAUUGCCAUAUUUGUUAAAUUUUAUUUAUACUUUUGCUAAAUAAAUAACUUGAUAGAGGGUUGUGAGAUCCAAACUUAUAUUUAAAAAUCUUUAUUUUGGUUUUUUUUUUUUAAGAGAUAGACAUUGCGCUGUUUGAUGAGCCUGCAUUGUAUUAGGUAGUUGGUCAGGUAAAGGCUGACCAAGCCAAUGAUGCUUAGCUGGUCUUUUCGGAUGAUCAGCCACGCUGGGACUAAGACACAACUCGGACUCCCACGGUGGGCAGCAGUGAGGAAUCUUGGACAAUGGGCGAAAGCCCGAUCCAGCAAUAUCGCGUGAGUGAAGAAGGGCAAGGCUCGCUCGUAAAGCUCUUUCGUCAAGUGCGCGAUCAUGACAGGACUCAAGGAAGAAGCCCUGGCUAACUUCAUGCUAACAGUCGCGGUAAGACUGGAGGGGGGGCAAGUGUUCUUCAGUAUGAUUGGGCUUAAAGGGCACGUAGGCGGUGAAUUGGGUUGAAAGUGAAAGUCGCCAAAAACUGGCGGAAUGCUCUUGAAACCAAUUCACUUGAGUGAGACAGAGGAGAGUGGAAUUUUCAUCUUAUAAAGUUGUAUUAACAUCAAGUUAAAAAGAGCUUGUUGAUUCCGUAUUGAUAGACAUACAGUUGAAAGUAACGAAUUGAUCAUUUGUCGUAUUCGAUCUACCGAAGAAUACAUUGGCAUGUCCAAGUAAGGAGUUAGUUGAAUUUUAUAAAGGGAAAUAACAAUCAGAUCUAAACAACUCGCGCAGUUGAGGCCGUUGGUUCGAGUUGGACCCUUUUAGUUAACAAGGCUACUAGAGAGCUAAAUUGUGGACGCAUGUUUCGUGGUUGUUCAUUCGGUAAGGAUUAGUUGUUGGGCAUUCCGCAAUUAAUUUACACACGGAAAGGUUGACGGUCUGAGGCUUCCUCGAUUCGUAUAACUGGCUUAACGAUUGAAGGAGAAGACUUGUUAUUGAGGAUUGAUUCAAAGUUGAAGCAAAAUCGAGCUUGAAGCUAGAAUUUAAUCAUAUUGGUUUACUUAAUUUAAUUUCGUUUCUACUUAUUUUUACUGUUAUUCAGUUCCAAUAUCUUUAUUAUUUUUACUCUUAUUAGAUUUAAAUUCUCCUUUUUAUUUUUGCAUAGACCGUCGCACCUCAUGGGCACCUAUUUAAUUUUUCCAUCCAUUUUGAGAUGAUUUGACAGAGAAUGUAAGUUCAAACUUCUCCAUCCAUUUUGAGGUAAUUUGACAGAAAAUGCAACUUUAAAGGCUAAAAGAGGAGAAAAAUUAAAUGGAGGGCUAAAAUAACUUUUUCUAUUAAAUUGGAGGACCAAAAGAAUCAUUAUGCCAAAAAAUAAUAAUUUUCUUUUUUGGUCAUUUUCUAGUGCUAUAAUUCAAGAUGGUGUGGAAUUAUUACAUCAGCUAAUCUUAUUAUUAUUAUUAUUAUCAUCGUGGUCAUUAUUGUUUUUAAUAUCAUUAGAGCGAAUGUUAUUGUCCAAACAAGGAUAGCUUAAAUAUAAUUUAUUCAACUUCUUAUAAUAUAUUAGGGCUCCUCUAAAUGCUCAUUUGCCUCCGAUGAGUAGAGUUGAAUAAAAAAAACUAAAAAAUUCAAAAUUGAUCUGGCUCGAGGUGUUUAGAAAAUAUAUAGCAUGCAAGUUAAAAAAUCACAACCGCCCAAAACCAAACCAAAUUCUAUUUUUAAAAAAAUCACUCGGUUGAAGUUAAAUUGAAUAUUUUAUUUCUAUUUGAGUUGGAAUUAAGUUCGUAAUUUAAUUUAACAAGAUAAAAUAAUAUAAUAUAUAUUACUAAACUCAAAUUUAAUUAGAUUGAUAGUUCAAACUCAGUUCAAUAAUCAUCGAAUCGAAUUUAAAAUUUUUUUUAGUUGAAUUCAGUUAACAUAUGAACAUUAAUAUCUUAUUUAAGCCUCUCUCGCCAAUAUAAUUUAGCUUCGAUUUUUUCUUUUUGGUAACUUGGAAACAAUUAUUAUCAUGUCUAUAAUUAUAUAUAAUUAUAAUUCUCACUAUCCAUUACUAUUAUACUAUACUCUUAAUAAUAAUAUUUUUUUAUUGAUGAGUCUUGUUAAUUAUAUUUGUCAUUAAUUUUUUAUACAAUAUUAAGAAUAGGAAUAAAAUAACAUGGUUCGAAUUCGUGUCAAAUAAGUGUAUGAUAAAAGCUUUAGCCAUCGCUCCAUACUAUCAGUGUGGAGCUUUGAUGACGAAAAUCUUGAACACAUGAACAACAAUUUGAACAGAGAAAAGAAGCAAUAGGACAAGGCUCCACUAUCUUUAAGGUUCUAUUCACCCCUUACUCGAUGUGCAAAUGGGUUUCAAAUAAAUGAACCUCGAGGAUACAUAAACCCCAGUGACUAUGUGCGUUUUAUAUUAACGAAAAUAGUCCGCUAAGGACUAAAUAGAGUAUAAUAAGAAAAUCAAUUUUUAUAUAGAACAAUCUAAGAAUGGUAGAAAGAAUUUUUAUAAGAAUUCAAGAGACAUUAACUUUCAAUAGGUGUGUUUUUUUUAAUAAUCAUAUCUUCAAAAGAUACAUAAUUAUUCAAUUAAUAUAUUAAAUAAACAUAACUAUUCAAAUAAUAUUGCUUGAAUAGUUAUAAUUCUUUGUCAGAAAAAUCAAGUGAUAUGUACUUUUUAUAUUUAAUAGAUUUAAUUUAUUAUUAUGAAUAGUUAUAACUCUUGAUCAAUAACCAAAAAAUAUAAUUUCUAAUUAAUUAUACUCUUUUAUUUAUAAUUAUUGGGACAGUAUAAAUAUUUGAUAAUUUUCCAUCACAUACAAGUCAAGACAUAUUUGCUAUUAAUAGUAGUAUUUAAUUUUUCCUUAAAAUAUACAUAUAUUUAUUAGGAAAGGAUCAAAUUUUUUUAUUAAGGAUAAAUAUCAAAUUUAUACAUGAAUUUUGGUUUAAUAUGCAAUUAUCUAUAUGAAACUUGAAUUGUGGUUCAUAUAUAUAUAUAUAUGAAACUUUGAUUUUAAUUCAAUUGUAUAUAUUAUAUUAGAUUAUUAUAAUUAUUUAUAUAUUUAAUAUAUAAAAAAAUAAAAUGAGAGGUUGAUUUGGCAUAUCCCAGGAGAAGUUGCCUACAAAAGAAAAAGUUAAUAUUUUUGGACUUAAUAUCAAGGGUGAUUGCAAAUGUGGCACAGAGAGCUGUUGAGGAGUUGCAUAAUCACUUAUUUUUUGGCUUUAAUUUUGCAAAGAACAUGUGGUCAUAGGGAUGUGUUGUGAUUAGGCUAUCGUGGAGUUGAAUGGGAAAUCAUUACUUAUAUCAUCAUCAAUAUUGCUUGUCGAAACUGCUUUUUUGAAAACAAAAAUUUUAGUUGUCGACUCUAAAAAAUAAAACUGGAGUCGCCACCGAUCCUUUAUUAAGGUGUGAUCGGCCCACCUUAAAAAUAAUUUUAGACUGCGAAAUUUGAGAAAAUAGGUUCGGGAGUCAGUUACGCACAAGGAAGGAUUAGCACCCUCGUAACGCCCAAAAUUGGUACCAAAUUGAUUUUUUUAAUGCCUUGAUGUCGAAAAUUUGAAAAGAUUUUAAAAGGGAACUUUUUAUUUCAUGAAUGAAUCAAAAUAAUAAGACAUUCUUAUUUCAAAGAAAUAAAACACCACACCCAGUGAGUUAGGGCACAAUGUUUCUAAAUCUUCAAAAUACCCGAAUAUUGCCUUUUGUUUCUGAAAAUUCUUAUUUCGAGAAGUCAAAAUAUCAGGACCAGUAAGUUAGGACCCAACAUUUUAAAUCCCCGAGAAUAAGCUUCAUUUGAAAUUUGUGAAUUUAUCGCAAAACGAAUACUUGGCUUUCUAAAUUCAUCAAAAAAUAAUCGCGAUCCAGUAAGUUAGGACACGAUCUUUCACGAGAAUCAUGAAUGCCAAAUAGUUUGGAAUUUAUAAAAUAGGAUGAUUUAAAUACUUUGAGAAAAUCAAAAGAUAUAUUGUUUAAAAGGGAUGCUAAAAAGGGUUAAGGUAUAACAUGAAACGGAUAUUCUAAUUUCAAACAUAUAUGAAUAAAUAUUUACGAAUGUAUAUAUAAUUAGGUAUAAUAUACAAAUAAAUUUACAAAUAUGUGUACGCAUAUAUAUCUAACACACAUAUACAGGAAUACAUGUAAAAAGAAGGAAUGGAAUAAAUCAAAUAAACAAUAUAAAAAAACAUGUAGUGAAAAGAAAAUAAAAGUAUAAAAAUAUGCACAUGUAUAUAUUUACAGAAUAAAAAUGUAUAGUAUAUAGGUCUAUUAUAAAAAUGCGUAUUUUGAACUAUAAAAUAUGAAAAAAACAUGUGUAUUUAAAACAUGUAUGUGUACAUAUACAUGUAUUUGUAAAAAAAAAGUUUAUGAAGGAUAAUAAAAAAAAACAUAUAUACAUAUUACAAAAGUAAAGAAAAAUCUGAAAUUAAAAUAUAAAAAUGAGCAUAUGUAUAGAUAUAGAAACUAAGAAAUAAAAAUAAAAAUAAAAGCAUACGUAUAAAGCAUGUAUGAGUGGACGUACCCUGUAACAUGCAUACAUAUAUACUAUAAAAACCAUGCCAGUAUACUAGAUAAAAAAAAAUUGCACACAUGUAUUAAAUAAAACGAUGCAUGUAUGUUAUAAAAUAAUAAUAAUAAUAAUAUCAAUGAUAGAGUAGUAUAACAAAAAUAAUAAUAGUAAUAAUAAGAAUAGUGAAACAAAUUUUAAAAAAAUUAAAUUGAACUAAAAAAGAAAAAAAAAGUGAAAUUCGAAAUAAAAUAAAACAGGACCAUAUUGAGUGCGCGCGCAAGUGUGGAGGACCAAAAGGGAGAUUAUCUCCUCCUUCCAAAACGCUACGCAGCAAGGGACCAAAUUGAAACAAAAAUAAAAUGUGUGGCCCAAUUUUUUCAAAAUGCAGAGUUGUAAGAUUAAAUUAGAGUUUAUCAUGAGUUGAGUUUAAGUAUAAUAUUAAUUCAUUUUAUAUUUGUUUAAAUUCGGUUUGAGUCAAAAUAUAAGUUUAAAAUUUUACUUUAAGUUCGUCUAAAUUUGUAUAUAGUUAACUCAUGUCAAUUUUAGACCCGCCAUACUAUUUUUAAAAAAAUUAAAAUAUAUUUGAAUUAUUUCUAACUUAAUAUUUAAUAAUUAUGUAUAUAUUUUUAUUGAAAUUUUAUAUAUAGUCAUAUUAACAUUAUAAUAGUACAUAAAUUUAUUUUUUAUUUGUUACAAAUUACAUAACAUAUAAAAAAUAAUGUAAUAUAAAAUAUUGCAAACUAAAAAAUUAGGUCAGCCCAAACUUACAGUUUAAAUGUUCAAUCUCAAGCCCAACCUAUAUUUUAAGCGGACCUUUUUUUUUUUUUUUGCUGGAGCCUAUUUUUUAAACGUAAUAUAUUUAUUUAAACUUUCACAAAUUUUGAACAAGCUUUUGGACUUGACGAAAAACCCUAUCCAUAAACAGAUCUAGACUGAACUAAAUUUACUACAUUCUUUCCCUUUUAUUUCCCUAUUAUUUUGGGUUAAUAGUACAUAUCUAUUAAAACUUUAUUGCUCCUAUAGGGAUGAUUAUAUAUUAAAGUUAGACAAUGAUCGUACAAAGCUAUUUUAUUCACAACCAAGUCAAGAAAUUGUCAAUCCAUACAAUCGUAUGCUUUUUCAAAAUCUACUUUAAAAGAUAGCACCUCCCCUUCUUUGCUUUUUUGAAUAUAGUCCACAACUUCAUUUUCACUAAAGCACAAUCCAGAAUCUAACAAUCUGAAAUAAAAGCAAAAUUGACCUUCAUUGAUGGUCCUGAAUGAAGCUUUGAAUCUAUCUAGUCAAAAAUUUUCGGUAUAGUAAAAAUUUUUAACAUCAAAUAAAUAAUAAAAUAGGGUGGGCAUCAAUAAAUAAAUAAAUAAAAUCUGAAUUUUACUGUAUGGACAAGUCUAUUGAGAAAUUUUUUUAAAAAUGAUAUUUUAGCAUAUAUAUGGGUUAAAGUACUUAGGAAGUCCCUCUAACAUUAAAUGAAUCAAUUUAGUCCAUAUACUAUUAAAAAAAUAUCAAAUAAGUUCAAAUUGUAACGGAGUUAACAUUCACUAUAGCACAUUUAACAUUAACAUAGUUAAAUAUUUUCAAUACAUUUUAGACAAUAAAUGUUAACUUUGUUACAAUUUAACCUUAUUUGAUCUAUUUUAAUAGUAUAGGGACUAAAUUGACCGAGAGGGUUAUUUGAUAAGUCCCUAUAAUACAGGGACUUCUCAAUUCUCAAGUACUUUCAACAUUAUAUAUGUAUUUCAAUCUUAUUUUGGAAUGAAAUUGAACAACUGAAAAAGGUUAGAGUUCAAAAACAUUAUACAGUCCCGAUGAUUGUCACAGAUUUUCAUCUAGUAAUAGUCGUAGAAUAGUUGCCGAUCAAGAAGUUGAAGCAAUUGUUGUGAGAUCUCUAGUGAGUUCAAAAAUUCUCUUCUGAAAAUGGUGGCUAUCAUGUAAUUAGCAGUAUAUUAUUUCAAUUUUGGUGAGAAUUGUAUUCUCACUUAAACGCUUAAUGCCAUUUGCUUAAUACUUUGUGUGUGUGAUCUUUUGAUCUGUUCAUAGACAGAACUUUUCAUGGUGGCUAAGUUUCUUAGGGGAUAAAUUAUUAGUAGUAUUAUUUGUUUCUGCAGUGAAAUUGUGAUGCCUGUAUUUUAAACUGUGAGGUAUUUCCGUAUUUGUUGAUGUAGUGGAGUUUUGGUAGAUUUAAGUGCUCGUUUGCUGUACUAAGUUGAAAUUGAAUGAAUGCUGGCCUCAUCCAAUGUCCAAAACUUGAUGACUUCAACAUUUUGAUGCCUUAAUUUGAGAAGACUAAGUUAGAGUACUAUAAAACUUUCUAAGAAUGCUGAUGAGGCAUAGAUCUAGUGAUCUAAUAUAAUUGCAAUUGAUAGUAUGGUAGUCUAAAUGCUUUAGUAAGAGAGGAAGAUUAUGUCAUGCUACUCCAUUCUCGGUUUAAAUCAGUGCUCUAUAUGAAGAAAGGUUGAUGGGUGUUAGUUCUUUUGAUGUCUUGUCUUUGAUGGAUGUUUGAAAAAUGAUUCAGUUGAUAUUCAUAAUGUCUAUCACUACAGUUUCCCCUUUAUGUAUAAUAUGACUGCUAGUUUGUCGGUCUUCGUAUAUUAUAUUCCUUUUUCUUAUUGUUUUCAACACGAUAACAACUGAGUUACUAGUUAUUUUACUUGAUUUUGUCAUGGCAUUUCAAAGAUGACCUUAAGGACCUCAAAAGCACCAUCUUCACAAUCAAAGAUGUGCUUCUUGAUGUCGAAGAACAAUCCAUGACCAGCACUCUCAUCAAAGAUUGGCUUGAAAAGUUAAAAGAUGCAUUUUAUGAUGGCGAUGAUUGGCUCGAUGAUUUUUGUUGAAGGUUGGUAAGCAUGUAGCAAAGAAGCAGACAACAAGCAGGUCAUGAAGAUUGACCCAUGCAGAAGCUGCUGCAGCAAGCACAACUGUUCCUUUUUUGUUCAUUUUGUAACCUUAAGUUGAUGUAAUGUAUUUUAGUUCAUUUUGAACUAUGUUAGGUUAAUGAAUGAUGUAAUUAGAUGAUGAAUGAGCUGUAAACUCAGCUUUGUCCAUGCUUACAAGUUUUGUUUUUCAAGUUUCAAUGUAUUAGUGGUAGUAGGUAGCAAUUAGGUGACCACAUACCGAUUUUGAUAAGCAAAUUACUUGAUUUAUGUAUUGGCAUUAUGCCAUUGAUCAAAAUGAAUGAAAUCCAUCAGUUUUUUGUUCUAUUACACUUCACUUUCUUUGCUUUCUUUUCUCUUCUUUUCUUUUCAUUUUCUCUCGAUUUCUUUUGUUUCUUCAGCAAGCAUUGAGCCUUGCAGCUCAAGCCAUAAGCUGAACUUGUCUGUUCUUUGUUCCUAACACCAACAAUUUUUCUACUGAAGUUUUGCGGAAAGAUCUACUGAGCAGGAGCAAGCUAAUGAAAGAAGUAUGCCUUUUCUUUUCAAGCUCAAACCAAUUUGCUUAUGGUUCCAAAAUGGGUCAUCAAAUUAAGGCCAGGAUGUUCAACUUGGUAGAGUGUGACCGUCCCAUUAAAACCUAUUUCAUAACUAAGAAGAGGCAGCGAACACACUCUUUUGUGAGUAAAGAUGAAAUAAUAUGGAGGGAAGAUGAUAAAGCAGCUUUUCUAGAACACAUAUUAGAGUUCCAAAGUGAAGAGAAGGUUUAUGUGAUUCCGAUUGUGGAGUUUGGAGGGUUAGGGAUGACUACAUUAGUACAGUUUGCCAAUGAAGUGGUCAAUGAUCAUUUUAAGUUGAGGAUAUGUAAAGAUUCCAAACUGGUCAUCUCGGAAGCGAUCUUAAAUCGGGCAAAUUAGAGAGAUAAAGAAAUUGCAACCCACUCCGGAAGAUGCCGACACUUUGGAAUUUUUGCCUGCGAUAGGGAGCGUAGGUUACAAUGCCAUGGACAGAUCACAACUCCACUUUCUAUAUAGUUUCAAAAAUUACUCGGGGGCAGAAGGCAAUGGGAGCCACAACUCCCCUUACCCCUCCCCCUUCCAAAUUUGGGAAAUUCUCAUUAAGCCUUCAAUUUUUUUGAAAAUUUUAAUUAAACUCCUCAAUCUUUUUAAAAUUUUUGAAAAAUUUAAUUCCACAUUUCGCUACCUUUCGUCUCUGAUAGCUUUAGUUUAUUUGAAUGCUUGGAAUUAGGCUUUCACAUUGUUACAUGGUUGAAAAUUACUUGUAUUUUGAUAACGAAAACAAUGGGAAAAAUAACAAUUAGAUGCUUGGAAUAUUGGCUUGUGCCAUGAUAGGCCUUUAUAAGGUGUUAUUCAACUUGUAAUUUGAUGUGUGCCAACAUAAGCAUCAACAGACAAGUCAUGUAUAUACAGCCAGGACAUCGACAUCUUUUGGAAGCAUCAUAAUUGAACAAUGUGAAAUACCGUCUAAAACAAUUAUUGUCUCAUAAUCAAUUGUGCAUCCCUGCAUUUGAAUACUGUUUGGAACAUUAAAAAUGUGUUUUUUCCUGAGUUGGUACAUAUUAUGCAACAAGGAAAAUAAAGAACACAAUUAAAAUGUUCACGCAGUUCUAAACUCGUCCUACGUCUGCAGGGCUUUGCCCAAAAAUGAAUCCACUAUGAACUUCAUAGUACAAAGAAAUGAUUUAAGCUUAACCCCUCAAACACUUGAUGCAAUCUCACUUUUGUACAAUUAAGUAAAUUCUCUCCCAACUCAUUUUAGCUAUGCAAGUGAAAAUUCACAUUCAACACUCAGAUGGUUUUCCUACUAUGAAUCAAGCUCUUAAUAAGCUCAAUGUAAAGUGGAAUAAUAAAUUUUCAAAUGCAAUAUGUCUGGCAAAUGUCAUGCUUGAACAACGACUCUUCCAAAAGCAUCAAUGAACCUGAAAAUUAUAAAUGCCAACAUAGAAUAUGUUAUAAAUCCCAUUAUUAUCAGCCUUAUAUUUGCACAUAUGUGUGUUUAGUAUAUUGCUGUUGAUAUAUAAAUAAUGAAACAUUUUAUCAACUUCAUCCUCACCACCAAAUAUUCUGAAGCAUCUUCCUUUUUUUCCUGUUUGGACCUUCAAUAACAAAUCUGUUUGGAAUUCCAAACAGCUAAAAGAGUGCCCUGCAUCAACGAAUAUUAUGAAUUUGAAUACCUCCAAAAGCCUGUCAAUAGCAGUGGUACCAUCUAAGAUAGUAAUCAGUUGGCAUAUAUUAAGAGAAAACAUAAAUAUAUAUAAAGAUACAAUAGGUAAGUGCUUAAAUGAAGAAAGCAGAGCAUAUAGUCCAACCAUUUUGAAGGCUUCAUAGGCCUCUCUCUCCACAUCAAUGAUUUUUUAGAAUUAAAUUAGUAGAAGCAAUUGUCAAGUUAUUAUUAUGAUUUAAAAAUAAAAAGCAAAUAGAUAAAUUAGCACCUCUUUUUAUGCAUAUAAAAUGAUUGAAAUUCACUAAUGCCUUUAUCCAAUGCCUUACUGCACAAAUCAGCAAAAAUAUUAUGAAAGAUGAUAAGUAAAAAGUAGGAUGAAAACAAAGGGAUUUUAACAAGGAAAUUAACAGUAUCCAACUUCAAUGAAAAAUGGCAUCAGACCCCUGACUUGGAGAUUCAAUAUACCACUCUUAUUUUUCUUCAAAAAAAGAUAAGGUCAUCAAAAUAAAUAAAUAACAAAGACAGACCAACCUGAUUCACAAAAUGCAGGGGAUGUGAGCAAUCUUUUGCCAAUCAGCGCCAAUGUCCUUCCGACAUCUUUCCUCCAACUGAGGAACUUCAUGUAUGUGUAAAUGCUCCAAACUGGUUAGGCAACGCAUCUCAUCCGGAAGAGAUGUUAAAUUGGGCAAAUAAGAGAGAUGAAGCUCUUGCAGAUUUGUUAGAUGUUGAAGCCACUCCGGAAGAUGUCGACACUUUGCAAUAUUUUCCAGACACAGAGAACGUAGGCUUGUAUGAUCUUGGAAUAUUUGGAUGCCAGCUCCAGAUAACUCCAGCUCCUUACAGUCCUUUACUUCAAACUCUUCAAGGAAAGUGAGAUGUUGGAACACAGGAAGCAGUGACCUCAAUCCAUUGCAGUUCUGAAUUUUUAAUGUUUUCAAUUGAACAAGAUGUUGAAGCCCAAUGGGGAGAGACACCAGCUUUGGAAUAUUAUCAAUCUUCAAAAAAGAGAGAUUCUUAAGGGGUUCCCAUUGCAUGCCCUCUAAAUCAACCUCCUUGCAAUCACUUAUUGUUAAGAAUUUGAGGCUGGUGAGAUGUUGCAGGCACUCAUCUAGCGUGUGAGUGUCCAACCCCUCAAUGUUGUGUACAUGGAAAGAUUUCAAUUUGGAGAGCGGAAGAGAAGAGGUUGAAGUUGAUGGGGCCUUAGCAUUGAUGUUCAUCUUGAUAAUCUGCUUUAACGGCCUUGAACUGGUAUUCGACAACAUUAGAUCUUCAUCGAGUGAUGGAUACAGUGCCAUUAAAGUCAAAGGGCAAUUUUUAAUACCUAAAGAGGAAAGACAAGGAAAUGCCAUGGUUGAUGUUCCCAUAACUGUUGUGUCGUCCUCGUUGGAAUCAUCAUCGAUUGGUUUUGUCGUCCUCCACCAACUCUUCAUAUUCGGACAGUCCCAGAGCCAAAGUUGCUUAAGUGAUGGGAAGAAUGAUUGUGGUUCUCCUUGACUUCCUUUUGGACUAUUAUCAUCGAUUGGUUUUGUCAUCCUCCACCAACUCUUCAUAUUCGGACAGUCCCAGAGCCAAAGAUGCUUAAGUGAUGGGAAGAAUGAUUGUGGUUCUCCUUGACUUCCUUUUGGGCUAUUAUCAUCCAUGUACUCCAGCUUAGUACAACCAUGUAUCUCCAGCCCUUUAAGACAAGGAAAUUGCGCAAAGGAUGGGAUUUGUUUGAAAUUACCCCGAUAUAUUCUCAUAUAAACGAGAUUUGUGAGCAAAGAAAGCCAACUUGGAAACUUGGCAUCACCUCUCCAUCCUACAAUACAGAGCUCCUUGAGAUUAGGAUGGGGCUGGAGGUCUUCAAGUGACUUCUCAUCAUCACCAUUACCACAGGCCCAUGCUAAUUCCAACGAUCUCAAAUGUUGCUUCUCUUUCAAAUUAGCAGCCUUAAACUUCUCUUUUGCAUUUUUUACGGAUCCCAAUUUUGUUAUUUGUAGACGUCCCCUUAAGUUGUUAAGCAGUCUCAAUUCACUUAGAUCUGCACCGCCAUGGGACCCAUCUUUAUCCACUACAAACAUGCUUAACGUCUCAAGUGAAGUCAGCUUCCCUAUUCCACGUGGCAUAUGAGUUAAACUACGACAAGAAUAACACGCGAGAUGGGUAAGAUUCACCAAUUUUUCAAUCUUCUUUGGCAAUUCUUGAAGCCUGCAACACUCAUCAAGUUUCAGCGCUAGCAAAUUCUGAAUCUUGCAAAUACUCUUUGGGAGAAUCUCAAGACCGCUAUUAUAAGAAAGAUCAAGGUACCUCAAAUGUUUCAACUUACAAAUGGAGCGUGAAAUCUUUUGAAUACCUAUAGAAUCCAAUUUCAAUACACGCAAGCUUCUACAAUUUGCAAUUAUCAAAUCCCAAGUUUCAUAGCUGAAAUCUAGACUUAUUUUGUCUUCAAAAUGUAACAAGGUUCGCAACUUCUUUCCCUUAAACAAAGGAAUUAAUGAAGGUUUAAUUGAUAUGUGGCGACAUUUUUCACCAACAUCGCUUGCAAUUUUAUUUGAAUCUACAAUACUACUCUCCAUCCCUGCUACUGAUUCAGCUAGAUCAUGCGUUAAAUCAUGCAUUUUACAUCUCAUUUCUUCCAUCAAGUCUCCUUCUAUAUCUUGAAAGAAACUUCUUUCGACUAAAGCUUUAAAAUACCCAAACCCGAUCUCCUCGAGAGAUUGACUUUGAUUCAAUUGCUUUAUGAAACCCUGUGCAAUCCAAAAUUGAACAAGCGCUUGUACUUUAAUUUUGUAAUCUUUUGGAUACAAUCGGCAAUAAGCAAAGCAAUGCUUCAAAUGAGACGGGAGAUGAUCAUAACUCAAUUUCAGUAUAGGUAGAAUUUCUCCUUCAAUUUGUGAAAUUGUAGCAAGUUCAUUUUCUUUGAAAGAAUGCCACUCAUUUGCAGUUUUCUUCAAAGAUAAUGUACCAGCUAUCGUCCUUAUGGCUAAGGGAACCCCACCACACCUUUCCGAAAUCUGUCUCCCUACUUCCACAAAGGCUGAAUUUGUUGAGUCUGCAUGUCCUUGCUCAAAUGCUAUCUUUUUGAACAAAGACCAAGCAUCAUCAUCAGACAAGCCUUUCAAUUUCAAAACAUGGGAUUGACAUUUAUUAGUUAUCUCCGCUACCCUUAGAGAUCGAGUAGUUACUAUUAUCCUACUCCCUUUAGCCCCACCCACCAAUAACUUCUUUAGCCUAGACCACUUUUCUGGGUCCUCAUUCCAAAUGUCAUCCAAAACAAGCAAAUAUUUUUUCCCAUCAAUUUUAUCUCGAAGUUGUUUUUGCAAUUGAUCCAUUUCAAGAUUUUGAUCAGGUGCAUGAUGAGUCACAGAUUUGAUAAUGUUUGCUACAAUAGCUUUCACAUCAAAAUCAUCUGAAACACACGCAAACAUCGUUAAGUCAAAAUGAUUUUUGACCAUUUCAUGGUUAUAGACAAGUUGGGCCAAAGCAGUCUUCCCUAACCCUCCAAACCCCACAAUUGGAAUGAUAUAAACAUUCUCUUCACUUUGAAACUCCAACACGAGUUUUAGAAGAGCUGCUUUAUCAUCAUCCCUCCCUAUUAUGUCAUCUUCACGCUCAAAAGAGUGCGUUUGCUGCCUCCUUUUAGUCAUGAAAGAGGUUUCCGCGGGGCGAUCACGCGGAAUGAAGCCAAAAGUGUUGGUCUCGCUUUCAAUUGAAGCUAAUCUCGCCUUAAUGGCCUUCAUUUUCCGACCCAUUUUGAGACCAUAAGCAAAUUGGUUUGAGGUUGAGAAGAAAAGGCGUACCUCUUUCGUCAGCUUGUUCCCACCCGAUACAUCUUUCCGCAAAGCUUCAGUAGAGAAAUCAUCGAGCAAGUCGUCGGCAUCAUAAAGUACAUCUUUCAGCUCUUCAAGCCAAACUUUGACGAGAUUGUCGGUCACCGAUUUCUCUUCUGCGUCAAGAAGCACAGCUUUGAUUUGACAGACAGUGCGUUUGAGGUCGUGGAUGUCAUGUUUUAGAUUCCACCACAGCCCAACUUGAGAGAGAGCACGAGAGCUCAACUUAAUAAUGAGCUCUGCGGCAAUGUCGAAAGCAAUUGCUUCGGCCAUUGUUGGUUCAAACUGAAAUCAAUGCAAAAAGUGUUUGAUUCGUGAAAGAGGAGGACUAAUAUGAGAAUGAUUCCAACAAGAUGAAACACAGAUGUGGAUCCAUACACGCGGAGACUGAAGUAUAUUUAUAGAUGUUACCAUCCACCCAGCAAGUAGUAUAAUUAAAUAAAAAGUAAUUUUAAGAGAUUCAUUAAUAUAAUUAUUUGUCUAUGCAAUAUGUCAAAGUAAAAUGUAAGAGGUUGAUUUGGCAUAUCCCAAUAUAUUUUGUUAUAGUUUGGAUGGUCAUUCUUGUCAAGUUACCUAUCAUUGGCAAAGCUUGGUAGAGACUCUUAAAAUGGUAAAUUUUUAAUUUAAACCUUUUAUAAUUUAUAAAAUUUUAAAUUAAUAAUGAUAAAAUUAUAAUUUAAUCCUCUAAAAAUUUAUAAAAAAUUAAUUUAACUCUUUAAAAAUUAUAAAGAUAUACUACUAUAAAAAUAUAUAAUUUAAUUCCGACUAAAAUUUUUUUUAGCUCGGCUACCGUUGCCUAUAAAAGAAAAAUAAAUUUCGUUUUCCACACAAUAUGUGGAGAGAUAUUGGGUUUAUGUCAGCUCCAUGGGAAUGUAUUUUAUUGGAAUUGAAGGAAAAAUCAUUACUUAUACCCUUAUGAAGAUUGCUUCCAAUGCUCAUAUCUAUUUAAUUAUUUUAUUACACAUAAAAUUGUUUAUUGUGAGUUGGAUGCUUUUGGUUUGAUUAUUUAAGAUAUUUUAUUUUUAAAUAUAUUCUUAAUUAUUUAUUUUACAUAUACAUGUAUUUUAACUUAAUAUAUUUAAUAGUGAUUUUGUUUUUUAUAAAAAAAGGACCCAAAGGUACUACCUCAUUUUAAGUUGCAUCAUAAAUUACAAUGUUAUGGAUAUCGCUAGGAUAAUUCAUCCCAAAAGAUAAAUUACAACACUUAGAAAGAGCCCAAUUACAAAGAGAUCGACUAAUUUGUUACAACCACGUUUCACCCAUUUGACCUCGGCGGAAACAAAAGAAUCAAGCAUCUUGUGAGCUCAUUGAUGCAGUGAUCAAGGGUCGUUAUGUCCUCUUUGUGAAAACUAAAGCGGUUGAUAAUGCUAGCACAAUCUGCUUCAAAAAUGACAUUAUCGGCUUCAAAAAAUUGAGCAUGCCGAAAACCAUCAAUGAGGGCAUCUAAUUCUGCUUUAAUAGUGAUUUUUUAUUCUCAUUUUAUCGGUAUAUUUGUUGGAACAUUUUCAAAUAUUUAUAGUGUUCCAAUAACUAUAAAUGAAUUGGUGUAAUUAAUCAAAAGAUUACAUUAUUUGAUUUUUUGAAAAAGAGUUAUAACUAUUUAAAUAAUAUUAUUUGAAUAGAUAUAAAUGAAUAAUUAUGUGUUUAUUUUUAAGACAUUAUUAUUCAGAAAGACACCUAUUGCUGAAGAGACAUGAAAAUUUCUAUAAGUAGAAAUGGGAUUUCAUUUGGAAAACGUACCAAAAAAUUCUAAAUAUUCUUUCUUUCCUUCCUUCAUUUUCUAAUAUUAUUAGAUUAUUCUAUAAAGUAUUACUGCAGAAAUUCUUUGUAGAAAUUGAGUUUUUGAUAUACAUUGCUUAAUGCUUGGUGGACUAUUCUCGUCAGUGCAAAACGCAAAUAGUCAUUGGCUUCAUUGUAUCCUCGAGGUUAAUUUGCUUGAAACUCAUUUGCACACCGAAUAUAGGUGGGGGUGAAUAUAACCUUAAAGAUAGUGGCUUGAUACACGCCUUGGAGCAUUGUCAUUUUUCUUCUUUUUCUGUUCGAGUUCUGUUUGUGUGUUCGAGAUUUUUCUCACUGGAGUUUUGUACUAACAAUUUUAAGGUUAUAAUUCAUGAUGACUACCACAACACAUGAAAGUGGAACACUAAGGGAGUUGGCUUCCAACUUUGUUAAACUUGAUCGGUUUGAUGGUUGUAAUUUUCGACGAUGGUAGAAAAAUAUGCACUUCUUAUUAUCAACUUUGAAGAUUGCUUAUGUUUUGGAUACUCUAAGACCUGAAGAGAAUGAAAACCAAUCUGUUGUUGCAACUUGAGAAAGAUAAAAAUGGGACAAUGCUGACUACAUGUGCAUGGGCCACAUAUUGAAUGGUUUAUCUGAUGGUUUGUUUGACACCUACCAAAACGAGGUCACCGCUAAAGAAUUAUGGGACAAAUUGGAGACAAGAUACAUGACCGAAGAUGGUACAAGUAAGAAAUUUCUUGUCAGUCAUUUCAAUAAUUAUCAAAUGGUUGAUGGUCAUUCUAUUAUGGAACAAUUUCGUGAUAUUGAAAAGAUGUUGAAUCAAUUCAAGCAAUAUGGUAUGAAAAUGGAUGAAAUGAUUGUUGUAUCCUCCAUAAUAGACAAACUUCCUCCAUCUUGGAAAGACUUUAAAAGAAGUCUAAAACAUAAGAAAGAGGAAAUAUCUCUUGAGGCUUUGGCAAAUCAUCUUCGUAUUGAAGAAGAGUAUAGAAAACAAGAUCAAAACCUAAAUUCAGAAAUUGCCAAAGUGCAUGUUACGGAGGAAGUACAGACUACUAAACCAUUCAAGAGAAAGUUUAAACAGACUGAUAGAGCACCAAAGUUCAAAAAGAAACAAAAGGGCUCAUGCUAUCAUUGUGGAAAGCCCGAACAUUUCAAGAAUGAAUGUCGAUUUUUAAAGAAGAAAUCAUCUUUUAAGGCUGAUAAUAACGAAAAAUUCGUUGCAAUGAUAUCUGAAAUUAAUAUGGCACAACAUGAAAGUACAUGGUGGAUUGAUACCGGAGCAACCAAACAUGUGUGCAAAGACAAAAGCAUGUUCACAAAGUUCACACAAUGAAAAAAUGACAAUGUCUUGUACAUGAGAAAUUCUUCCACCGCAGCAAUCAAAGGCAAAGAGUCUGUUGAACUACAAUUCACUUCUGGAAAGGUUUUAACCUUAAAUGAUGUAUAUUAUGUACCAGAAGUUUGAAAUAAUUUAGUGUCUGGAAGUCUGUUGAAUAAGUUUGGUUUCAAACUUGUUUUUGAGGCAGAUAAGUUUAUUUUGUCUAAGGGACGAAUUUUUGUGGGGAAAGGGUAUAUGUAUGAGAGCAUGUUCAAACUCAAUAUUAUUAAUAAAAAUAAAAAUACUAUUUCUACUUAUAUGGUUGAAUUUUUUUGUUUGUGGCAUUAUAGAUUAGGUCAUUUGAAUUAUAGAAAAUUGAAUGACAUGUAUAAGUUAGAUUUAAUUCCUAUUUUUAAUAAUAACAUUGAAAAAUGCAAUACAUGUAUGUUGACUAAAAUUACAAGAAACCCUUUCCCUAAGGUUAAAAGGAAAACAAAAUUGCUUGAUUUGAUACAUAGUGAUUUAUGUGACAUGCAUAAUACUCCUACAUUAGGUGGAAAGAAAUAUUUUGUUACUUUUAUUGAUGAUUGUUCUAGAUAUUGUUAUGUAUAUUUAUUGCAUUCAAUAGAUGAAGCGCUUAAUAAAUUUAAAGUUUAUAAAUCUGAAGUUGAACUUCAGUGUGAGUCAUUUAUCAAGUGCUUAAGAUUAGAUAGAGGUGAAGAAUAUUAUAAUCCAAGUUAUUUUGAAUCCACUGGAAUUGUCCAUCAAGUUUUAGCCCCUUACACACCACAACAAAAUGGUGUAGCUGAAAGGAAAAAUAGAAUCUUAACUGAAAUGGUAAAUUCAAUGUUAUCAUAUUCAGGUAUUGGACAAGGUUUUAGGGCGAAACUGUUCUAACAACUUGUCAUAUAUUGAAUAAAGUUCCUAAUAAGGAAACUAAAAUAACCCCCUAUGAACCAUGGAAGAAAAUGAAACCAAACCUUAAUUAUUUGAAGGUUUUGGGUUGUAGAGCUAUUGUAAAAGUUCCAACACCUAAACGUAAAAAGUUAGGUGAAAGAGGAAUUGAAUGCAUAUUUAUAGGUUAUGCACAUAAUAGCAAGGCAUAUAGGUUCAUGGUAAUUGAACCAAAUGAUUCAAUUUCAAUUAAUAAUGUUAUUGAAUCAAGAUAUGCUAUUUUUGAUGAAAAUAGAUUUAAUUCUAUAUCAAGACAAUUACAGCCACAACAAUUGAUUCAUUCUUCAAAUGAGAAUGAGAUUCCAUUGGAACAAAUUGAUAAUAAUAAUGAAUCUUGUCAAGAAUUAAGAAGAAGUAAGAGAAUUAAAAAAUGUCAAAGAUUUUGGACCAAAUUUUAUUAUGUUUCUUGUAAAAGGAAAAGGUGAAAGUAUAUGCAAUAAGAUACCUUAUUGUUAUAAUACAGAAUCUGAUCCUAUUACAUUUGAAGAGGCAAUGAAAUCUCAAGACUCUGCUUUUUGGAAAGAAGCAAUAAAUGAUGAGAUGGAUUCAAUAAUGGGAAAUCAAACUUGGAUCUUAGUUGAUCUUUCACCAGGUUCCAAACUAAUAGGUUGUAAAUGGAUCUUCAAAAAGAAAAUGAAGGUUGAUGGAACCAUUGAUAAAUUUAAAGCAAGGUUGGUAGCCAAAGGUUUUAUACAAAAUCAAUGUAUUGAUUACUUUGAUACCUAUGCUCCAGUAGCAAGAAUUGCUACAAUUAGACUCUUAAUAUCACUUACCUCUAUAUAUAAUUUAGUUUUUCACCAAAUGGAUGUUAAAAUUGUAUUUUUAAAUGGUGAAUUAGAAGAGGAAGUGUACAUGGAGUAACAGGAAGGAUUUAUUGUUCCAGGACAAGAGCAUAAGGUAUGUAAGCUUGUUAAAUCUUUAUAUGGGCUUAAACAAGCACCAAAACAAUGGCACCAAAAGUUUGACAAGGUUGUUUUAGCUAAUGGCUAUAAAAUAAAUGAAUCUGAUAAGUGCAUAUAUAGCAAAUUUGAAAAUGGAAAAGGUGUCAUAAUUUGCUUAUAUGUAGAUGACAUGCUCAUUUUUUGCACGGAUUUGGAACAAAUAGAAAACACAAAGAAAUUCUUGUCAAACAACUUUGCUAUGAAGGAUAUGAGUGUAGCAGAUGUUAUUCUUGGGAUUAAAAUAACCCGAGAUGAAAGCACUAUAGCUUUAUCACAAUCACAUUACAUUGAAAAUGUGCUUAAAAAGUUUGAUCUUUUCAACUGUAUACCAGCAUCUACACCCAUGGAUCCUCAAAUAAAAUUAGUAUCUAAUGCUAGUAGGAAAAUUGAUCAAUUGAAAUAUGCAAGUCUAAUUGGUUGUCUUAUGUACAUAAUGACUUGUACAAGACCAGAUAUUUCAUAUGUUGUUGGAAAAUUGAGUAGGUACACAAGUAAUCCAAGUAGUUUGCAUUAGCAAGCUUUGAAUAGAGUACUUAAGUACUUAAAGAAAACUAUUAACUAUGGAUUGUGUUAUAACAGAUAUCCUCCAGUUUUAGAAGGUUAUUCGGAUGCUAGUUAGAUUACAAGUUUGGAAGAUCAUGCAUCUACUAGUGGAUGGAUCUUCAUUCUUGGUAGAUAAGCCAUUUCUUGGGGUUCCAAGAAACAAACAUGUAUUACUGAUUCCACCAUGGCAGCAGAAUUUAUUGCAUUAGCUGCUGCAUCUAAAGAAGCAGAAUGGUUAAGAAAUUUUCUUUAUAAUGUACCUUUAUGGCCUAAGCAAAUUUCACCUAUUUCUAUACGUUGUGAUAGUGAGGCUACUCUAGCAAAGGCAUAUAGCCAAGUAUAUAAUGGAAAGUCUAGACACAUUGGAUUAAGACAUAGUUAUGUCCGAUAAUUAAUCUCUGAUGGAGUGAUCACUAUUAAUUAUGUGAGGUCAAGUGAAAAUUUGGCAGAUCCUUUGACAAAAAGUCUUGCUAGAGAUAUAAUAAAAAGGACCUCAAAAGGGAUGGAACUCAAGCCCAUUAAUUAGAGUCACCCAUGAUGGAAACUCAAAUCAAUGCUUGGUAUAACGUCAAGUCUUGAGUUCAAUGAGACAAAGUACAUCAUUAGUAUGUGACUGUUAGCACUAUAAAUAAAUCCAUCCUAAGAUUAAAGUGCUAGGUAUCCAUAAUGAUAAGGAAAGGAUGAAUAAUGUACUCUUAAUGGACCCAUAACAGAAAUAUGUUAGAGUGUUAUAAUUACGGGAACACUCUUGAUGGGAUCUACCUAUGUGAGUGGAAGUGCGGCCGCUUCUAGGAGCUUAAGGGUUUGACUCUGACAGCACUCAUGAAAAGAGGACACAGACAUAUGGCCAUAAUAGUGUCUCUAGAUACUAUGCAUUGGCCGAUGUUGAAAUCAUUGUACGAGAUGUGUUCAGUUAAUCAAAUGGAAUAGUUGGUUCAAAGCUUUGUCUACCGUGCAUUUUUUAUUAACUUUAACAUAUAUUCACUAAGUGAAGGUUCAAUUGUAAGAUACAUUCAUUUAUGCAAAUUGAUUUCCAAGAAUAUCAAAAUCUAAAAUAUUUUGAAAAUGGGGGGGGAGAUUGUUGGAGCAUUUUCAAAUAUUUAUAGUGUUCCAAUAACUAUAAAUGAAUGGGUAUAAUUAAUCAAAAGAUUAUAUUAUUUGAUUUUUUGAAAAAGAGUUAUAACUAUUUAAAUAAUAUUAUUUGAAUAGUUAUAAAUGAAUAAUUAUGUGUUUAUUUUUAAGACAUUAUUAUUCAGAAAGACACCUAUUGAUGAAAGAUGUCUCUAUGAAGAGACAUGAAAAUUCCUAUAAAUAGGAAUGAGAUUUCAUUUGGAAAACAUACCAAAAAAUUUCAAAUAUUCUUUCUUUCCUUCCUUCAUUUUCUAAUAUUAUUAGAUUAUUCUAUAAAGUAUUACUGCAGAAAUUCUUUGUAGAAAUUGAGUUUUUGAUAUACAUUGAUUAGUGCGUAGUGGACUAUUCUCGUCAGUGCAAAACGCAAAUAGUCAUUGGCUUCAUUGUAUCCUCGAGGUUAAUUUGCUUGGAACUCAUUUGCACAUCAAAGAUAGGUGGGGGCGAAUAUAACCUUAAAGAUAGUGGCUUAAUACACACCUUGGAGCAUUGUCCUUUUUCUUCUUUUUUUGUUCGAGUUCUGUUCGUGUGUUUGAGAUUUUUCUCACCGGAGUUUUGUACUAACAAUAUUUACAUUUGAAUUCAAAUACAUAUUCUACAAUUAACUUUAAUCUCACUGUUACAAUACUUAACCUCACUAAAUUACUUGUUUAACAUGAUUAUCGUGAAUUUAUAGAAAGAACAAUCACGAAGCAAAUGCAGAUGCACUUAUGUUUAAAGUGUUUUUAAUUGAAAUUUUAUUAUUUUGAAAAAUAAAAGUAUAAUAACUUUUUUGGCAUUCCAACUUUAUAAAAGAAUUAUUUUAGCUCUUUAUUUAUUUUCCUUCUUUUUUAGUCUUUGAACUUACAUUUUUUUUGUCAAACCAUCCAAAAUGGGUAAAAAAGUUAACGUUUGUUAACUUUGUUGACAUGACAUAUAGGUGGAUUACCACGAGUAUGUCACAUUAGCAAUUAAUUAUUUUUAAAAAUAUCAAAAAAAAUAUUUUCUUAUUAUUUUUUAAUUUUUUUAAUGUUUAAAAUAUUUUUUAAAUGUUUUAAAAUUUUAAAAAAUAAUUAAUUGCUUAUGUGGCAUAUACAUGGAAAUCCGCGUGUAUGUCACAUCAGUAAAAUCAACAGACGUUAAAUUUUCACUCAUUUUGGAGUGAUUUAACAAAAAUUACAAGUUUAAGAACUAAAAGAAACGAAAAAUUAAAUGAUAAGUUGAAAUAACUUUUUCCGUAAAGUUAGAGACCAAAAGAAUCAUUAUGGCAAAAAAUAGUUGUUUUUCUUCUCUUUUCUUCUUUUCUUUUUGGUAUCUUUUAGUGCUAAAAUUCAAGAUGGUGUGGAAUAGUUUCUAAUCUUAUUAUUGUUAUAUAUGUUUUCGAUCUCAUUAGAGCUAUAAUCUUAUUGUCUAUAUAAAGAGAGCCUAAAUAUAAUUUGUUUAGCUUCUAUUAAACAUGUUAGUGCUCCUUUGUAUGAUCAUUUUCCUCCCGUGAGUAGGGUUGAGUAAAUAAAAUAAAAUAAUUGAAAAUCGAUCCAAAUCAAGGUGUUUAGACGGUUUAUGGAAUACAAAUUAAAAAAUCACAAUUAUCCGAAACCGAACAAAAUUCUAUUCUUUAUUUAACUUAUAAAUAAUUUUUUUAUAACAUAAAAAAUCUUUUAUAUUGAAAAAUAGUGAAAAUAAAUAUAUAUAUAUAUAUAUAUUUUAAAAAUAUUAUAUAAAAGUAUUUGAUUAUUUUUAUUUACUUAAAAAAAUUUUAAAAAUAUCUAUGAAAAUAACUUUGAAAAUUUGUCAAAUGAUAAUUAAAAGCCGUAAAAUAAAGUUAAUUUUAUUAAAAUAAUUAUAAAAUUUUAUAAUAAAAAAUCGAACUAAACUAAAUUAUAAUGGAUGGAUAAAAAAAUGCAAUCGAAUUAAACUAAUAUCACUUAAUUUUAUUGCACCAAACUGGACAUAAAAGAUUUUCUUAAAAAAUUUAACCUGCAAUGAGACUGUUUUUCUCACUAAAACCUUCUAGAGCGUGCAAUGUCCUCGCCAAGUAAGUAAAUUCAAUAGAGGUUGGAGGCUAAAGGUUGAUACAUAAAAGAAGGGGAGGGGCAUAGUUCUGCUUCAAACAAAACCCCAAAUUUAGCAUCUUGAGUUGUUAAAAUAAGUAAAUUCACCAUACUUUUCCGUUAGAUUUUGGCUCUCUUCUUCAGCAGAAUGUAGCGUACAGUACAAGAAGCAGGGACCAUCCUUUCUACCAUGAUUUGUUUAUCCGCCCACAUAUUCCAACAAAACGAAUAUGGUAAUAAAUGUCAUCAAUUUCCUUCUAAUUUCCAAUGGAUCUGAUAUAAAUGGUGUAACUAUAUUCAAGAGUACUUGUAUAAUAUAUAUGCCCAACUGAGUACUAGAUGGAAUCUAUGCUGUUGACGGACUCUUGGAGGCAUGUUCGAGAGAGCUUAAACACAUUUAUAUUUUUCAGUGUUCCAUACAAUAUUCUAAUGAGUGUCAAAUUCAUUAAAAAUGAUGUAAAAAAUAAUAUAAGGAGUAGGGUCAAUCCACAGAAAUUGAGAUAUCAACAUUUGUUGUUUGCUUCAACCAAGUUGCACGUCUAGAUUCCUAUCCUGCCCACGAGGUGUGACUGUCUGUGCAAAAAUAAAAAGAAAAAUUCUAAUGUAAUAAAAGUAAAAAUAAUAAAGAUAAAAAUAAGCAAAAAGGAAAUUAAAUUAAAUAAACUAAUAUGAUGGAAUUCAAGCUUUAAGCUCGAUUUUGUUCCAAUUUCAAACCAAUGCACGAUAACAAGUCUUCUCCUUCAACCGAUAAGCCAGUUAUAGUGAUCGAGGAUGCCUCAGACCACUAACCCUUCCAUAUGUAAAUUAAUUACGAGAACGCCCAACAAUUAAUCCUUAUCGAACGAACAACCACAAAACACGCAUCCACGAUUUAGCUCUCUGGUAGCCUUGUGAGCUAAAAGGGUCCAUCUCGAACCAACAACGUCAAUUACGUGAGUCGUUUAGAUCCGAUUGCUAACUUCUUAGUUGGACACGCUAAUGUGUUCUUCGGAAGAUCAAAUACGACAAAUGCUCAAUCCGGUACUUCCAAUUGUACGUCUAUCAACACCGAAUCAAUGAGCUAUUUUUAACAUUGUGUCAACACAACUUUGUGAGAUGCCAAUAUCUAUCUCCUAAAUCAGAGAAACAACAAAUACCGAAAUAAAAGUUUUUAAGUAUAAAUUUAGAUCUCACAGCUGUCUACUGGAUUAUUUAUUUAGCUACUAAUGAAAAUAUAUGAAAUAAAAGUAUAAAUAAAAUUUAAAAAAUAUGGAAAUAGGAUUGCGCAUGGAAGAGAGAAGUGAUAAACAAGUAUGAAUAAAAGAGGGCAAAUUUUCCAAUAAUAAAGAAAAAAAAAUCAUCACCCUUUAAAAAAGAGUGGGCCAAUCUCACUUUUACCCUUUAAAAAAUAUAUACAAUAAUGUUGCAAUUGAUAAUUCUGCCCAACUUGUCGUUCUUUAUUCAUAUAUAGCAUCAUGUCAUGUGGUGCUAUUCAAGAAAAAUACAUUGAAAGCUGCAGAAAAUUUAUAAAGAAAGGCCGUCCGUUAACAAAGUUUUUAAUAAAAAAUUAGUAACUUUUUAUUUAAUUAUUACUUAGUGGGUGGAUGGUGACAUCUUUAAAAUACAAUAUUGACUCUACGGGUGAUGUAUGUAUGUAUUAACGCUUGUAUUUUCAUCUUGUUCGAAUCAUUUCACUCUUCCUCCUGCAAUAAUCAAACACUUUUUGCGUGCCAUCAAUGGCUGAAGCAUUGCUUUCGAUAUUGCUGGAGAGCUCAUUACUAAGUUGAUCUCGCGAGCUCCCUCUCAGGUUGGAGUAUGGUGGAAUUUCAAAGAUAACCUCGAUGACUUCAAACAUUGUUGCUGUCAUAUCUGAAUGGGCUGAUCUAUGAAAAUUAAAUUAACUCUGAUACUACUUAAUUGUUAGGAUCAAUCCAAUUAAGCAAUAAGUAAAUAAAAUAGCGGAAUAAAUUGAGAAAUUGAACACAUAAAUUUAACGUGGAAAAAUCCCUUUAAAGAGGAUUAAAAACCACGAACAAAUAUAAUUUUACUAUAAUGGUAAAAGAACGAAGAGCAUAAAAGAUGGAGAUAAAAACUAAACCCCGAAAACACGAAAACAAAGAACCCUAAAAACGUAAACACAAAAUUCUCUAAAUGUGUUAUGAGUCUUAUUAUUAAUUAUUGGUAUCGUUGAUGUAGCUGAGCGUGUUAAUAUUUGUUGUUAGUGGUAGUAACAUUUUAAUUAUUUUAUUCUACAUUUAUUUGUUUAUUGUAAGUGGGUUGAUGAUUUUUAUUUGUUUAUUUUUGGAAAUUUUGUUUCAUUCUUUUGUUCCAUGUCAUGUUGGAAAAAGAGUUUGAAUAAACAUGUUUGGAGUAUUAGGGUUGUAUAAUCUAAAUUUUAAGAGAUUGUUGGUAAGUCAAGUAAAAAAAAUAUUUUUUAGAAAAUUUAAUAUUUAUUAAUAUAAUAUAUAUGUUUAGCAUUUAUUAGCAUAAUAUAUUUGAGAUUGAUUAGAAUUAAAUUUUUUUUAACCUAUAAAUAGAUGUAGUUGAAACUCCUAUCGUAUGAUUUGAAUUCAAACAAUUAAUGCAAUAACCAUAUAAAAUGGCGUUGGUUUGGCUACCCCUUUGAUGUUUUGGCUUCGUUUUGGUGUUUGUUUUGGGGGUUGUGUCUCUUUGGGUUAGUUUUCAAUAUAUGCGUGCUGAUGAUGCAAUGAAUAAAGAAAUCAAAAGUUAUGCAGAAAUUUCAAUUCUGGAUGGCGCUGCAAUUAUAUUAUUAAGAGUAGUAGCAUUUUAUUUAUUAUUAACAUAUAUUUGUUUAUUGGAUACGUGUGUUGAUGAUGCAGUGAAUAAAGAAAUCAAAAGUUGUGCAGAAAUUUCAAUUUUGGAUGGCGCUGUAAUUAUAUUACUCAGAGUAGUAGCAUUUUAUGUUUCUUUUAGAUGUACAUAUAUUUAUUAGGAAAGGGUUGAAGUUUUUUAUUUGUUUAUUAUUAGGGUUAAAUAUCAAAUUUAUACCUUAGUUUUGGUUCAAUUGUAUAAUUUGAUACAUGAAUUUUGAUUUGGUGCAAUUAUCUACAUGAAACUUGAAUUCUGGUUCAUAUAUAUAUAAAACUUUGAUCUUGAUAUAAUUGUACGCAUUAAAGAAAUGAAUACCUAUAUUUAUUUUCACAUUGGAUUAAUAUAAUAGUAGCGACCUAAAAUUUUUGCGAGUUAGUUAAGGUCGUUACGAAAGGAAAUCUUGGGUUGACGAUUAUUGAAAAUUCGGAAAAGGUCUCAAUUUUACUUAAAAAGAGACGAGUCGCCACCGGUCCUUUUUCUAAGUGAGAUCAGACACCUACUAAAUUCUCUUUUUAAAAGAAAAUUUAUUUUUAAAAUUCUCUUUAAAAAAAGUCGAUUUUAGGUCUGCGUCAAAAUCCAAAGAAAAUUAGAGUUCGGGAGUCUGUUAUGCACAAAGAAGGUAUUAACACCCUCGUGGCGCCCAAAAUCGAUAUCCCAUUAAACGCGUGUUGUCUUAAAUUUUAAAAAUACGAAUUCAAUUUAAUAUUUAAUCAUGAUUCGAUUGAAAAAUGAGAAUUUUGAUAAAUCACAUAUUAUUGUAUUGUAUAUAUUUUAGAAUGAAAUACUGAUAAUUUACGAAUAAAAAUAAAGAUUUUAUUUUUAAUGAGAGAAUUUUUAAAUUUUUUAAUUUUUAGAAGGGCGUUCCGUAUUUAACAAAAAUCAAUGAUAUCCACCCAACAUAGCAGUGAAAUCAAUGACUUAAUGCUAAAUCGGUUCGUUGACUUAGGUAUUGAAAUUAUUUAAAUUAAAAAUUGUAAAUGAAAUAUUUCUAAAAGGCUGUUUAAAAAUGCUAAUUUAAUUAAAAUGAAACAAUAUUUAAAUACAUGGACUAAAUAAAUAAAUACAUGCACUUAUGUUGUGAGAUAUCUAGUGAGUUCAAAAAUUCUCUUCUGAAAAUGGUGGCUAUCAUGUAAUUAGUAGUAUAUUAUUUCAAUUUUGGUGAGAAUUGUAUUCUCACUUAAACGCUUAAUGCCAUUUGCUUAAUUUUUUGUGUGUGUGAUCGUUUGAUCUGUUCAUAAACAGAACUUUUCAUGGUGGCUAAGUUUCUUAGGGGAUAAAUUAUUAGUAGCAUUAUUUGUUUCUGCAGUGAAAUUGUGAUGCCUGUAUUUUAAACUGUGAGGUAUUUCCGUAUUUGAUGAUGUAGUGGAGUUUUGGUAGAUUAAAGUGCUCGUUUGCUGUACUAAGUUGAAAUUGAAUGAAUGCUGGCCUCAUCCAACGCCCAAAACUUGAUGACUUCAACAUUUUUAUGCCUUAAUUCGAGAAGACUAAGUUAGAGUACUAUAAAACUUUCUCAGAAUGCUGAUGAGGCAAAGAUCUAGUGAUCUAAUAUAAUUGCAAUUCAUAGUAUGGUAGUUUAAAUGCUUUGGUAAGAGAGGAAGAUUAUGUCAUGCUACUCCAUUCUCGGUUUAAAUUGGUGCUCUAUAUGAAGAAAGGUUGAUUGUUGUUAGUUCUUUUGAUGUUUUAUCUUUGAUGGAUGUUUGAGAAAUGAUUCAGUUGAUUUUCAUAAUGUCUAUCACUACAGUUUCCAUCUUAUGCGUAAUAUGACUGCUAGUUUAUCGGUCUUCGUAUAUUAUAUUCCUUUUUCUUACUGUUUUCAACACGAAAACAAGUGAGUUACUAGUUAUUUUACUUGAUUUUGUCAUGGCAUUUCAAAGAUGACCUCGAGGACGUCAAAAGCACCAUCUCCACAAUCAAAGCUGCGCUUCUUGAUGCCGAAGAACAAUCCAUGACCAGCACUCUUGUCAAAGAUUGGCUUGAAAAGUUGAAAGAUGCAUUUUAUGAUGCCGAUGAUUGGCUCGAUGAUUUUUCUACUGAAGCUUUGCAGAAAGAUCUACUGAGCAGGAACAAGCUAAUGAAAGAAGUAUGCCUUUUCUUUUCAAGCUCAAACCAAUUUGCUUAUGGUGCCAAAAUGGGUCAUCAAAUUAAGGCCAGGAUGUUCAACUUGGUAGAGUGUGACCGUCCCAUUAAAACCUCUUUCAUAACUAAGAAGAGGCAGCGAACACACUCUUUUAUGAGUAAAGAUGAAAUAAUAGGGAGGGAAGAUGAUAAAGCAGCUUUUCUAGAACACAUAUUAGAGUUCCAAAGUGAAGAGAAUGUUUAUGUGAUUCCGAUUGUGGAGUUUGGAGGGUUAGGGAUGACUACAUUGGCACAGUUUGUCAAUAAAGUGGUCAAUGAUCAUUUUGAGUUGAGGAUAUGUAAAGAUUCCAAACUGGUCAUCUCGGAAGCGAUCUUAAAUUGGACAAAUCAGAGAGAUAAAGAAAUUGCAACCUCAAGAUGAAUACACUAUGAACUUCAUAAAGAAAUUGCAACCACAAGAUGAAUACACUAUGAACUUCAUAGUACAAAGAAAUGAUUUAACCUCAACCCCUCAAACACUUAACGCAAUCUCACUUUUGUACAAUUAAGUAAAUUCUCUCCCAACUCAUUCUAGCUAUGCAAGUGAAAAUUCACAUUCAACACUCAAAUGGUUUUCCUACUAUGAAUCAAGCUCUUAAUAAGCUCCAUGUAAAGUGGAAUCAUAAAUUUUCAAAGGCAAUAUGUCUGGCAAUUGUCAUGCUUGAACAACGACUCUUCCAAAAGCAUCAAUGAACCUGAAAAUUAUAAAUCCCAACAUAGAAUAUGUUACAAAUCCCAUUAUUAUCAGCCUUAUAUUUGCACAUAUGUGUGUUUGGUAUAAUGCUGUUGAUAUAUAAAUAAUGAAACAUUUUAUCAACUUCAACCUCACCACCAAAUAUUCCGAAGCAUCUUCCUUUUCUUCCUGUUUGGACCUUCAGUAACAAAUUUGGCUGGAAUUCUAAACAGCUAAAAGAGUGCCCUGCAUCAAUGAAUAUUAUCAAUUUGAAUACCUCCAAAAGCUUGUCAAUAGCACAGGUACCAUCUAAGAUAGUAAUCAGUUGGCAUAUAUUAAGAGAAAACAUAAAUAUAUAUAAAGAUAUGAUAGGUAAGUGCUUAAAUGAAGAAAGCAGAGCAUAUAGUACAACCAUUUUGAAGGCUUCAUAGGCCUCUCUUUCCACAUCAAUGAUUUUUUAGAAUUAAAUUAUUAGAAGCAAUUGUCAAGUUAUUAUUAUGAUUUAAAAGUAAAAAGAAAAUAGAUAAAUUAGCACCUCUUUUUAUGCAUAUAAAAUGAUUGAAGUUCACUAAUGCCUUUCUCCAAUGCCUUACUGCACAAAUCACCAAAAAUAUUAUGAAAGAUGAUAAGUAAAAAGUAGGAUUAAAACAUAGGGAUUUUAACAAGGAAAUUAAUAGUAUACAACUUCAAUGAAAAAUGGCAUCGGACCCCUGACUUGGAGAUUCAAUAUACAACUCUUAUUUUUCUUCAAAAAAAGAUAAAUAAAUAAAUAACAAAGACAGACCAACCUGAUCCAACCGAAUGUUGGGGAUGUGAGCAAUCUUUUGCCAAUCAGCGCCGAUGUCCUUCCGACAUCUUUCCUCCAACUGAGGAAUUUCUCCUAUUUGUAAAUACUACAAACUGGUCAGGCAACGCAUCUCGUCCGGAAGAGAUGUUAAAUUGGGCAAAUUAAUGAGAUAAAGCCCUUGCAGAUUUGUUAGAUGUUGAAGCAACUCCGGAAGAUGCCGACACUUUGGAAUAUUUUGCAGCCAUAGAGAGCGUAGGCUUGUAUGAUCUAGGAAUAUUUGGAUGCCAGCUCCAGAUAACUCCAGCUCCUUGCAGUCCUUUACUUCAAACCGUUCAAGGAAAGUGAGGUGUUGGAACACAGGAAGCAGUGACCUCAAUCCAUUGCAAUUAUGAAUUUUUAAUGUUUUCAAUUGAACAAGAUGUUGAAGCCAAAUGGGGAGAGACACCAGCUUUGGAAUAUUAUCAAUCUCCAAAUGAGAGAGAUUCUUAAGGGGUUCCCAUUGCAUGGCCUCUAAAUCAACCUCCUUGCAAUCCUCUAUUGUUAAUGUUUUGAGGCUGAUGAGAUGUUGCAGGCACUCAUCUAGCGUGUGAGUGUCCAACCCCUCAAUGUUGUGUACAUAGAAAGAUUUCAAUUUGGAGAGAGGCAGAGAAGAGGUUGAAGUUGAUGGGGACAUACUAGUGAUUUUCAUCUUCAAUGUCUGCUUUAACGGCCUUGAACUGGAAUUCCUCAACUCUAGCUUACCAUCGAGUGAUGGAUACAGUGGCAUUAAAGUCAAAGGGCAAUUUUGAAUUGUUAAAGAGGAAAGACAAGGAAAUGCCAUGGUUGAUGUUCCCAUAACUGUUGUGUCAUCCUCGUUGGAAUCAUCAUCGAUUGGUUUUGUCGUCCUCCACCAACUCUUCAUAUUCGGACAGUCCCCGAGCGAAAGAUGCUUAAGUGAUGGGAAGAAUGAUUGUGGUUCUCCUUGACUUCCUUUUGGGCUAUUAUCAUCCAUGUACUCCAGCUUCGUACAAUCAUGUAUCUCCAGCCCUUUAAGACAAGGAAAUUGCGCAAAGGACUGGAUUUGUUUGAAAUUAACCCCAUCUAUUGUCAUAUAAACGAGAUUUGUGAGCAAAGGAAGCCAACUUGGAAACUUGGCAUCACCCCUCCAUCCUCGAAUGCAGAGCUCCUUGAGAUUAGGAUGGGGUUGGAGGUCUUCAAGUGAUUUAUCAUCACCACCACCACCACCAUCAUCAUACCAUUCUAAAGCCAACGAGCUCAAAUGUUGCUUCUCUUUCAAAUUAGCAGCCUUAAACUUCUCUUUUGCAUUUUUUACGAAUCCCAAAUUUGUUAUUUGUAGAUGUCCCCUUAAGUUGUUAAGCAAUCUCAAUUCACUUAGAUCUGCACCGCCAUGGGACCCAUCUUUAUCCACUACAGACAUGCUUAACGUCUCAAGUGAAGCCAGCUUCCCUAUUCCACGUGGCAUAUGAGUUAAACUAUGACAAGAAUAACACGCAAGAUGGGUAAGAUUCACCAAUUUUUCAAUCUUCUUUGGCAAUUCUUUAAGCCAAGUACACCAGUCAAGUUUCAGCGCUAGCAAAUUCUGAAUCUUGCAAAUACUCUUUGGGAGAAUCUUAAGAUCGCGAUUAUAAGAAAGAUCAAGGUACCUCAAAUGUUUUAACUUACAAAUGGAGGGUGAAAUCUUUUGAAUACAUAUAGAAUUCAAUUUCAAUACACACAAGCAUCUACAAUUUGCAAUUAUCAAAUCCCAAGUUUCAUAGCUGAAAUCUUCACUUAUUCUGUCUUGAAAAUGUAACAAGGUUCGCAACUUCUUUCCCUUAAACAAAGGAAAUAAUGAAGGUUUAAUUGAUAUGUGGCGACAUUUUUCACCAACAUCACUUGCAAUUUUAUUUGAAUCUACAAUACUACUCUCCAUCCCUGCUACUGAUUCAGCUAGAUCAUGCAUUUUACAUGUUAGCCCUUCCCAUAAAUAUCUUUCUCCUUGUACAUCUUGAAAGAAACUUCUUUCAACUAAAUCUUUAAAAUACCCAAACCCGAUCUCCUCCAGAGAUUGACUUUGAUUCAUUGCUUUAUGAAACCCUAUGCAAUCCAAAAUUGAACAAGCGCUUGUACUUUAAUUUUGUUAUCUUUUGGAUACAAUCGGCAAUAAGCAAAGCAAUGCUUCAAAUGAGACGGGAGAUGAUCAUAACUCAAUUUCAGUAUAGGUAGAAGUUCUCCUUCAAUUUGUGAUAUUUUAGCUAGUUCAUUUUCUUUGAAAGAAUGCCACUCAUUUGCAGUUUUCUUCAAAGAUAAUGUACCAGCUAUCGUCCUUAUGGCUAAGGGAACCCCACCACACCUUUCCGAAAUCUGUCUCCCUACUUCCACAAAGGCUGAAUUUGUUGAGUCUGCAUAUCCUUGCUCAAAUGCUAUCUUUUUGAACAAAGACCAAGCAUCAUCAUCAGACAAGCCUUUCAAUUUCAAAACACGGGAUUGACACUUAUUAGUUAUCUCCGCUACCCUUAGAGAUCGAGUAGUUACUAUUAUCCUACUCCCUUUAGCCCCACCCAUCAAUAACUUCUUUAGCCUAGACCACUUUUCUGGGUCCUCAUUCCAAAUGUCAUCCAAAACAAUCAAAUAUUUUUUCCCAUCAAUUUUAUCUCGAAGUUGUUUUUGCAAUUGAUCCAUUUCAAGAUUUUGAUCUGGUGCUUGAUGAGUGACAGAUUUGAUAAUGUUUGCUACAAUAACUUUCACAUCAAAAUCAUCUGAAACGCACGCAAACAUCGUUAAGUCAAAAUGAUUUUUGACCAUUUCAUGAUUAUAGACAAGUUGGGCCAAAGCAGUCUUCCCUAACCCUCCAAACCCCACAAUUGGAAUGAUAUAAACAUUCUCUUCACUUUGAAACUCCAACACGAGUUUUAGAAGAGCUGCUUUAUCAUCAUCCCUCCCUAUUAUGUCAUCUUCAAGCUCAAAAGAGUGCGUUUGCUGCCUCCUUUUAGUCAUGAAAGAGGUUUCCGCGGGGCGAUCACGCGGAAUGAAGCGAAAAGUGUUGGCCUCACUUUCAAUUGAAGCUAAUCUCGCCUUAAUGGCCUUCAUUUUCCGACCCAUUUUGAGACCAUAAGCAAAUUGGUUUGAGGUUGAGAAGAAAAGGCGUACCUCUUUCGUCAGCUUGUUCCCAUCCGAUGCAUCUUUCCGCAAAGCUUCAGUAGAGAAAUCAUCGAGCAAGUCGUCGGCAUCAUAAAGUACAUCUUUCAGCUCUUCAAGCCAAACUUUGACGAGAUUGUCGGUCACCGAUUUCUCUUCUGCGUCAAGAAGCACAGCUUUUAUUGUACGGACAGUGAGUUUGAGGUCGUCGAGGUCAUGUUUGAGAUUCCUCCACAGUCCAACUUGAGAGAGAGCACGAGAGCUCAACUUAGUAAUAAGCUCUAGGGCGAGGUCGAAUGCAAUUGCUUCGGCCAUUGCUGGUUCAAACAGAAAUCAUGCAAGAGGAGGAGUAAAAUAAGAAUGAUGAAACGUAUGCGAGCCAUUAGCAAUUGAUUAUUUAAAAAAAAAAUUAAAAUAGUUUUUUAUAAUUUUUAAAAUAGUUUUUAAUAGGUGUAUAUUUUUUAAAAUUUUUAUAUUUAAAACAUUAAUUAAUUGCUAAUGUAGCAUUCAUGUCAAUAAAGCUAAUAAAUAUUAAUUUUUUUUGAAUUAAUAAUACAUUUAUUAAAACUUUAUUGCUUUUAUUGGAAUGAUUAUAUAUUAAAGUUUGACAAUGAAUGUACAAAGCUAUUUUAUUCAUAACCAAGUCAAAAUAUUGUCACCCCACACAAUUGUAUACUUUUUCAAAAUCUACUUUAAAAGACAGCACCUCUCCUUCUUUAUGUCUUUGAAUAUAGUCCACAACUUCGUUUUUACUGGAGCACGAUCCAGGAUUUACCAAUCUGAAAUAAAAGUAAAAUUAAAUUUUAUCGAUAGUUUUGAGCCGAGCUUCGAAUCUAUAUAGUCAAAAUUUUUCAAUGGGGUUAGUGGACUUUACUUCAGUUUAAUUGAAAAUAGCUCACAAGGUUCAAAUUGAACAUAUAUAGACAUCUCUUCUCCCCUUGCUUGAGUUGUUGAACUAAACUAACUUUCUUCAUAUAAUAUUAAUUUUACCCAAAAGUUUCCUUUUCAACGAAAAAAAAAUUCCUAAAAUACAAAAGUUAAUGAAAGAUAAAGAAGACAUUGGAUCUAGGUUAAGUUGUUUUGUAAAAAGCUGAAAGUGCAGGGCAUCCAUAUUUGUAUCCUCAACAUUUGGUAACUGAUGGGAGCUAUGCUAAACAUUCAACCAAUCAUUAGGUACUGAAACGUUUUCAUUAAAUGAUAGUCUUACAUAAUGUACACAAGACUGCCUGAUAAUUAGUUGUGUUUCCAUGUGUUGGAUUAUUAUUUGAAACGCCGAAAGAGAAAAUUGUUUUUUUUUUUUUUAAAGAUGACACACAAAAGUAAAAAUAAAGGAGAAUAAAGAACACAACCAAGAUGUUUAUGCCCAACCCACCAAACUUGGUGCAACCUCACCUUUGUACAAUUAAGUAAACACUCUUCCAACUUAAGUGAAAAUCAACACUCAUAAGGUGGCACUCAAAUAAUAGUUACUCACCAAGUGUUCCUUUAAGUCCACAAAUCAUCUAUAUAUAUAAGCUCCAAGAUCAGCUGAUGAAGAAUGCUUACAGAUCGACUCUUCAACAAAGAAAAAAAGAAAAAGAAAGAACAAAUGUGCAUAGAGAGGAGGAUUUCAUGGGAGCACAAUGCAUGGACAGAUCAGCUGAUGAAGAAUGCAUGUCCUGCUUUUUGGCUCUUCCAUUGAACUCAUGCUGAAAAAGAAGCAGCUUAGUUACGAGGUUACAUUAGAUCAUUUGAAAUUAUGAGAUUAUUAUAAUUUUAAAAAUGUAAAGCAAUUAAGUAAUUACCACCUAUUUGUCUGCAUCUAAAUUCUUAAAGUUGUCAAAUGCCUUUAAGAAAAAUACAUGCCAAUCGAAUAUGUGGGCAGAUAAACAAAUGAGGGUAGAAAGUACGAUCUCUGCUUUUUGUAUUGCAAGCUAUGCUCUGCCAAAGAAUAGAGCCACAAGCUAACAAAAAUGAAGGGUAAAAAGAUCAAAAAUUUCAAGAUAAAAUAUAAAAUUGUAUGUACAUAUGAUUAAGAUUUAAAUUAGGAAAAUGAACAAAGCAGAGCAUGAAGUAGAAGCAUAUUGAAGGCUGGCAUGCAAGCAUUUUGGAAAAUGUCCAUUGGGUACCAAUAAAGAUUUUUUAGAAUUAAAGUAUUAGAAGCUAUGAAAUGAUAGAUAUGAACCACCAAAAUGCUUCACACUAAAUCUAAAUUAUUCAAUUUUGUUUUAUUGAAUCAAAUAGAAAAUAAAUGAGUGGCAUGAAUUACCUGUCAUUCCUUGUUGGUAUUUGGUGUAAGCUGCAAUUUCAAAUGUGUAUUUCAUCAGAUCAUUGCGAUGGUGAGAUUAAUAUAAUUUAAAAGCGUAAAGCAUUUAGCUAGAUUACCACUUUUUUUUUCUGCAUUUGAAUUCUUGAAAUUGCCAAAUUCGUUUCACUAGAAGUCUUCGAUGCUUACUGCACAAAAUAGCCAAAUAAAAUGAUAAAUGAAGAAAUUGCACCCAAAGCUUGUUCUAUUUUGACAAAAGAGGCGGUAGUUGGAGAGUCAAUGUACCAACCUGUAGCGAUAUGAGCAAUCUUAUGCCAAUCGGCACCAAUCCCCUUCCGACAUCUUUCCUCCAACUGAGGAAUUCGUUUCAUAAAGAACUCUUCCAAACUGGUUCUCGUCCGGAAGCGAUGUUAAAUUAGGCAAAUCAGAGAGAAUAAGCCUUGGAAGAUGGCGACACUUUGGAAUCUUUGCCAGCGCUAGAGAGCGCAGGCUUGUAUGAUCUUGGAAUAUUUGGAAGUUAGGUGCAGAUAACUCCAGCUCCUUGCAGUUACUUAUUGAAAACUCUUCAAGGAAAGAGAGAUGUUGGAACACAGGAAAGAGUGUCCUCAAUCCAUGGCAUUCAUGAAUUCCCAAUGUUUUCAAUCGAAAAAGAUGUUGAAGCCCAAGGGGGAGAGACACCAGCUUUGGAAUAUUACCAAUCACCAACCAAGAGGUUCCCGUUGCAUGCCCUCUAAAUCAACCUCCUUGCAAUCUCCUAUUGUCAGUUUUUUGAGGCCGGUGAAAACAGAUUAAUGGAAUCCAUGUAGUUUUCAAAGGUGAAUAAAGUAAAAUAAAGUAAAAUAAAAACUAAAAAUAGACUUGGACACUUUAUGUUAAAUUUAUAAUAAGUUUAAGGGCUAAAAUAAUCAAACUAUUGUCUAACACAUGCUAUGAAAAAGAAAUCACGGUUAAAAGAAUAUUGUAUGCUUCAAUGAAAGUCACAAUUUAUCUUUGAUCAUGCUUGUUCGCAACUAAGCCACUAUAAUGUAACUACAUGUUCCUACAAACCUCGCUCUAGUCGACUUUGCCCUAUGAUCCAUUAGUCAAGGGUAUUUAUCCCAUCUCCAAAGUCAUGGGAUUGAUUUGUCGGUUUUGCCUUUUUUAUACUUUAGGUAAAUGUGUACGAAGUGUGUGAGUUCCAAGCUGUGUGUCAUUUGCUUUUCUUUUUUCUUUUUUUUUUUGUGUGUGUGAUCUUUUGAUCUGUUCACAAAUAGAGCUUUUCAUGGUGGCUAAGUUUCUUAGGGGAUAAAUUAUGAGUAGCAUUAUUUGUUUCUGCAGUGAAAUUGUGAUGUCUGUAUUUUAAUGUGUGAGGUAUUUCCAUUUGUUUCUUAGGGAUGCAGUGAAAUGCGUGGGAUGUGAGCAAUUUUAUGCCAACCAGCGCCAAUGUCCUUCCAACUGAGGAAUUUGUCUCAUAAUCAAUUGUGCAUCCUUGCAUUUGAAUACUGUUUGGAACAUUAAAAAUGUGUUUUUUCCUGAGUUGGUACAUAUUAUGCAACAAGGAAUAUAAAGAACAAAAUUAAUAUGUUUACGCAGUUUGGAACUCAUCUUACGUAUGCGGGGCUUUGCCCAAAGAUGAAUCCAAUAUGAACUUCAAUAAAGAAAUGAUUUAAGCUUAACCCCUCAAACACUUGAUGCAAAUUCUCUCCCAACUCAUUUUAGCUAUGCAAGUGAAAUUCACAUUCAACACUCAAAUGGUUUUUCUAUUAUGAAUCAAGCUCUUAAUAAGCUCCAUGUAAAGUGGAAUCAUAAAUUUUGAAAUGCAAUAUGUCUGGCAAUUGUCAUGCUUGAACAACGACUCUUCCAAAAGCAUCAAUGAACCUGAAAAUUAUAAAUGCCAACAUAGAAUACGUUACAAAUCCCAUUAUUAUCAGCCUUAUAUUUGCACUUAUGUGUGUUUAGUAUAAUGCUGUUGAUAUAUAAAUAAUGAAACAUUUUAUCAACUUCAACCUCACCUCCAAAUAUUCUGAAGCAUCCUCCUUUUUUUCCUGUUUGGACCUUCAAUAACAAAUUUGGCUGGAAUUCCAAACAGUUAAAAGAGUGCCCUGCGUCAAUGAAUAUUAUGAAUUUGAGUACCUCCAAAAGCCUGUCAAUAGCAUAGGUGCCAUCUAAGAUAGCAAUCAGUUGGCAUACAUGAAGAGAAAACAUAAAGAUAUAUAAAGAUAUGAUAGGUAAGUGCUUAAAUGAAGAAAGCAGAGCAUAUAGUACAACCAUUUUGAAGGCUUCAUAGGCCACUCUCUCCACAUCAAUGAUUUUUUAGAAUUAAAUUAUUAGAAGCAAAUAGAUAAAUUAGCACCUCUUUUUAUGUAUAUAAAAUGAUUGAAGUUCACUAAUGCCUUUCUCCAAUGCCUUACUGCACAAAUCAGCAAAAAAUAUUAUGAAAGAUGAUAAGUAAAAAGUAGGAUUAAAACAAGGGAUUUUAACAAGGAAAUUAACAGUAUCCAACUUCAAUGAAAAAUGGCAUCAGACCCCUGACUUGGAGAUUCAAUAUACCACUUAUUUUUCUUCAAAAACAGAUAAGGUCAUCAAAAUAAAUAAAUAACAAAGACGGACCAACCUGAUACAACACAAUGUUGGGGACGUGAGCAAUCUUUUGCCAAUCAGCGCCAAUGUCCUUCCGACAUCUUUCCUCCAACUGAGGAAUUUCUCGUAUGUGUAAAUACUCCAAACUGGUUAGGCAACGCAUCUCGUCCAGAAGAGAUGUUAAAUUGGGCAAAUUUACGAGAUAAAGCCGUUGCAGAUUUGUUAGAUGUUGAAGCCAAUCCGGAAGAUGCCGACACUUUGGAAUAUUUUGCAGCCGUAGAGAGUGUAAGCUUGUAUGAUCUUGGAAUAUUUGGAUGCCAGCUCCAGAUAACUCCAGCUCCUUGCAGUCCUCUACUUCAAACUCUUCAAGGAAAGUGAGAUGUUGGAACACAGGAAACAGUGACCUCAAUCCAUUGCAGUUAUGAAUUUUUAAUCUUUUCAAUUGAACAAGAUGUUGAAGCCCAAUGGGGAGAGACACCAGCUUUGGAAUAUUAUCAAUCUUCAAAUGAGAGAGAUUCUUAAGGGGUUCCCAUUGCAUGCCCUCUAAAUCAACCUCCUUGCAGUCCUUUACUUCAAACUCUUCAAGGAAAGUGAGAUGUUGGAACACAGGAAGCAGCGACCUCAAUCCAUUGCAGUUAUGAAUUUUUAAUGUUUUCAAUUGAAGAAGAUGUUGAAGCCCAAUGGGGAGAGACACCAGCGUUGGAAUAUUAUCAAUCUCCAAAUGAGAGAGAUUCUUAAGGGGUUCCCAUUGCAUGCCCUCUAAAUCAACCUCCUUGCAGUCCUUUACUUCAAACUCUUCAAGGAAAGUGAGAUGUUGGAACACAGGAAGCAGCGACCUCAAUCCAUUGCAGUUAUGAAUUUUUAAUGUUUUCAAUUGAAGAAGAUGUUGAAGCCCAAUGGGGAGAGACACCAGCUUUGGAAUAUUAUCAAUCUCCAAAUGAGAGAGAUUCUUAAGGGGUUCCCAUUGCAUGCCCUCUAAAUCAACCUCCUUGCAAUCUCUUAUUGUUAAACUUUUGAGGCUGGUGAGAUGUUGCAGGCACUCAUAUAGCGUGUGAGUGUCCAACCCCUCAAUGGUGUGUACAUGGAAAGAUUUCAAUUUGGAGAGUGGAAGAGAAGAGGUUGAAGUUGAUGGGGCCUUAGCGUUGAUGUUCAUCUUGAUAGUCUGCUUUAACGGCCUUGAACUGGUAUUCAACAAUAUUAGAUCUUCAUCGAGUGAUGGAUACAGUGGCAUUAAAGUCAAAGGGCAAUUUUGAAUCCAUAAAGAGGAAAGACAAGGAAAUGCCAUGGUUGAUGUUCCCAUAACUGUUGUGUCGUCCUGGUUGGAAUCAUCAUUGAUUGGUUUUGUCAUCCUCCACCAACUCUUCAUAUGCAGGCAUUGACUGAGCCGAAGAUGCUUAAGUGAUGGGAAGAAUGAUUGUGGUUCUCCUUGACUUCCUUUUAGGCUAUUAUCAUCUAUGUACUCCAGCUUAGUACAAAAGCUAAUAUCCAGCAGUUCAAGACGGGGCAAUUGAGCAAAGGACGGGAAAUAUUUGAAAUUACCACCACUUAUGAAAAUUUUGACGAGAUUUGUGAGAAAAGAAAUCCAACUUGGAAACUUGGCAUCACCCCUCCAUCCUCCAAUACAGAGCUGCUUGAGAUUAGGAUGGGGCUGGAGGUCUUCAAGUGACUUCUCAUCAUCAUGGUUACCACCGCCCCAUUCUAAACCCAACCAUCUCAAAUGUUGCUUCUCAUUCAAAUUAGCAGCCUUAAACUUCUCUUUUGCAUUUUUUACGAAUCCCAAAUUUGUUAUUGUUAGGCGUCCCCUUAAGUUGUUAAGCAGUCUCAAUUCACUUAGAUCUGCACCGCCAUGGGACCCAUCUUUAUCCACUACAAACAUGCUUAACGUCUCAAGUGAAGUCAGCUUCCCUAUUCCACGUGGCAUAUGAGUUAAUCUAUCACAAAAAUAACACGCAAGAUGGGUAAGAUUCACCAAUUUUUCAAUCUUCUUUGGCAAUUCUUUAAGCCUAUGACAGCUGUCAAGUUUCAGCGCUAGCAAAUUCUGAAUCUUGCAAAUACUCUCUGGGAGAAUCUUAAUAUUGUAAUUGGCAGAAAGAUCAAGGUACCUCAAAUGUUUCAACUUGUAAAUGGAGGGUGAAAUCAUCUGAAUACCUAACCACCGAAAAUCCAAUACACGCAAGCAUCUACAAUUUGUAAUUACAAAUUCCCAAGUUUCUUCGCUCAAAUGUGCAGAAAAUUUGUUUGGAUAUCGUAACAAGGUUCGCAACUUCUUUCCCUUAAACAAAGGAAUUAAUGAAGGAUUAAUUGAUAUGUGGCGACAUUUUUCACCACCAUCACUUGCAAUGUUAUUUGAAUCUACAAUACUACUCUCCAUCCCUGCUACUGAUUCAGCUAGAUCAUGCAUUAAAUCAUGCAUUUUACAUCUCAUAUCCCCAAUUCCAUAUUCUUCUACCUCUUGAAAGAAACUUCUUUCAACUAAAUCUUUAAAAUAUCCAAAUCCGAUCUCCUCAAGAGAUUGACUUGGAUUCAAUUGCUUUACAAAACCUUGUGCAAUCCAAAAUUGAACAAGUGUUCGUACAUCAAUUUCAUGAUCUUUUGGAUAUAGUCGACAAUAAGCAAAACAAUGCUUCAAAUGGGAUGAGAGAUGAUCAUAACUCAACUUAAGUGUAGGUAAUAUCUCACCUUCGUUCUGAGAUAUUCUAGCAAGUUCCUUAUCUUUAAAAGAAAGCCACUCACUUUUAGUUUCUUUGAAAGAUAACGUACCAGCUAUCGUCCUUAUGACUAAGGGAACCCCACAACACCUUUCCAGAAUCAGCUUUCCUAUUUCCACAAAGCCUGAAUCUGUUGAGUCUGCCGAUCUUUGUUCAAAUGCUAUCUCUUUGAACAAAGACCAAGCAUCAUUAUCAGACAAGCCUUUCAGAACAUAAGGCUGACAUUUACUAGUAAUCUUUGCUACUCCCAAAGAGCGAGUAGUUACUAUUAUCCUACUUCCUUUAGCCCCACCUACUAAUAACUCUUUUAAACUAACCCAAUUUUCCCACUUUUCAUUCCAAAUGUCAUCCAAAACAAGCAAAUACUUUUUCCCACCAAUUUUUUCCCGAAGUUGUUUUUGCAAUUGGUCCAUUUCGAGAUUUUGAUCUGGUGCUUGGCCUGUUGCAGAUUUGAUCAUGUUUUCUACAAUUAUUUUGACAUCAAAAACAUCUGAAACACACACCCACAUCAUCAACUCAAAAUGAUUUUUGACCAUUUCAUCAUUAUAGACAAACUGAGCCAAAGCAGUCUUCCCUAACCCUCCAAACCCCACAAUUGGAAUGAUGUAAACAGUCUCUUCACUUUCAAACUCUAACACGAGUUUUAGAAGAGCUGCUUUAUCAUCGUCCCUCCCUAUUAUUUUAUCUUUAGGCACAAAAGAGUGCGUUUGCUGCCUCUUUUUAGUCAUGAAAGAGGUUUCCAUGGGACGGUGACGCUCUACCAAGUUGAACACCUUGGCUUCACUUGCAAUUGAAAACAACCUGGCCUUAAUGGUCUUAAUUUUCCGACCCAUUUUGAGACCGUAAGCAAACUGGUUUGAGCUCGAGAAGAAAAGGCGUACCUCUUUCGUCAGCUUGUUCCCACCCAUUAGAUCUUUCCGCAAAGCUUCGGUAGAGAAAUCAUCUAGCAAGUCGUCAGCAUCAUAAAGUACAUCUUUCAGCUCUUCAAGCCAAACUUUGACGAGAUUGUCGGUCACCGAUUUCUCUUCUGCGUCAAGAAGCACAGCUUUGAUUGUACGAACAGUGCGUUUGAGGUCGUCGAGGUCAUGUUUGAGAUUCCACCACAUUCCAACUUGAGAGAGAGCACGAGAGCUCAACUUAGUAAUAAGCUCUAGGGCGAGGUCGAAUGCAAUUGCUUCGGCCAUUGCUGGUUCAAACAGAAAUCAAGCAAAGAAGUGUUGGGUUAUUGCAAGAGGAGUAGUAAAA